CUUCAAAACCAUUGUUGGACAUAGCUAAUCUCUGCAAAAACGAUGCAUUCCCUAUCCAUCUUGGGAGCUUUCCAUGCAACUUGUUGUUACUGAGAUCAAUUUCGCUUAGUGAAUUUGGAAACUCAAAAGUAGACACAUCAACAUUUGUCAUCUCUCCUGAAAAAUUAUUUCCAUCCAAAUAUAAAUGCUGCACCCCAUUUGCGCUGAGAAUCACAGGAACUACAUUUCCACUGAGGUUGUUAUUUGAUAGUCUCAAAAUGGUCAGUGAGCCUUUCGUGAUCAACUCUUCUGGUACUUUUCCAUACAAAUGAUUGUCUAAUAGAUCUAAAAAUGAUAAGUCCUUCAUGCCACUUAAACAAAGUGGGAUAUUAUCUUCAAAAGCAUUCUUGGAUAAGAAUAACCGACUCAAAUGUGGAAAAGUUGAACAUAUACCAGUUGGAAUUUGACCUUGUAAUUUGUUUUCAGAUAUGUCAAUUGAAGAUACAUCAGAAAUAAGAGCCGACGAAAGUGAGAGAGGACCUGUAAAUGAAUUACCCUUCAAGAUGAGAUCUUCUAACUUUGUGUUGUUUUCUAGCAACCAAGUUGGUACAGUUCCACUGAGAUUGUUAUGAGAAAGAUCCACAUAUCUCAAGUCAUAUUGGUAGUAAAGGAAGGUAGGAAAUUUACGAUUGAGUUGUUGAGAUGCUAUGCACUUUGGCAAUCUGAUGACUUCCAAUUGGAACUUUGGGAUUGAGGUAUAAAAGGAAGAUUCCAUUACCAUCUUGUUUUCAUUAAUCGAAAGGGCUUUGAGGUUUGAAAGGUUUGCAAAUGGUGCAAAUGACAGCGGAAUUUGAAAAUGGUUUCUUGAAACAUCUAACACACGAAGAGAUGUCAAGUUACUAAAACAACGAGGAAGCAUCCCCUCAAGUGCAUUGUUGCUCACAUCCAAUACUUCAAGGUUCUUUAGAUCACACCAUCCUGAAAAAUUUAUAAAUUCAUGGAAGAAAUUUUAAUUAAAUUUGGUCCUAUUAAAUAGAAUAGGAGAUAUUAUAUUACAAAAGCUAGUAAAGAAAUCAAUUUGAGCCAUAAAAUUAUUUACCUUGAUUAGGUAAGGGACCAAUAAGUCCACAAUGAUAUAAAGACAAUGUUUUAAGAGAAGCGAAUACUCCAAUGCUUUGCAAAAUGUUGGUGUUGAGAGUAGAAUAGUCAAGAUAUAUUUCCUCCAAACUGCUCGACACAUUUGAAUCUAAGCAAUGUCAAGAGGUAUUAGAUAACGGUAUUAUAGAAAGCCUCUACUAAGUAGAAUGCUUUAUUUUCUGUGAAUGAAAUGAAGUAUAUAAAUAUAUAUAUAUAUUUUUUAUGAGUUAGAUUAUUCAUGAUUUAUCUGAGAUAAAUUUUGAUAGAGAGAAGAUGUUGAAACUUUAAUAUAACUCUUCAUCCAUUUUAUUAAUUAUACUAUUUUUUUUCUUUUUAGUAUUUUCUUAUAUUAUUUUUUAAUAUAAGUAAUUAACUGAUAUAGCUAAGUUGUAUAAUUUUCAAACUCCAAUCAACAACACUAUAAAUAAUAUUUAUAAAAUAAAACAUGUCUACACUAAAUGUAUGUUUAAAUUUCAUAAAAUUGAAGAUAUUUUUAAAUUAUUCAAAAUUCACAUGUCUACACUAUAAAUAAUAUUUAUAAAAUAAAACAUGUCUACACUAAAAUUAUUAUAUUACCUUUAAAGAUGCCAAUAGUAUAUAAAAAAAUCAAAUAGGUAUUUUACUCAACAAUAAAUAAAACUCAAAAGAAUUAUAAGUAAACUCAGCGGAUUAAAUGAAAAUUUUAAAGCAUUAAAUCUUGGCCCAAAAAUAGAGUUAAGUUAAAAUUCAAAAUUCAAAAUUAUUUUAUUAAUAUUGUUAAAAUUAUUUUAUUAAAUCCAUGUUCAUUACGUCAUUUUUUUAGUUACAUUACUACUAAGUUUUUUUUUUAUUUCAAAAUGUCACACCAACAAGCUAUUUUAAAAUUUUAACAAUUUUAACAAUUUAACUAGGAUUUUGAUUUUUUUUUAUAAAAAAAACAGGGAUUAAAUUCUUGAAAAUAAAAGUAUAAGAAUUAAAUUACAAAUUAGUAAAGAGUACAUAGACCUAUCAUAUUUUUUAAAACCAAAAAGUUAAAAACAUAUGCACUUUGAAAUUUAUAAAAAGAUUGCAAUGGAAGUUUAAGCACCUCUCAAUGUAUGUUUAAAUUUCACAAAAUUAAAGUUUUUUUUUAAAUUAUUCAAAAUUGACAUUUAUUUAUUUUUGCCAAAAAAUGCCAUUUAUUUAACGCUAAUAUGUAUUUUUAUGUUUUAUACUAUUAAAAAUAUAUGAAAUUAAAAUAUAGUUAUAUUACAUAUUUUCUCAUAAAUAUAUGUUUUUAUUUAUUUAUAAUAUCAUUUUUUAUUGUUAUAAUUAUUUUUUAUCUCAUAAAAAUUCAAUAAAUUAUUUUAAAAAAUAUAUUUAUACAAACAAAAUAAUUAUAAACAUUAAUAUUUUAAAAUGAUGAAAAUUUUAAAGAAUUUUAGUUUCAAACCAAAGUCCAAACACAUUAUAAUGGAUGAUUUAGAAAAUGUUUCACCAAACCCAUAUUUUACUUUCAAGUAUGAUAUGAUAUAACUUUAUUAAUAUUUAUGACAAUAACCGUUAUUAUAAUAUUUGACAUCAAAACUAAAUUUCUAAAUUAAAAAAAAAAAGGAAGUUUAAUUAAAUGAUACCUUGGUGGAUCACCAAAUCUUUCAAUUCAUUAUAGCUCAUAUCUAGUUUCCUUAAGUUGAUAAAUGCUUCCAAAUCUAGGAAAACAAAAACAACAAAUCAACUUCAUUAUAUUCUCUUAAAACAUUAUUAUAUUCUUGUUAAAAAACUAAUACUUUUACCUUUCAUAUCUAUUGAUCCUUUCAAUUCAUUGCCUCUUAUGCUCAAAGAUUUCAAAUUUGAAAGCUUGUUAAGGGAUGCAAAUACACUAGUAUUGAAGUGAUUUCCAUCUAAAUUAAGCUCUUCCAAGUGGGUCAAUUCCAAUUUUCUACCAUCAUCUACAAAAGAUUUAUAUAAUUUCAUCAUCUACCAUCACUAAUUUCAUCUACCAAUUUGUUAAAUUGCUCAAUCCUAUACAUAUCCACGUACAAUUCAAAAAAUCAUUAUGUUAAUAAUUUUAAUUUCUACUUAAUAUUUUAAUGAAAUAAAAAUGAAAAAAAAAAGUAAAUCUAAAACUUGAAUUGAAGAUAAAAAUCCUCAAACGUGAAAUGUGAAUGUUCAAAUUUGAAACAAUUAAUUUUAAAAGGCUCUAGAAAGAAUUAUCAAGAAAAACAAAGUUAUAGCUUUAGUACCUUUAGUAUCUAAUGAGCCUUGCAAACGGUUGUUGAACAAAGUCAAAGACUUUAGGCUUGAAAGCCCUUGAGGAAAGGAAAUUGUGUUGUUCCGAAAGAGAUUACCACUCAAAUAAAGUUCCUCUAAGUUUGUUAGCCUCAAUUGUGUUCCAUCUAUCAUUGGAAGAAAGUAAUUAGUAUAGUUAACAUCAUUCAAGAUAUAAAUAGUUAGGAAAAAUGUUUGUUUGAGAAGGAAGAGCCAAUUUACAAGCUUUCCGAUGAAUUGAUUCAAUAUAUAAAUACUUUGUUUGAGAUACCUUCCUACUUAAAUUACUCAAUUUUGAAAUUUAAUCCCAAAUAUUGAUUACUUAUAUAUAUUCAUGAUAUGAUAAAAUCAAAUGACUUAUUGCAACAACUUUUCCUUCAACAUGAAUUUAUUUUAAAGAAUGCUAUUCUUCAAAUAAUUCCAACUUAUAUCAAUAAUUUCCAAUUUAAUGAGCCAUUGAAAACCUCAUUUAUAUAUUAUAUAAUUAGUUACUACAAAACUUAAAUAAAUAAUAAUACUCCAUUUUUGCAAUAAAAAUUCACUAAAGAAAAUACAUUUGAAGUCUGUCAUUGCCUUUUGGAAUAAGAGUCGGUCAAGAAAGUUACUAUGCAGAAAUACUUAUACCUUUGUUUGAGAUGCUUUCAAUGUCGUUCCAACUUAAAUCCAAGUACUUCAAAUUUGUCAAAUUAUUCAAUCCUGAAAUUCAAUCCCAAAUAUUGAUCAGUUAUAUAUAUAUAUUCAUGAUAUGAUAAAAGCAAAGACAUAUUGCAACAUUAACUGUCCCUUAAACAAAAAUUGGUUUUAAAGUAAAAAAGAAACAUAUAAAACCAGUCUACCUUUAAUAUGAAUUGACAUAUAAAUACUGUACUUAUACCUUUGUUUGAGAUGCUUUCAAUUCUGUUCCAACUUAAAUCCAAGUAUUUCAAGUUUGACAAAUUAUUCAAUCCUGAAAUUCAAUCCCAAAUAUUGAUUAGUUAUAUAUAUUCAUCGUAUGAUAAAAUCAAACUUGAACAUACAUUGAUUUUUAAAUCAAGGAUGAAAGAUUUCUCAUAUGAAACAAAAUGCUAUUCUUCAAAGAAUUCCCACUUAAAUCAAGAGUUUCCAAGUUAUUGAGUCUUGAAAGCAAUUGAAAACCUGAUAUAUAUAUUUACUUGUUAAUUGUUUUUUCUUUCUUAGCCAUAUGAAAAUUUUACUAAAGCAAAAGUGGAAUUACGACGGAUAAAAAGAAUGGAAAACUAGGUACCAAGCCUAGAAGACCAUCCUCAAACUCCACUAUACAAAUAAAAACUAACAGCAGACCAAACUUAAUUUACCUCUUUGAUGACCUGAUCCUUCAAAUUUGUUGAUUGAUAGAUCUAAAUACCGGAGAGAUGAAAGCUCACUCAAAGAUAACAAAAUGCUAUCAUUCAAGUAAUUGAAACUUAAGUCAAGGAUCUCCAAAUUACUCAAUGUGGAUGAUAGUUUUCCAAAGCCUAUAGAAAUAUUCUUUUAAAUAUAUACAAGUUAGUGACUUUUCUUCCAUAAAAUAAAAUAAAAUAUAAGUAAUUGCAAAUUAACGAUGGUAAGAGUAGUGGGAUAAUAAAAGAUGUAAUUAAGGAAAAACUAGAGGCACGACCUUCAUUUUCAAGGUUACCACUUAUGGCAUUCCCCCGCAAAUAAAGACUCUUCAAUUCCUCAAAGGGAAGAAACAUAGAGGUAUUGAGAUACCAGGCAUUGAGAUUCCUAUUAUCCGUUUUGUAUCCCAUACUGUCAAACCAUCUUGUAGAAUUAAGGGAGAGUUGUAUGAGUCUCCUAGUGGUGGUGUUACACUCAACUCUUUCCCAUUUACAACAAUCUGAACCCUUCACCUCAACCCAACUUUGCAAUUGAUUUUGAUAAUUGAAGAAAGGCUUGAGAUGCAAGAGAGCGAUUCUCUCAUGCUCCAAACAAGCAUCAGUAGUACACCAUCUGCAUCCUUCUAACACCAACAACAUUACUGCCAUCCUAAUAAGCCUUAACCAUUUCCACUCCAUCAUCAUCAUCUCUCUGUUUUCACUUCUCUCUCAGUUAUAUGUUACUUUUUGUUAACUUCUAUAUGUAAAUAAUCUAAAGCAGCCUAACCUUCUUAUUUAUAUACAAGCAGAACAUACUGGAUCCCACUAAUUCACUAUAAUGUAAAAAUAAUAUAUAAUUAAUUAAUUCCUCAAAAAUUGGAUCAAAAUCUAGGCUUUUUAUUUACGUAAAUUCCUUAUUGCAAAAACUCCUGGUGGAAAUUCGUUAGGAAAGGAUGAAUGGACCACAAGAAUGUUGAUGUUAAUCUUGAAAAACGAAUGGCCAAAAAAAUAUGAAAAGUGAGAGGUGGACAUAAAAUCUUGUGGUUGGGGUUGCAAAAGUCUUCAUGUGGCUUUCUUGUGAGCUUCAUUUAUACCCUUCUUACACAUAUACAAACUUAGUCUUGACUUGGCUUUAUUAAUGGAAAAUUUAGGUCUUCAUUUUUGGUUUCAUUCAUGGAAAUUUUACUUCUUUGAUUUUGAUUUUGCUUUUAUUCUUGCACAUUUUAGGUUUUGAUUUUGAAAAUUUAGUUUUUUUCAUCUCUAUUAUUAUAAAAUUUCUUGAUUUAAUUAAUAUCAUGAGUUAAUUUAAUAUUUUAAAAAAUAAAAUAUUACAUUCACUAUUUUUAAAAAAAUAGGAGUAACUAUAAAAUUUAAUUAUUUAUAUAAUAUUUUUAUAAAAAAACUAUUUAUUUCUACUAGACCACUACUUUAAAACUAUCAAUUAUCAUAUAACUUCUCUUUAAUAAUUCACUAUUCUUUGAACAUUCAUUAGUUUUUGAAACAUAAAAUUUAUAAAUAAUUAUUUUUAAAAUGACUUGAGUUUUACUUGAAUCAUUUUUGUAAUUAGUUAAUUAAAUUGGGUUAUUUUUAAAAAAAAUCCUCUUAACUAAUAGCAAAAAAAAAAAAAGAAAAAAAAAAGCCAUCAUGUAGAAAAUUCUGGUUUGUUGGAAAGAUAAAGACUUGCACCAUUACUUUAAAUUUUGAAAUGUUCAACUUGAUAUUGACAUCUGAUAAUAUGUACAAAUUUCUCAUUGUUUUGAAUUUUAGUGAUAUUACACAUAUGAUAAUAUGUUUGUCACACCAAAUUUUGAAAUAGUAGAACUUAAUGAAUUUAACAAAUACUUAAUGAAUUUAAGAAAUAUCUAAAAUAUCAAAUUAAAGUCUAGGAAUUAAAUCUACAACUUCAGUAAAGUACAAGAACUAUUGUAGAAUUAAACCUUUAUAUAAUAAUUUCCUUCUAUGAACCACAAUUCAAGUGCACCCCACAAGCAACAUUAAAAAAUUGGCAUGUGUCUAUUUUUUUAAAAAUAUUUAUUUUUUUAAUAUUAUAUACUACACCUCUAUAGGAUACGUGUCAAUCCUUUAACUCUCCUUAUGGAAUUUAAAAACUCCACUAACAAUGUACCAAAUAUUAAUCCUAAUUAUUAUACUAUUCAUGGAUAAAGAUAAAAUAUAAUAUUUGCUUAAAAAUCUCAAUUAUAUAUAUUUGGUCACCCAUUGUGAUGUAAUAUAGCACCGUCUACAAAAUAGUUGGAGGAAAGUGUUAAGAAAAUAUCAUUACAUAUAUCAACAUUCGCAUAAUUCAUUGCAUUAACUUUCAAAUGUUAACUAUUGACUUCUGCGUCAACUUUGAGCUUAUAUAGGUCCCCCUCAUGGAAAUUGAGAAAAACAAAUUAAUAUGUAUAUUCUUGUGGGUGGAAAUUUAGUGGAGAUGCCCAUCAUCUUUCCUAAUUAAUAAAAAUGAAGACUUAGAAAAUGUGCAAUCAUAAUCCUAGUCGUCGUUAUGGCCCCAAGAAUAGUUAUCUUAAUUUGUCUCUCUUCAGGAUUAAAGAUAAAAAAUAAAUUUUAUAAAGUUAGAACUAUAAUUUUAUAAUUAUAUUAACAUAUAAUUUCAUAAAAUUUUAAAAAUGUAUCUUUUAAUUUUUUAAUUAAAUUGAUAAUUCGUUAACUCAUAAUAUUAUUUUAUUUUUCAAAAUAUUUACGAGAACGAGUUCGUAUUCUAUUGUGUGGAAAAUUUUAGUACAGAUUAUUAAGUUAUUGGAGAAGCCAAAUCCAACUUGUUUGACCAAGAAAGUUUUUGUCGCGUGGAAAAUGGACAUUACCAUUUCCUUGAAUGACCUUCAAUUUAAUGUAUUCACACCAAAUUUCAUUAAUGAGUAAAACAAAUAAUGAAUAAUAAUGAAAAUUGGAGGAAAUUGUUAAGAAAUUAUUAUUACAUAUAUCAACAGUCACAUAAUUCAUUGUAUUAACUUUCAAAUGUUGACUAUUGACUUUUACAUCAACCUUGAGCUUAUAUAGGCCCCCCUCACGGAAAUAAUCUCAUAAUUAAUGCCUGAAAAAUUAUUAUACAUCAAUUUACAGUUUUAAUCCCUAGACUUACUCAAUUGAAUUAAAAUUUUAGUUUUUAUUAUUUAAUUUGAACUAUUACUUUAGAUUUUGAAAUGUUCAACUUGAUAUUACAAAUUUCUCAUUCUUUUGAAUUUUAGUGAUAUUACACCUAUGAUAAUAUGUUUGCCACACCAAAUUUAGAAAUAGUAGGACUUAAUGAAUUUAAUAAAUAUCUAAAAUAUCAAAUUAAAGUCUAGAAAUUAAAUCUACAACUUCAGUAAAGUACAAGAACUAUGGUAGAAUUAAACCUUUAUAUAAUAAUUUUCUUCUAUGAACCACAAUUCAAGUGCAUCCCACAAGCAACAUUAAAAAAUUAAAAUGUGUCUAUUUUUUUAAAAUAUAUUUUUUUUAAUAUUAUAUACUACACAUAUAUAGUAUACGUGUCAAUCCUCUAACUCUACUUAUGGGAUUUAAAAAAUCCAGCAACAAUGUACGAAAUAUUAAUCCUAAUUAUUAUACUGUUCAUGGAUAAAGAUAAACUAUAAUAUUUGCUUAAAAACCUCAAUUAUAUACAUUUGGUGACCCAUUGUGACGUAAUAUAGCACCAUCUACAAAGUAGUUGGAGGAAAUUGUUAAGAAAAUAUCAUUACAUAUAUCCAACAGUCACAUAAUUCAUUGCAUUAACUUUCAAAUGUUGACUAUUGACUUCACGUCAACUUUGAGCUUAUAUAGGCCCCCUCCUCAUGGAAAUAAUGUCACAAUUAAUGCUUGAGAAAUUAUUAUACAUCAAUUUAUAGUUUUAAACCCUAUACUUACUCAUUUGAAUUAAAAUUUUAGUUUCAAUUUGAUAUAUUUUGUUCCUCUUAUUAAUAUUAAUGUUAUAGAUUUAUUAAAAUAACUAACAUUAUUAAUUCUCUAACAUUUAAAAAUUAAAAUUAUGUGGUUAUUAAAAUUAUGAUGCUAAAUUGAGAAUUAAAAAUUAUCAAGUUUUAAAUGAUCUCGGGAAUUAAGAAGAGAUCGUGUCCUAACUUAUUGGGCAUGAUCCUUUUUUUUCUCAAGUUUUAAAUGAUCUCAGGAAUUAAGAAAAGAUCGUGUCCUAACUUACUGGGCAUGAUCCUUUUUUUUUUAAAAUCUAAGAUAGCUAAAUAUUUUUUAAAUAAGUAAAUUUUUGGCAUUCAUUCGCGCAUCGGGAAUUCAAGACAUUGUGUCCUAACUUACUGGAUAUAAUUCUCUUUCUCGAUUAAUGUGAAUUAUGGCUUUUUCCCGAAAAUUUUCAACAUUUCAAUAAAGGAUCGUAUUUUAAAUCUCUUUAAAGUUUUCAAUCUUCGAUACUAAGACAUUAAUUAAUCAACUAGGUACCAAUUUUGGGCGUAACGAGGGUGCUAAUCUUUCCUCGUACGUAACCGACUCCCAAACCUGUUUUUCUGAAUUUCGUGGACCAAAAUUAUUAUUUUAUUAAAAUUAAAUUGUUUAUUAAAAAUAACCACUUUUCAAGGUGGCCCGAUCACACCUUAUCAAAAAGGAUUGGUGGCGACUUCCAUAUUCGUUUUCAUUUUUUAAAAUCCAAGUCGACCCCGUUUUCACAAAAAAAAAAAGUGUCAACAAUUAUAUUAAUAUAUAAUUUCAUAAAUUCUUUAAAAAAAAUUGUAUCUUUUAAUUUUUUAAAUUAAUUUAGUAAUUCAUUAACUCAUAAUAUUAAAUUUUUUAUUUUUCAAAAUAUUUACGAGAACGAGUUCGUAUUCUAUUGUGUCGAAACUUUUAGUACAGAUUAUUAAGUUAUUGGUGAAGCCAAAUCCAACUUGUUUGACCAAGAAAGUUUCAGUCGUGUGGAAAAUUUUAGUUUUGUGGAAAAUAUAGAUUAACUUCUAUAUAUGUAUGUAAUCUAAAGAAGCCUAAGCUUCUUAUUUAAUUAUAUACAAGCAGAAGAUAUUGCAUCCCACUAAUUCACUAUAAUAUAAAAAUAAUAUAUGAUUAAUUAAUUCCUCAAAAAUUGGAUCAAUCUAGGCUUCUUAUUUACGUAAAUUCCUUAUUGCAAAAACUCUCGAUGGAAAUUCGUUAAGAAAGGAUGAAUGGACCACAAAAAUGCUUAUCAACUCUUGACUUUGGCGUUCAAUGCUAAGUUCAUUUUAAAAUUCUUUCAUGGAGAGAAGAUGGGAUGACAAGAAUGAUAAGUUUUAAGUCAUUUAAGUUUACACAAAAUUUUAAUCACUCACAAAAAAUCAGUCUUGAUAUUCUAUUAAAAAAUUUAAACAUGGCUUAACGUUGAUUUUAAAUCUAAUGUCGAUGUCAAUCUUGAAAAACGAAUGGCCAAAAAAAUAUGAAAAGUGAGAGGUGGACAUAAAAUCGUGUAGUUGGGGUUAUAAAAUUCUUCAUGUGGACAUAAUAUAUUUUUUAUGCCCUUCUUACACUUAUAUAAAGUUAGUCUUGAUUUCGCUUUAUUAAUGGAAAUUUUAGUUCUUCAUUUUUUGUUUUAUUCAUGGACAUAAUAUUUAUUUUUAUUUUUUAUUUUUGUGUUAUGGUCUAUGUUCGAGGUUUAUGGCUAUCCCCUUUCAACAACGUCGUCUCAACGGUUCAAACAUACACUUGCAGGUAAAAUAAUACUUUUUAAAAUCACAAAUAUUUGAAAUAAUAUAUUGCAGCUAUAUAAAUGCUUUCUUGUUUAAGAUACUAAUAAAGUAAUUAACAAAGUAAUUAUUAUACCUAUAAUAAUUCAAAAUGCCACUUGUUAUCUAAUGAAGUAUAGGGGUGCAAAUGAGACAUCCGUACCCGCAAGCUAUUCGAAUUCGGCUCAAAAAAUUUUGAAUUUGAUUCGGUAAUUAUUGCGCCGAGCUAUAGGUCGAUCCGGAUUCAAGCUUAGUAAUACUUGACUCGAGUAGUUUGGGAGCCUUAUUGAACUUUUCAUAUUUUUAUAUUAUUAGAUUACAUUAUUGCCUUUAAUAUAUAUUGUUAACCCUAAGUUUAAUUAUUGAGGCGAGCUCGAACUCGAGUACAAAAAUUGAUAAACAGAUUUAAUUUCGAGCUUAAAAAUAUAUGUUCAAUCGAGUAUCAAGCUUUGAAUUUCAAAUUAAACUUGAGUUUAACCGUAUUGAGUUCGAAUAGAUUCAAUUACACCCUACAAUAAAAUAUACCAACAAAACCUACAUUCCAUAUUUGCUUAAAAACUUUGCUGUAAAUUUUAUAUAUGUGUGUGUUUAACGUGAGUUCCAUCUAUGUCCAACUUGAUGACGAUGAAAGUUCCUAUGGUGUAAAAAGUUUUAGUUAUGUGGAAAAAUAAGGUCUUCUCUUCACACGUUUAAUAUGCUUACUUGUGACGGUCAUUUCGGGCUUGACAUCAAUUUUCAAAAUGUUCUAAUUGGUGGAAAACUUACGUCUGCUUUUAUGAUUCUUUCAAGUCAAUUGGAGAAUGCCUCUGUUACACUUCAAAAGAAGUAGAUUUUGAACUCAACAUGAACCUGUGAGAUUUGAUGCCUAAAAUAUAGGUAUAAGGUUUCAAUUCAAGGAAAUGUUGGAAGUCCAGGAAAUUUCUUAGUCUCCUCUCUUUGGAUGUUUUUGAACAAAAAUGUUUUAAGUCUCUUCCGAUGCUAAACUUCUGAUUGGUCGUCGGUUCACUGACCCUUUGGUACACAGCAAUAUGAAGCAUUGGCCAUUCAAGGCCAUUGCUGGUCCUGGUGAUAAGCCAAUGAUUGUACUACUAUAGAUUUGAAAUGAUUGUACACAUCUGAUCGGCUCUUUGUAAAUUUAAAUCUUACAAAUUCGGAUAAUAUUCGAAUUUAAAUAUUUCAAUUACUAUCUGCAAUAGAUUAAAAACAAACGUGAUUAUCAAUCCUUGGAUAUCCACAUACAGAUUAUGCAAUACAAUCUCUUAAGGCAUAUAGAAUUUGGGUCUUAACCAAGCUAUGUUGCUUAAAAGCUUGCUAAAAGCACCCCUAACAAAGGGGUAAAUAAAUAAAAUAUCAAGCACCAGUUAUCAAAGCAGAUUGACCACCUUAUAUCUAUGUAUGCUACUACAAAACUUGCACCAUUAAAAUCUCAAGCUGGUAAUUGGAGCUUCAUGUUAUUCUUGCAGCUGCAGGCAUAAUAAUCAAAUAAGUUGCAAUCAUUCACAUAGGUACUAUGAAGUGCUUUCCAGAGCGUGAGAAACCUCUGGAAGUAAUAGUAGAAGAAAUCAGCAUAAAGCAAUGUCUGGACAAGACCGCAAAUCCAAGCUGAUCAAAGGCAUCAAUCAUGUAAACUAGGUGUUAGAAAUAACAAAUAUAGCAUAGAAUAUAACAAAUAAUGAAUAACAAUGAAUAGUACACGUUACCAUUUCCUUGAAUGACCUUCAAUUUCUCCAUUGAGAUAUAGUAAGAGGGAGUGGAAUAGAUGUAAGGUAAUAUUUGAUGUAUUCGGUAAAUGAAUAAUAACACCACAUUCCAUUAAUGAGUAAAACAGAUAAUGAAUAAUAAUGGAAGUUUUAUAAAAUAAAAAUAAAUUAAAUCAUAUACAUAUAAUGUAUUAAAUCUUAUUCGUGAAGUUCACAAUGAACAAAAUACUAAUCCAUAAUGGAGAAAAAUAACCUAAACUUUAAACAUUUGUUCAUUACUAUAAACAUAUGUACAACUUUUUAAAGGUUUUAUAUAAACUAUUAAAAGGUAUAAACACUCUCAUAAAAAUAUAUUAUUAAGUACGUCUUCUUUUACUAGGAAAGUUCCUAUCCUGUAGAAAAAUGUAGUUUUGUGAAAAAAGGUCUUCUAUGCACUAAUUUGUGGCAAUCACAUGGGGUUUGGGAAUUUCAAUUUUGAUAGCCAACCGAGAUUCACUAAAUUUAAAUUUUAUUAUGAUUAAUUACGCUCUUCGUUUUGGAGAAAUAGGUAAUCACAACAACUAAUUUAAUUAAAUGUAAUUUAAUAAUUAAUUUUUUUAUAAUUUAAUUACAUUAACUAUAUUUAAAUUUAAUAUUUAGUAUUUAUAUUUUAAUUUAACAUAAUUUAAUUCACUUACUUUUAUAAUAUUAUUAGUUCGUCUAAAUAGUUGACACCUUUAAUUAAUUCUUAUUAAAAUGUUAAAAAUGUUUAUACUUAUUUUCCAUGUUAAAAUAUAUAUUUUUUUGUGCUUUUAAAAACAAAAUUUCACAAUAUCAUUUCCCGAUAUAAAAAUUAAAUCUCAAAUUAAUUUAUAUUUUUGUAUUUUUUUAUAACUAAUGUUAUCAAGAACUCUUAAUAGUGCAACUGAUUCCACCAUAAUAUUUAUAUUCUUUAAAUAUGAUUUACAAUUUAUGUUUGGAGUUCGUGACUGUCAUUCUUAAUAAUGUCAUUUCUAAUGUUCGAACAUGCAUCUCCCCUUGAGAAUGCAAUAUUCAUUACUAUUGCACCUAAUUAUUUUGAUAAUUUAAUUUUAAAUAUUGACAUAAAAAUAUUUUUAAAUAUAUUAUUAAUAAAUUUAAUUAAGAUUAUAAAACUUGAGGUUUUUUUUAAUUCUUCAAAAAUGUCAUUUAUUUAUUUUUGGCCAAAAAAUGCCAUUUAUUUAACUCUAAUAUGUGCUUUUAUGUUUUAUUUUAAAAAUAUAUGAAAUUCUAAUGAUAGUUAUAUUACAUAUUUUUUAAUUUUAAAUAUCAUUGUUCUUUUAUAAUUUGUUUCAAGUAUGAAAUGAUAUAAUUUUUUUUAGUAUCUAUCACAAUAACCUUUACUAAGAAUUGAAACUAAAUUUCUAAAUUUUGAACAAAAAUGAAAGUUUAAUUAAAUGAUACAUUGGUGGAUUCAUUACCCCUCAUAUCUAGUUCCCUUAAGUUGAUAAAUGUUUCCAAAUCUAGGAAAACAAAAAACAACAAAAUCAACUUCAUUAUAUUCUCUUCCAACAUUAUUAUAUUCUUGUUAAAAAUCUAAUAUUUUUACCUUUCAAUCCAUUGCCCCAUAUGCUCAAAGAUUUCAAAUUUGAAAGCUUCUUAAGGGAUGCAAAUACACUAGUAUUGAACUGAUUUCCAUCUAAAUAAAGCUCUUCCAAGUGGGUCAACUCUAAUUUUCGACCACCAUCAAUAAAAGAUUUAUAUAAUUUCAUCACUAAAAUGAAUUGGCAUAAACUUUUAUUAUAUAUAAGAAUUUAGGUAAUUGGUUAAAUAUAAAUGCAUACCAUUUAAGGAUUGAAAGCUUUCAAUUUCAUUCCAACUUAAAUCGAGUUUCUUCAAAUUUGUUAAAUUGCUCAAUCCUAUACAUAUCCUCAUCCAAUUCAAAAUCUGAAAUUAGUAAAGAUAAAAUUGCACAUUGACCCCCUAAAAUUGAUAAAAAUUUAAUUUAAUUCUUUAAAAAUUAUAAACAUAUGUAGCGACCUAAAAAUUUCGGCACGGGCGCUAGUCGAAGUAAUUAUUGUAAAUUUGAAAACUGAAUCUCGAUUUUAUUUGAAAAAGGAGUCGCCACCGAUAUUUUUUCUAGGUGUGAUCGGACACCUACAAAAUUCUCUUUUUAGAAGAAAAAAUUAUUUUUAAACUUUUCUAAAAAAGAGGUAAUUUUAGGUCCACGUAAAAAUCCAGAGAAAAUUAGGGUCCGGGAGUCGGUUACGCGCGAGGAAGGUAUUAGCACCCUCGCAACGCCCAAAAUUGGUAUCUCGUUAAACGCGUGUUGUCUUCAUUUUCAAAAAUACGAGUUCAAUUUAAUAUUAGUCGUGAUCCGAUUGAACACGAGAAUUUUAAAGCGCAACAACUUUUUCUUUUUUGAAAACACGAAAAUUUUAAAAUACAAGAAUUUUAGAAACACAAAACUUUUUUUUUAAAAAAAACACGAAGAAUUUAAAACACGAGAUUUUUUAUUUUUAUUUUUGAAAACACGAUUCUUCUUUUUGAAACACGAAAAUUUUUAAAACAGAAAAUUUGUUUUUGAAAACAUAAAUUUUUUGAUAAAAUACGAAACACGAGAAAUUUUGAAGACAUGAAAAUUUUUGAAACACAAUUUUUCUUUAAAAAAUACCGUAUUUAACACGAAUCGAUGAUAUUCAUCCCGAUAUGGCGAUGAAACCAUCGAAUUAGUGUUAACUCAAUUCAAUUUAAUAUUUAAUCGGGAUUCUAAUAAAACACGAGAAUUUUUAUUAAAAUACGAGGAUUUUUGAAUAUUUUUAUUUUUAAAAGGGUGUCCCGAAUUUAACACGAGCUAUCGAUAUCCACCCAACAUAGCGAUGAAUUCGAUGACUUGAUGCUAAAUCGGUUCGUUGCCUUAUGCAUUAAAAUAUUAUUAUUUUUAAAAAAAAUAUGCAAUUAAAAUGACAUAAUAAUAUUUAUGAAAACUGUUUUAAAGCAUACUAAUUUAAAUUAAAUAAAACACCAUUUAAAUAAAUAAAAUAAAAUAAAAUAGAUUAAAAAGAAAAAAAGAAAAAAAUUACCCAAAAGCCCAAAGUUAUGGGCUUAAAUUUUGGGCCUCCCCUUUUAUUAUUUUUUUUGCUGUUGGGCUNNNNNNNNNNNNNNNNNNNNNNNNNNNNNNNNNNNNNNNNNNNNNNNNNNNNNNNNNNNNNNNNNNNNNNNNNNNNNNNNNNNNNNNNNNNNNNNNNNNNNNNNNNNNNNNNNNNNNNNNNNNNNNNNNNNNNNNNNNNNNNNNNNNNNNNNNNNNNNNNNNNNNNNNNNNNNNNNNNNNNNNNNNNNNNNNNNNNNNNNNNNNNNNNNNNNNNNNNNNNNNNNNNNNNNNNNNNNNNNNNNNNNNNNNNNNNNNNNNNNNNNNNNNNNNNNNNNNNNNNNNNNNNNNNNNNNNNNNNNNNNNNNNNNNNNNNNNNNNNNNNNNNNNNNNNNNNNNNNNNNNNNNNNNNNNNNNNNNNNNNNNNNNNNNNNNNNNNNNNNNNNNNNNNNNNNNNNNNNNNNNNNNNNNNNNNNNNNNNNNNNNNNNNNNNNNNNNNNNNNNNNNNNNNNNNNNNNNNNNNNNNNNNNNNNNNNNNNNNNNNNNNNNNNNNNNNNNNNNNNCUCUUUUUACUUAAUUAUUUAUCAAUUUACACUAGUUCGAGUUUUUGUAACAGUAUCAUGGAGACUUAUGUACUAGGAGUUAGAUUGUAUUUUGCCUCUUUUACUCAAAAAAUGAGUAAAUUAAUCCUUGUACGUUAAAUCAAUGAGCAAACUAGUCCUUUUAGUUAACAUUUUCAUUCAUUUUUACUAUUAAAAAUUGGAGUGACUAACGAAAUAACCAGAUAGUUACACAUUACAUGCCAAGGGUGAAGCCAGAAAAUUCUUUUAGGGGGCCGAAAUUAAAUUUUAAUUUUUAAUAGCUUAUAUCUUUAUAAUUUUUAAAUGAUUAAAUCAAAUUUUUAUCAUUUUUAGGAGGGGACUAAAGUGUAAUUUUAUCUUUACUAGUUUAAAUUUCUAAAAUUUCUAAAAAGCCUAAAUGGAUAAUUUUCAAUUUUAGAGGGGUCAGGGCCCUUGCCAGCCUCCCUAGAUACGCCACUGUGGCAUGCCACAUGUACCUCAUGUCAGCAUACAUGAACCCGUUUUUAACAGUUAAAAUGGAUGAAUUUUUUAGUAGAAGGAUUAAUUUUCUCAUUUUUUGAGUAGAGGAAAGAAAAUGCAAUCCAAUGCCUAAUACAAGGGCCUCUAUGUCUUUCAUUAUUACUCAAUUAUUUGUCAUCAAAAGUUGUAUAUGUUCAAAUAUAAAUACAAUAAAACACAUAUGUAGUUAUUAAACAUAUCAUGCUAAUGUCAUUGUUUCUUCUUUAUCCAAAAUUAUUGGACUUAUAAAAUUCUUGAGAAUAAGAAAACCCCAUUAAACUUCCUUUUAAGUAAAACGUGUGUUCAAAAUCUUGAACUAGGUUUAUGCAGCAAUAGAAAUUCACAAGCUGUUUUUUUUAUACAUGAGAUGUGAAUCUCAAAAUUUUAGGGUUUCUGAUCUCAUAUAUUUUGGGUCCAGAUUUAAUGCUAAGGAUUUGUUGAGAAAGUUGAAAGGGAAGAAAAUGAUGUUCAUUGGGGAUUCACUAAGCUUGAAUCAAUGGCAGUCUCUAACAUGCAUGUUGCAUGCAUUUUUGCCACAAUCAAACUACACUGUUCACAGAGAAGGGAACCUUUCGACCUUUUAUUUGCCUGUGAGUUGCCAAAUCUAGUAGCUAUUUUAUUUCCUUCUUAUAAUUAAAACUUUUCAAUGUCACCUUUAGAAGGUAGCUGCAUGAAUCAAAUGAGUUAAAUCAAAUAGACUAAUUACUAUUGUUUGGCAAAAAUACCGAGUAGACCUUUUUAAAAAUAGUUAUUAUACUUUUAUUACAACAAAAUAAGCAGGGGUGAACCUAAAAUUUUUUUUAGCAGGAUAGAAAUUUAAUUAUAAUUUUUUCAUAGAUCAAAAUAUAAAUUUAUUAUGAAUUAAUUUAUAAUUUUAUCAUUUUUAAAGGGAUUAAACAGAAAUCAUUUCAUUUUUAUGGGGGUUAAAGUGUAAUUUUACUAUAUAUUAAUUUAUAAUUUCUUUAUUUAUAAGACUAGAAAAAAUUUUCAUGGGGGCCAAAGUACAAUUUUACUAUAUAUUAAUUUAUAAUUUCUCUAGUUAUAAAAGAACUAAAUUAAAAACUUUUCAUUUUUUAGGGGGGCCAAGGCCCUGCCUACCCCUUUCAGAUUAUUCGCCUCUGAUAAUAAGCCAUUAAACUUUAAUUUAUAACCGUUACCAUUAAUUUUUAACUUAUAUCCAAAUAACCCCUUACCAUUUUAUUUAUACUCAAAAUAAAAUUUAACAUAAAUAAAGGUGAGAGAGGGGCCUUGGCCUAUUGGUUAAAAUAGAAAAUUUUCAUUUAGGUCCAAAGGUAAAGCCAAAAAAUCAUUUUAGGGGGUUGGAAAUGAAUAAUAAAUUUUUGGGGAGACUAAUAUUGCAAUUUUAUCAUUAUAUCAACUUAUAAUUUCAUAAAUUUUGAAAAGAUUAAAAGACAAAUUUAUCAAUUUUUGGGGUUGUCUACUCUCCUGAGUUGGUCUCUAUUGAAAAUUAAUAAUUCCAUAAAAUAUAGCUUUCCUAAAUUUAUAAUUUUAGCUCGACCCUAAAUAUAAAAUUCUUUGCUUUACCCCUGAUAUUAAAUCAAAAGAUAGAAACUUAUUAUGUUACUAUAAGAAUAUAGGGAUUUAUUUAGCAAAAGCAAACUAUUUCAAGGACUUUUUUGGUAGUUUGCACUUAUAGUUGGUAUUAGUUAGAAUUAAGUGCCAAGAUUAAGUUUCCUUUGAGAUAUAUAGUUGGUUAAGCAAUUUAAUAUAAGUGGAAAUUUAGACCCCUAAGUUAUACCCUUCAUGCAUUUGGACAACUGUGUUGAGCCAAAAAAAAAAUUGCAGGAGUAUGAAGUUUCGUUGAUGCUAUCACGCAAUGCAUUUCUUGUGGAUAUUGUCCAAGAAAAGAUUGGCACCGUUCUGAAGCUUGAUUACAUUAAAAACGGCGAAUCAUGGAAAGGAUAUGACUUUCUCAUCUUCAAUACCUGGCAUUGGUGGCUCCACACUGGAAGAAAACAACCGUAAGCAAAACAUAAUUUCAGCAAUUAAAACCCGAUUUUUUAAUUGCAUCCCGAGUAGAUUUGUAAACAAAUACAACACUCGAAUUGGGUUGGGUUUGAACCGGAAUAUCAUUCCUAUAGUUUUGAUUAGACCUGUAGUUUAAAAGUUAAUUAUUUAUUUAAGUUUGAAAAUUCGUUUGAAAUUUAGAAGAAUAUUUAGAUAAAAAUAUUAGACUUCAUAAAUGAGCUUGAGUAAAAAAAUUAAACCCGUUUUUAAUAUGGGUUAAGCUUAAGCUCAAAAAAGUUAAGGAUCCAGACAUGUUGAUGAACUUAAAAUGAAUUUGCGAUAACUAUUUACAAAUAUUAGUAUGUUGGAGCAAAAUUUUAAGCCAUUGUUUGGUCCAACUAAAUUUAGGCAAAUAUAAAGUGCGUUAAUAUCAUGCUUAAAAUUGAUUCAAACUGAUCCCAACCCAUAACCACUUCUAAUUCUGAUUAGUUUGACUCAACCUUUUUAUUCUUUUAAAUACUUAUAAAAUCUCUUAUCCAAUUAUAUUUAUAUUUGAGCAAAAAAUGAUGUAUGUAUGUAUGUAUGUAUGUAUGUAACUUGAAAAAUGAAUUGGAUAUUAGAUGGGAUUUCAUUGAAUCAAGAGGAAAGGUGAAGAAAGACAUGGAUCGUAUGGCUGCAUAUAGAGAGGCACUAAGAACAUGGUCAAAAUGGGUGGAUUCCAAUGUUAACACUACAACUACCCAAGUGUUUUUUCAAGGCAUUUCUCCGACUCAUUUCAAGUAAGCUUUAGCUCUUCUCUUCUCUUCUCUUACCAUUUGCAUUAACUUCCUUGUUCUUAUUUUACUUAAAAGAAAUGGAAUUAUGAAAAAAAUUGAAAGCCAUUUUUUUUCCAAUAGAACUUAAUUCAUUUUAAUCCCAUCAGAUUUGGUUCAAAUUAGAGGUGUUUAUAAGUUGGUGAGUCAAUCGGCUUAGUUCGCUUUAGACUGCACUUGAAGUUAAGUUUUCAAGUUUCGAGCCAGAUUAGCCUUACUUGUUUUAUUAGUCGAAGAAAACUAUUUUUAAUUGUUUUAUAAACAAUGAAAAUGGACCAUUUAGGUAAGCUUAAGUUUGGAAAAUUUUUGAAAUUGGGCUUAAACUUGACUUGGAAAAUGAACACUUAUAGUUGAAAGAAACUCAUUUGUCAUAAAGCACAAAUACUUUUAUGAUUAGAGACGUUAAUGGGCUUGAACUUAAAUUUUCUUUUUGGUUUAAGCUUGGUUCGAGUUGAAAACUCGUAUUGUUUAAAAUAUUUCUAAUAUAUUAUUGUUUAAAAUAUUUCAUAAAUAUUUUCAAAAUGAAAUAUGUGUAAGAAUCAUAAAUUCAAGCUGUAGUGUUUCCUCAUAUAAAUUAUGAAUCACUCUAAAUAUCUCAAAGAGAAAAUGACAGUUCAUUGACAUCUAUAUAAAGAUUUUUUUUUUUAAAAUAAAAAUCAACAAGUCUCUUACGUUAUCCAUAUAUAAUAUGUGGAUGUACAAUUAUAAACUUCACCUCAAACAAUUUGGUAUUUUGAUCCACAAUUUUGACAGUGGCAAAGAAUGGAAUGGUACCAAAUCAACAACUUGCACACAUCAAAUCAGACCGGCUACCGAUUUAACGUACGAAAGUGAUCCACCUCCGGAAGUGACGAUCGUAAAGGAAGUGCUAAAAAACAUGUCGACGCCGGUGGUUUUGCUCGACAUAACCAGAUUAUCACAGCUGAGGAAAGAUGGUCACCCAUCAAUUUAUACUGGUCUAAAAGGAAAUGAUUGUAGUCAUUGGUGCCUAGCUGGUGUUCCUGAUACAUGGAAUGAAAUCUUAUAUGCAAUUCUUACAAGUAGGAAAACUUAAUUCAAGAUUAUAAUUUUUUUUUCAAUUUAAUGUAUUUAGUUAAUAAAAAUUAAUUUCCCAUUAAUAGAUGAAGAAUUUUAAAUUUAAUAACAUAGGUGUAGCCAUCAAUUUAAUGUAUUUUUUACCCGAACCCAAAUUAAGUCAAGCUCAAACCAAUGGAAAACCUACAAUAUUAUUCAUAAUAAUAUUGAAACUUUAGAUUUUUUUAUUAGUAUUAUAUAUUUUAAUAAUUAAUUUUAAAUAUUUUUAUUAAUAAAUAGUAUUCAGGUCGCGCCAGCCCAAUUUAAAAGAUAUUUAACUCAAUAUAAAUUCAACAUAUUAAAUGAAUAAUUCAAAUGUCAAAAUGAGCAAAGGAAAAUCUAGAGUUGUAAGCUUUGCAACUUUAAAUUGGACAUGAGAGUUUCUUUUAUUGGAUACAUGCCACAUUAUUUUUUAACAAAAUUCCUUUAUUUUAUCAAUUGAAUUUAAAUUAUUAUAUUAAUAAAAUUAUUUAAUUAUUUAAUUGUGUUUCAACCUUUUACAUAAAAUAAAAUUUUCUCUUUUAACUUUUUCAUCAUUUAAUUUUUCACUUUUUAAAAUCACCCUCAAUUUCAAAUAUAAAUUUACUUGUGUAAAAAAAAAUCUAAAUCUGUUAAUUGCAUCUAGAACUUUUCAGAGUUGGUCUUGUCAAAAUUUUAAGUCUAUUUGCUAGGCCCAAGUUUGGCCUAAAAAAUAGACUUAAAAUUUUGUCUAAAUUUAACCCGGAUAAAAUAUUAAAAUCAGGCUCGACUCAACUCACCUGAAUUAAUUUUUCUAUAAAAAUAUUAAAAAUAAUAGGUCAAAAUACUAAAAAUAUUAAAAUAAAUAUUUUUUAAUAAUUUAAAAAUAAAUUUAAAAAUAUUUAUACUUAGAUAAAAUUAACAAUAAAAUAAUUUUUUAAUGUUUAUUAAAAAAUGGGCCGGACCGGGCUCGGGCUUAUGAUAUUUUUCCCGGGCCGGGCCUGGAAAAAUAUCAGGCCCAUAUUUCGAGCCGGGCCAAAAAAAAUUUCUGGGCCCGACCCGGCCCAUGGACAGGUCUAAUCUUAGACCUUUUCAGUGUUGGUCUUGUCAAAAUUUUAAGUCUGUUUGCUAGGCCCAGGUUUGGCCUAAAAAAUAGACUUAAAAUUUUGUCUAAUUUUGACCCGAAUAAAAUGUUAAAACCAGACUUAGACUCAACCCACUUGAAUUAAUUUUUUAUAUAAAAAUAUUAAAAAUAAUACGUCAAAAUAUUAAAAAUAUUAAAAUAAAUGUUUCCUAAUAAUUUAAAAAUAAAUUUAAAAAUAUUUAUACUUAGAUAAAAUUAACAAUAAAAUAAGAGUUAUAUAAUAUAUAAAUAAUAAUAAAAUAAUAGUAACAACAAGAAAAUAGUAAUUUUUUGUCUUUUUGUUAAUUCAUAUCGGACCGGGCUUAACCCGGUUGAGAACGGUACUUAUAUUUGUACAAAAAAAAAAUCAAAAAAAAAUGUGAACGGUACUUAACCCGGUUGAGUCGGAGCUCCAUGACCCGAACAGCAAUUUAUUUUUCAAUUCUUCUUCGUUACGCAAAAAGGAAAAAAAAAAAAACAGCUCAUGAAAAUGGCAUGGUCAAAUACUCUGCUUCAGAUUCACAUCAAAUCCCCUUCGAUCCCUUCUCUCCAUUUCCCACAUUCCCUCCCAAAAAGCUCCCCAUUCCUUCUUAAUCCUAACCCUAUAAAUCCCAUUCCCAGAUCCCUCAGAAUGCAAUUCCUUCACAGACCCAACGCUGUCCCACUCGUAUCAAGAGCCAUGGACAUCAUCCAAUCGUCUCCUCCCACGUGGCAAUCCGCAGUCCUCAGUAACCUCUUGAUCUUCGUCGUCGGCACCCCACUUUUAGUGGCGGGGCUUUCUCUCUCCGGAAUUUGUGCUGCGUUCUUGCUUGGCACUCUCACUUGGCGCGCUUUUGGCUCCCCUGGGUUUCUCCUCGUUGCUUCGUACUUCGUUAUUGUGAGUUGCUAAUAAUAUAUUAUGAAUUGUAGCUGAAUUAUGGGAAUUAAGUUAAAUUUUGGAAAUUGGGUUUUGAUUUUGUAUCCAUCUGGUAUUAAAAGUUGCUUGCUUUGGAGAAUUAGCUGUCAUUGUUUGGUAGUAUGGCAAGGAAAAUAAACUUAAUUUAUGUCGAAAGGUUACUUUUUAAUUAGUUAGCUAUUCAAGUUUGAUUAGUUGUAUUUAGAGAAAUUGAUUGUACUAGGUGAAAUGAGAUCAAAAGAUUAACAAAAGUUACUUGAUGGUUUCUAGCUUUUUAGCUGAAAUAAAGUCCUGUAUGAAAUGAUAUAAUAUUUUAGUUUUCUAUUAUGGCUUGUUUUCCUUGCAAAGUAUGAAUCUUGAAUUAGUUCCUGCCUCCCUCUUCUAAUUCUCCUUACCCAUUUCUAGUUGAAAGUUAAUUGAAAUUCCAUGUGAUUUUGUGUUAUAAUUCCAGUUCAUAAUCUGAAUGGAGACAAUAAAUUUGGAUGAAGGAGCUUUAAGCAGUGGGAAAAAUCCAUAAUAAUUUGUAAUUCUCUAAAUCUCUAAACAAUCUUACAUCUCUUUGUCAUGCCUUUCAAACAUAGUUGGUAUAACUAUGUUCAAUUGUCUUAGCUAUUGUUUAAUCAUUUUUAAUUUUUCAUUCCCCCUGCUCCCCCAAAAAAAAAUGUUUGUCUGAGCAAUGAGUCUUUCUCAAAAUCAAUUUCCAAGGCCAUUUUAUUUGAUUAUGACUUUGUGAGUAAAACAUGUUUGUAUUUGUUAGGGAACCGCAGUAACAAAAGUGAAAAUGGCUCAAAAGGAGGCCCAAGGGAUUGCUGAGAAGAGGAAAGGAAGAAGAGGACCUGGGAGUGUAAUUGGGUCCAGUGCUGCUGGUUGUGUAUGUGCUGUUCUAACAAUAUAUGGAGUUGGAGGAGAGGCAUUUACACGUCUUUGGCAACUUGGUUUUAUUGCUAGUUUCUGUACUAAGUUGAGUGAUACAGUGUCCAGUGAGAUUGGGAAAGCAUAUGGCAAAACAACGUAAGUAGUGCAUCUCUGUUUGUUAAUGUAUAGGCGCUUUAGAUUAACUGUAUUAAUAAUUCUCCUUAGUUCAUUCUAAAGAAAGGAUAUUUCAAAUCAAGUGGAAUUUAGAUCCCUUAUGGUUCUUGCUAUAUUCGAGCUCUAUUAUUGUCAUAUAUGCUGGUGAUAAAGGUCGCUUUGACAUCCUAUAUAGAAACAAAAUUUGUGAGUGUUAAUAUUGCCUCAAAUCUUUUUUUUUUUCUUCAAAGGUUUAUGUCAAUUGCUACUCUCUUUUUUUUUUACUGUUAAACUACACUUUAGAAUUGCAAAUAUAAAGUGUGUGAUGUGCCAAAAUGAACAGGUACCUGGUGACAAACUUUCAGAUUGUUCCUAGGGGAACAGAAGGAGCUGUCAGUGUUGAAGGAACUGUUGCUGGACUUCUAGCAUCUAUACUGCUUGCCACUAUUGGUUGUCUAUUGGGUGAGGUAGUACUUGCUAUGUACUCAUACUAUGUGAAUAAUUUGUUCUGCCAUUCAUGAUACCAUUUUUUUUUAAUAACAAGCAUUAUUGUGAUCAUUACAAAAUGUUUACACCUUGUAAGAACCUGGAAUUUUUUCUAGUCUCUGCAACAAUAGACUAAUUGGUGGGGUGGUGCCUAGAUGGAAUGAUUUUGCAGAUAUAAUUUGUUGAAGGUGUUUUUCAAAGGGAACUCUUAGCAAAAUAGCAGAUCAUGAUAUAUUUAUAAAUUGAUUUUGACAUCUCAGUUUAGGCGUGUACGACCUUUGUGAGCAUUAUUUUGCUGGGAACUUAAAUUUCAAUUUAAUAUAGUUCAGGUAUUACAAUUUGGUAAAUUGGAUAAUAUUUUCAAGGGGAAGGAGAAUUAAAUUAGUUGAAACCGAUUUUUAUUGUUAGUGGUUUUUUGUAUGUGAGUGGAUGAGGUUGUCUCUCUAGCCUUGCUGCAUCUUUAGCUAGGAUUUUCUCAAAAAUCUUGUAUAUAUCCCUAAGGUUAUGGUGUUGUUCAUAGUAUUGACGCCAUAACCUCUAUACACUUUCAAACUGAAUAUGAUCAACAGCUUCUAGAGAAUGCAUAAAUGAAAUAUGGGUAUUUGAAUUUAUAGAGAUGUUCUAAGCUUCUGUUUUUUGCUUUUUCAUUUAUCUUUGCAAGCAGAUAAAUGUACCUGAGGUAUUGAUAUGUGUAAUAGCAUCCCAGAUUGCUAAUCUUGGUGAGAGCAUAAUUGGUGCUGCAUUCCAAGGGAAAGAAGGAUUUCGUUGGGUAAGGAAUCAUUUGAAUAAUAGGAUGGUUUCUGUCAUCCUGUUUUCUUAACCAUUUUUUCUUAAAUUUAGUGCCUAUGUAUCUUCUAGAUUUUAGUGUUACCGAUGAAUCAGGCUUGAUUCUAUAUGAAUGUAUGGUUUGAUGUGGUAUAUCGAUGAGAUGAUUACAUGUAUAUCAUUUUGUGGACUCUCAUCAUGUUUGGAUCUGGCUGCACUCCUAAAGCUGUAGUGAGGAAGAAUUAUAUACCCACUGUUUUGGGGUAAAGAAGAUCGAAGAGUAAAUUUAGAGAGAUCAGCCUGUUAUAAAACUGCCUGCUAAGGAUUAAUUCUAGUCUUAAUUUUCAUUCGAUGAAAUCACGGUAUUGUGCAUGUAAAAGGCUGUUAUGUUGGUCUGAUUCUUCUUUUUGCUUUGAAGUAUCCAUGUUCAACAUAUAGUCACACAAGAAAUAUGGAGAUAUGACCUUCAAGAUACAUGAUAAACUUUAGCACAAAUCUCUAUCAGACACUUACCUGAAUUUGAGCGAAAUAUCUGGGUUGGCCAUAUAUAAAUCUGCCUAGGAUCUAUCAUCUUAGCAUGUUUAUAUGCUUUUCAUUAUAAGGCUGAAACUUGGAUUCUUUUACCAUAUUGAUUUUGGUUUUCAUCUUGCAGCUGAACAAUGAUGCUGUUAAUGUCAUCAACAUAUCCAUAGGCUGCAUUUUGGCAGUCUUAAUGCAACAACUACUCCAAAACUGGCAAAUGUAAGUUCACCCCAUCAUCUCUUUUGCGAUGUCAGGUAAUUAUUGCAGAGUUCAUCGACACUGCAAUCGACAUAUUGCAAUGUGGGGAAAGAAAAGAAGAAGAAGAAAGAGAAAGUCUUCAAUGUAAUGCAAGAGAUGAGCACAAAGGUGCAACAAUUAUAGCAAUGAUUUUGCUAACCUUGAAAGAUACUCAAAUGAUAUGGAAAAUCAUUAGCAUAACCAUUUGUUCCAUGAGUAUAUUUUAAAAAGGCUUCUCUCUUUUAUAGUCUUGGUAUUCAAAGAUGUAUUCCUUUUAUCAAUCUCCAGUUAGAAAUGAAUUAGAUGCUUUUUAAAUUGCAUUUCUUAACCAAAAUUAUUGGCUUUUUUUUUAUUGUUGUUGAGCCGCACUGGAUUUAUGGGUGUAAUUGAAGCACAAGCUUGACUUGGAACUUUUAUGUUCAAAGUUCGGCCCGGGCCCAAGCUUGAGUUCAAUUAAGCCAUUUGUGAAUAUAUCAACCAAUUGUUCCUUUGUAAAGACAUGUCUAGUUUGGACUAAACCAUCUUGGAUUUUUUUUACAAGGUGAGAGUCAAUCUCUAUAUGUUUCGUUCUCUCGUAGUAUUCAGGGUUGGUUGCAAUCUGAAUUGCUGCUUGACUAUCAUAGAAUAAUAUGAUUGGUUCUACUCGUUUAAAUCCAAGUUCCUUCAGUAGUCCAGUCAACCAAACUAACUCAGCCAUAGUUCUAUACUUUGCCUUUGCUGAAGAUCGUGAUACUGCAUUUUGUUUUGUUUUGUUUUUUCCAAGAGAUGAGACUUAAAACUUCUGGAGGAUGGUCAGGAUGGGUGUUUGGUUUACAAGGUAAAGAAAACGGUGAAGGUGGAGUUUGUGAGGUUUUCUUUUUACCUUUCCCUUUGGAGGAGGAUGAAGGUUGGAUCAUGAAAUUUUCUGGAAGUUUUUCUGGUGGUCUAGAAAGAAUGUCUGCAAGAACAUUGGUUUUCCCUUUUAUGUGGAGGACAUUCUGUCACUAAUCGCUUUGACAUUGGACUUGAAGCCCAAUUCGAAUCACAAUAUGCUACAAGUUAUGGAGAACCAACUACAGCACAGAAUAAACCUUGUCCUGGAUCCUUUUUAAUGUAUCUGACUAUUCUAAGAGCAGCUUUAUAAUGCGACUUCUUGGGUCGUUGCAUAAACUGACUGGAUGUUGUACCACAAACGUCAUAUCUAGCCUUGUAUGAGUCAAGUACAAAAGCCUUCUAAUAAGCCUUUGAUAUAAUGAAACAUCUGUCAAUACCUCAUCAUCAUGAUUCAUUUGCACCAUCUCAUCUUACUGGAGAUGUCAAGUUUUGAUUUUGUUCUAAAGGAGUGACAACUAUCUUUCCUCCCCCUUACCUCGUGUCUGAAAUUAAUUCAAGAGCAUAUUUGCGUUGAUUCAGUACAAUUUCAAACUGUGAUCUUGUGAUUUCAAUGCCAAGAAAAUACUUUGAGAUCACCUAAAUCUUUCAUUUUGAAAUUUUGAUGCACAGUUCCUUUAAGCUCAUUUAUAAGCUUGGUAUCAUUUCCAGAAAUCAACAAAUCGUUAACAUAUAUCAACAUGACAACCAGCUUAUAACCUUUCUUCUUGAUAAAACGAGAAUAAUCGUACUUACUUUGUGAAUAACCAUUUAGAAGAAUAGCUUUAGUAAGCUUUAGAUUCCACUGUCAGACUUAGCAAUUGACAUACUCUAGUCUCUCUUUGAUUGCGAAAAUCGUCUGGAAGAGUCAUAUAAACCUUCUCAUGUAAAUCUCCUUGCAUUAUAGGCAUCCAUUUGAAACAAGGGCCAACCAAACUAUACAGCAAGAGCAAUGACCGUGCAAAUUGUGACUUGCUUCGCAACAGGGGAAAGUGUCAUGAAAAUAAAAAACCUGCCUGCUGAGUAUAACCCUUCCUAACAAGUCUGGCUUUAAAUCUUUCAACCGAGCCAUCAGAGCUGUACUUGACCUUGUAGACCCAUAUGCAACCAAUGGGCGUUUUACUAGGAGGUAAAGGAACUACCUCCCACGUGACAUUUGAUUCCAAUGCUUGAAUUUCUUGAUCCAUGGCCUUUAUCCAAUGUUUAUCCUUAAUUGCUUCACUUUAGGUUUAAGGUUCAAUAAUAUGGGAAAUGGAGGCAGCAAAAAAUUGUGUAUGCAAAGGUAAAUGAGCAUCAGCUAUACAAUUAGAUAUAGGGUACUAACCUUUAUGGAGUGAAGAAGAUAAAGAAGAGCAAUUUAAAUCUUUCAUCCAUGUAGGAUCCUUAAAAGAACGAGUAGUGCGAUGUAAAGACAGCUGGUAAGGUAGUAGACUACGAAGGUAAUAAGGACUGGUUGGGAAAUGGAGCUGAAGAACGACAAGGAGCUAAGGAUGAACAUUUCAAAUGGGAUUUUUCCAAUUCAAAGCUGAAGUAGGUAAUCUGUUAACAAUAUAACAAGCAGCAAGGAUACACUCGCCCCAAAAUUUGGUAGGUACAUUAGACUGAACUUUGAAAGCACAUGCUAUUUCUAACAAAUGUCGAUGCACACAAGAACUUUGAUGUAUUAUGCCUAAGAAGAAAAAAAAGGAGUAUAUUCAGAGUUAAAGAACUCAGUACUUAUGACUUCCAAAAGUUUUAACAACAGUUGAAAAUUGCGUGUGAACCAAGGCUAUAAACUGUUUCAAAAUGACAAUAGUGUCGGUUUUAAGCUUAAACAGAUGAACCAAAGAAAAAGGAGAAUCCGCUCGAGAAUAACUAAUAGGAAAUGGCAAUCGUGUUUGUUUAGUAAGAGGACGAACAUGGCAUGGACUAAUAUAGUCACUGUUCCAAAAUGAAAGAAACAUGGCCAAGUCCGGCAUGCCAAAGGAAAGACUGAUCAUGAGAUGUCAAAAAGGAAGAAAUGGGAGAAGAUACAAAAGAUGGCAAUUGAGGCUGUUGAUGCACCAGAAUGUAAAGAUCAUUCUGUUCUUUACCAAUCCCCUUCACUUGUCCACUGCAAAGUUGCCGUAAAAGGCAAAAAUCGGGAUAAAAGGAUACAAAACAAUGUAAGUCUCGAGUUAACUUGAAAACGAAAAUUAAAUUGAAAUGAAAGUCUGGGACAUGAAGGGCAUUGGUUAACUUGAUAGAGGAGGACAAGACAUAGGAACCCAUGUGAGUAAUAGGGACGGAUUUACCAGUGGGAAAUUGGACAAAUGAAGAAUGAAAAGUAAAAGGAACAAGAGAAUCCAAAUAUUGGCAAUCAGAUAUCAUGUGGUUGGUGGCCCUCGUCUCCAAAAUCCAUUGGAAAGAUGCAGGCCAAGAAACCAUACCUGCCAUGUGAGCAGCUACUCCAACAGUUGAAGUGAACUCAAGACUGAGUAAAUUCAAGAUCAGUAGAUACUGUGCCUGAAUAAACACAGGUGCAAAUACUAUGGUAGCAUUGUUAGUCAUAGUUGACCUUUGUUUUGUAAAUUUAAAAUCAACAGGAUACCCAAUAAGCUUCUAACAAGUUUCCCGUUUGUGACCUUUAAUCUUUCAAUGGUCACACACAUCUUUCAAUGGUCACAGAAUACAAUGUUGUAGGUUCAGAAGGAAAAGAUAUGCCAGAAGAAUGUUGUCUUUGAGCUUCCUCUUGAACAAGCACGGAAUUAGCUUAAUUAACAGAAGGUAAGGGUUCCAUUAACAAAACCUGACUUCCAACAACAGCAUAAGAAUCAUUCAGGCCCAUCAGAAACUGAAAUAACCACUGUUGUUGAAUAAGUUGUUGAUUCAUGCGGGAAUUUUCACAAGAAAAAGAACCAAAGCAUCGUAAUCCCACAAAAGCUUCAAUCGUGUAAACAAAACUGAAACAGAGUAAGUACCUUGAGCAUGGGAAGCAAUCUCACCAUGAAGAACCAUCGACUUUCUCAUAUCGUUCUUGAAGUUCUUUCCAUGUUGACAAAAAUAAACUGUGCGGUAUAAUUAUAUAAUUAACGUCGCUCAAAAUUAACAUAAAAUUUCAAUAUUUGUAAAUUCGAAUAAAGAAGGUGAAAUUCAAUUAUAUUACUUUAUAUACUCAGUGCUUUCUAUGUAAAUUAUUUUCAUUAUUUUAAAUAUAAAAUGUUUAUAUUAACAUGAUAAAAAAUAAAUUAAAUUAUAAAUUAAAUAAAAAAUAAAAUUCAGUUUUAGUUACAUUCAAAUACUCGAUUUUUGGGGUUUUCUGCGCCCUAAUAGUAGGAAAAGAAAAUUCUCAUCAAACCCUAAAGCCCAUAAAAGAAAAAGUGAGAAGUUUAGUUGAUCUAUCAGAAUCUCAAGCACUCACCCUUAAUUUGCAGUAAGUUGCGAGUCUGCAAUUCUUUAGACCCCUUUUCUCAAUUGAUUUUCUUCUUUAACCAAUCGUUUCUCUCGCGCUCUGUUUCUUUUAGGAUGGCCGAUGAACAUAUUUCCACAGUCCUGGAGCAGCUACGACGAAUCAUGGCCGACGAAAGAUUUCGGAACUCGGAGUUUCAGAUAAACUUGCUUGUAUGGAGACUCGAAGCUUUUCAAUCUAUGAUUCUUUAACAUGGGGACGGGCUAUUUUCGGUUCGGCUAUUGGAGCGUGGGAUUACUGUUCAUGCACUCGAUCAAGUGCUAUAUAACAUAGAAGAUGUAAUUAACGACGUCUUACAUUUAGGAGUAUCUACUGAAUUAGCAGCAGCAGGCCUUGAGAAGUUUGCUUCUACUCAAUCAAAAGCAGCAUCAGCAGAAACAGCCACUCUUUACAUCUUGCGCAAGAGGUUGGAAGAAUUGGAGGAGGUAUUGAUUGGUAAUCCGCAUGAAUCGCAUCCCUUGCACUCUAAACGAUCUUUUUUUGUAAAAUUGUCAAAGUUAUAUGGUCUAGAUGUGGUUAAGAAAGAUAUAAUAAAUGUAAUUUUGGGUGAAAGUUUCAGGGAUAGUAGCGACAGCAUUAAAACCAUCAUUAUUGUUGGCAUGGAAGGAACGGGGAAAACAUAUCUUGCGCGGUGCAUUUGUACUGAUUGUCAAGUUCUGGAAAUUUUUGACAACAUAAUUUGGGUGAAUGUUUCGGAUGAUUUUGAUUUAGGUAAAAUUGCAAGAAAAAUUAUUCUGUCUCUUGAAGGUUUGGAGCAUGACUCUUUGCGUCUCCUAACAUUAGUUCCAUUGCAAAGUCUGUUAGAUAGAAUUCAGCGAAAGAUUGUUAACAAGAAAUCACUUCUUGUUUUAGAUGGUGUGGGGAGAUAUGAUUGUGAUGAUUGGGAAGCACUUAGAGCUGUUUUUCAACAUGGCAUGUCGGGGAGUGGGAUUCUAGUGACUACUCAUGAGCACUCGGUUGCAGGAGCAAUGGAAUCAUCUUAUAAAUUUUGUUUGGGAAAGCUGUCUGAUGAGUUGUGUUGGAUGAUACUUCGUGAAGUUGGAUUGAAUGAUGAUACUCUUGAAUAUGCGGUAGAGGAUAUAGGAAGGGAACUUGCAAGGAGGUGUGAAGGACUACCCUUUGCUGCAAAGGUUUUGGGAGAUGCUAUACGACAUUAUGACUUUGGAAUAAGAGGAUGGGAUGUUUUUCUGAGAAAUUGUAUCUGGAAAUCUCCUAGAAUACCCAAAUAUAUGUCUAAAAUUCUAUCACUAUCUUAUUGCAAUCUACCUUUGUCUGUAAGACGGUGCUUAUCGUAUUGGGCUAUCUUCCCCAAAAGCUUUGAGAUUUCAAAAACUCUUUUGGUGCAACACUGGAUGGCACAAGGUUGUCUGUACUCAUCUGAUAAUUUAGAAAUGGAACUAAAAGGUGAAGAGUACUUUAAAUGCUUAGAAGCUCAUUCAUGUUUCCAAUAUUGUACCAGAGAUGGUGGUAUGCUUACUUGUAAGAUGCAUAGCUUAGUACAUGAUUGUGUCCAAUCUUUGUCCCCAUAUGAUUUAAUGAUGAGGUUCGAGUCUGUUAAACAGCUGACCUUGAAUUUAUCUUCUUGGACGGAGGAGGUCAAAGUUGUUGGCACUCAUCAUUUGGUAAUGAUGAUUGCUCAAGGAGCUGGUUUUCCCAUGGACAUUAGUGGUGCAGAGAAAUUGAGGACCCUUGUUGCUGUUACUCAAGGGUGUUUGAUAACUAGUCAAGCAUUAUCUAACUUAUUUAAACAAUCCAAACAUCUGAGGUUAUUGGAUUUGAGCUUGACUAGUGGGUGGCAUAAUUGUUUUGGGCCAUCCGGACAAGGUAAUAUACUAGAUGAAAUUCCGGUGGAAAUCUGCAGAUUGAUUAAUUUGAGGUACCUUAGCUUGGCUGGCAGCAAAGUAUUGAAGAUAUUACCAGAAACAUUGUGUGACUUGCAUAAUUUGCAAUCCUUGGAUCUUACUGGUUGUAGUAGUCUUAGAAAAUUGCCAGAUGGAAUGGGGAAAUUAAUGAACUUGAGGUAUUUUUAUACCUGGUGUUGCUCUAGUAUAACUUCCUAUCCAAAAGGGAUUAGCUGCUUAACUUCUCUUUGAGAAUUAACCAAUGUCAUUGCUAGAGCUGAUCACAAUGAUGCAAAGGAAUUCACUCUUGGAGAUUUUGAAAAGUUGAACAACCUUUGUGGACAUGUUCGUGUGAAACUGGUAGGGAAUGCGAUGGAUGCAGAUGAGGCUAUUAGAGCUAACCUUUGGAACAAGAAGGAUCUUGACCGUAUCAGAAUAAAUCUGGAUGGGGAUAUAGGGAAAGAAAGCCAAGACGUUAUAAAGAAAGCAUUAAACCCGCCUUCCGACUUGAAUAUAGAGUUCGUAGGUUGGUGGUUCUAGUCCAGAAAUGUAAGGAUGCUGCAAAGCAACAGGUAGUCUCUCUGUCUCAUUUUCUCUUUUGUUGUAGCUUUGAUGGUUCAAAUUCAGUAUUUACUCCUAUGAUUCAUUCAAACCCAAAUUUCAGUUGUGUUAUAGUAGUUCUAGUUUCUGUUGUUAUCAUCUGAUUAGAUGGAAUAUUAUGAAAUCUCUUAUAACAUUACAAUGACAAAGAUAUCGGCUUGUCUAUCACAUGAAAUUUCUCUCUUGCUAAAGCAUGCUCUGAAUGAAUCACUUUAAAACGGCAAGAUAACUUAGAUUAUCCUUAUUUUCUUUUGCUGGACAUACAUAUCCCGUGAGAGACAUUGUCGUUAUCGGUGGUACUGUAGUUAAAGUUGGAGUAUAUUUUUAGUAUUUUAGUUUUUAUAUUAGGAUUUAAUCAGUUAUUAAGAUGGAUUUUUUCUGGAAAAAACAUGGAUACUUUUUUCUAAAAUUUUUUAUUAACUCUUUUGAAAUUUGUUAAAUUUUUAAUUAUUUUUAUUAGUUUUUGAAUUUUUAUGAAUUAUAGGUAGGCUACCACACGAAUUGAUCACGUCAAUAUUGUUAAAAUUUUAAUAAUCUUUUUAAUUCAAAAGAAAGUAAUAUAACUAAAUUGUAAAGGUUAAGUGUAAAAGUCAAAAUGACAAAAUAAGUCAACAUUAAAAGAUUAAAUUUAUCACGAUGCCUUUUUUAUAUACUCAUAAUUAAUUAUAAUAAAAAGUUAACUUUAUUCAGAUAUAUUUGUUAUUUUAAAUAAAUAUUCAGAAUACAACUUGAAAAUAAUCUCAUGUUUAUAAUUAUAACACGAAAACUUUACUUACUAUAUAAUGGAAGAGUAUUUGGUAUAUUAACAGUGUGCCUUUUUUUAUUGCACAAGUAUGUGUAAAAGAUUGAUAUAUGUCUUUAUUUUUUAAUAUUUUAUUAUACUUUCUAAGACACUUGUCAAUCUUUUAACUUUGCUUAUAAAAUUUAAAAAUUCCACUAAUAAUCUCACCUAGCAAAAUGGAUUAAAAACAUUUAAAGUAAUUUAGUUGAAUUAUGAUAAAAGGUCAAUGUAUUCUAAAAUGCUAAAUGGCAUAAAUUUGAGUUUGUCAAAUUCUCUAGCAUUGGGAGGUAAGUCAAAUUGCAAACUAAGUUGAAUAUUUUUUGGCUUUUCAGUAAUCAUAUUCAUGCUAAUAUUUUUAGAUUUAAUUCUCACUUUCAAUAUUAAAAGAGGGUUCAAAUGCAACUUGGAGUCAACAUGAACAUGAUACUUUGAAAACCCUAAAGGGCACUUGCACUCUUGUUUUGGAGGUGAGGUUAAGAAGACCUACAACAAGUUUUAAUAGAAUUUGAUAUAGUUGAAAAAGAUUCAGAGGAAAAUGGUACCAAAAUCUACAGUCGUGGAAUACGAUGACUGUAUUAAAAUAUAUGAAAUUGGUUGAUGGUUUUAUUUAUUGUCUCUUAAUAUUUUAACUAAUCAAUUAAGUAGUAAUGAGAAGGACAUGACACUUAAUCAUUAUAGUUUCUAGUUAAAGUUUAGGAAGAUGCAUUGACAUCAAUUCACUAAUUUUUUAUGAAAAAUGUUUUUAACCGGUUCAUAUCCCCAAUACCAUUGAACGUUGAAUCAAAUGGUUUUGUUGAUUAGAGAAAGACACUAAGAAAUGUAGAGGAACAUGUAUGCGUAAGAGAGAAUUUGAGGCACAUUUAAUAAGUUAACUUUGGAAAUUUUAUAUGUGGAUAAUAGCAACGAAGAAAGAGACUGUUGAGAAUGAUCAAACUUGGAGCAUAUGUUUAGAUCCAUGUGGAGGUACCUAUUAGGUAAGUGAAACAAGCAAUUGAAAUGAUGGAGAGUUUAGUACACCGGUAUCGUACUAUGAUAAUUUAUGGUCAUUUUUAAUUAAUACAAGUCAAAAAUAAUAAUAUUUAAUAAACCUAAAAUUAAUGGGCAAAUAGUGAUGAGUUAUCCUAAAAUAGAAUUGAAGAGGAUAAGGUCCUACAAUUAAUAAUAAGAAAAGUGAAGACUCUUUGAAAAGAUUAAGGAUGUACUUUGAUUAAGAGUGGUUAUAAAAAAAAAAAUUGGGGGGAAGGGAUAGAGUGGAGUAAGGAAAGUGGUGUGAUUGCCCAUUAACAUAAGUAAGAAAUAUGCGAAUGAUUGCCCAUUAACAUAUAGAGUAGGUAAAAUUGACUUGUUUUUCUAGAAAGACAAUAGAUAAGCCUAAAAAGUUAUAAAAAGUAAUUGUUAAAAUAGUUAAAAUGAGAGGAAAAAAUAAGAUAUUUUUGUUUAUGAGAAUUAAGUGUCGUGAGUCGGGACGAAAAGAUUAAUCAUUGUUACGACAGUAAAUACCUUGAUUACAACGAAAAAGAUAAAAUACCAUUUUACUUUAUAGAAAAUUCUCAUGAUUUUAUAAAAUAUACCAUGAAUAUAUUAAAUCAUAUAAAAAGCGUAAUUCUAUAACUCAUACCUAAUUUAAAUACAGGAUGGUAUUUAGAAUGAUUAUAAGAAAAUGCUUGUUCAUGAAUGUUGUGAGUUUUCCGAAUCUUGGGGACAAUGUACCCUCUGGCUCCCGUCAGGAUUCACCUGGUAAUUUAUAAAAAGGAAUAAACAAUCACUUGGUAACUCACAACUCACAAGGCAUAAAAUAUAAUCACGUCAAGCAGCAAAACACAAACCUUUUUUAAUAUUCCAAUCUAAUACAAGUGAUAAUAUCAACUCUUAGAGCCCUAACUCUUAAAGUAUCAGCACAUAAUUUUAACCACUUACUUUUAAUAAAUACCACCAUCACUACCAUUAUCACCAUCGACAGAGCCUCUCAAUUCAUAUGUCCUGCAAAAAAUGGUGUCAACACUAACAAAAAAACCAAAAUUAUAUCAUUAAAAUAUAUUUGUAUUUCUUAAAAGGCAGAUCAUUCAGUUUUUCUGGACAAGUUUCCCUAUGCAAUCUAAUACAAGUGAUAAUAUCAACUCUUAGGGUCUGUUUGAUUGACGGAAUUGAUUUUCCGGAAAAUCAUUUCCAACUUUUCCAGCGUUUGAUUGGCGGAAAACAUUUUCCAUUUGGAAAAUGAACUCCAAAACAAGGGAAAAUGAGUUACAUUUUAGGGAAAAUGUCUUACUCUUUCAAUUUCUAUAAUUUUAGGCUUUUCCCACCUACCUCUAAUUACACAAAAUAUUUUCAGAUUUAAUUUACUAAUUUUGGCUUUUACAAGGUCAAGAUUUGACUAUCCCAUCAAAUGUCCCAAAUUUAUAAUUUGGUCCCUCUUCUCUUUUCCAUGCUUCAAUCUAACCCCUUCUUUGCUUGUUUUUGAUUUAAAGUGCCCGAAUUUUGUUCCUGUCAAUAUUUAAACACAAAACGCACCAAUUACCAGGGAUUAAUUUGAGAAUAAGUCGAGUUGAACACGUAAAUUAUGCAAAAUGAACAAGUUAUCAUUGACCAUUAGUGCUACGUCAGCACAAACAAACGGUGUUAGUGCAGAGAUACCAACCUAGGUGACAGAAUAUAAAUUCAGGUACCAAUUAGAUAAAAAAAAAUCAUACACCAAAUAAAUACUUUUGAAUAAGUUCGAAAAUAGACGACAAAUUAUCCUUUCUUUUCUCUUUUUAUCUACCUGUAAUAUUUGAAUAUGAAAAGAAGUUACACAACUUUUCAAUUUCAAUAGUAGUUAUUUAACUUUGCCUAGUUGAGUUUUACAUAAAAUUUCUUUCUUUCGUUGAACAUGCUCUCAAUGAAUCACUUCAAACCCCCAAGAUCCUAAUAUUUUGCAGAACAUAUCAAUUGAGAGGCUCUAUCGAUGGUGGUGGUGGUGUUAGAAUCCGUUUAUGCUGGUGGUAGCAUUUUGUAUUUUUUUUUAUCGUAUUUAUUAAAAAUAAGUGGUUAAAAUUACGUGUUGAAAAUUUAAGAUUUAGAGCAUAUCGCCACUCGUAUUAAAUUGUAAUAUAAGCAUCGAUUGUAAAAAGAAAAGUUUGUGUUUUGCUUGUACUGUCUCAUAAAAGACAUUAAGUAAUUUCGUUGUCGUGUUUAUAUUUUAUGCCUUAUGAGUUACCAAAUGGUUGUUCAUUCCUUUUUAUAAAUUACUAGCCGAAUCCUCUUCAGUGAAGGAGCUUGAAAAUUUUUUGGGAGGGUCGGAAUUAAAUUGUAUAUUUGUAUGAUGGUAAAAAUAGAAUUUUAUAAUUUUAAUAGCUUAUAUCUUUAUAAUUUUUAAAAGGUUAAAUCAAAAUUGUAUCAUUUUAAGAGGUCAAAGUAUAGUUUUACUAUUACUAAUUUAAAAUUUUAUAAAUUAUAAAGGGCCUAAAUUAAAAUUUACUAUUUUAAGGGGGCUAUGGCGCCUUGGGUCUCCACUACAUUAUGCCACUGAUCCUCAUGGAAGACAGAGGCUACCUUGACCCCCAAGAUUUAGAAAAUUGCCAUUUGACCUUUUUAAUUUUAUAAAAUUUUUAAUUUAGUUUAUUAAAAUUCUGUAAAUUUUCAUUAAACAAUUUUUAAAACUUUUAAUUAGAUCUCUCAAAUUCUUUUUGGAAAUUCUUAUUUUCUCAAUUAAUUUUUUAAUUAAACUAUUCAGAAUUUUUGAUAAUUCUCAUUAAACCUUUUUAAAAUUCUCGAAAUUUUAAUUAAAUUGGUAAAAUUUGAAAAAUUUUAGUGAAGGGAAUCCCUCCCACAUAUUGAUCAAGAAAGCUUUGAAAAAAUAUUAAUUAAUUAUAUGUUUGAGAGAUUAAUAAUGUACUAUUUGGCUCCCAACAAUAAUAAUUCACUCUUAAUUUUGCUUCUUUUCCCUUUUUCUUUUACUUGUUUUUGUGAAAGAUAUCAUAAUAUAUGUUUUAAAUAAUUAAUGUAAUAAUAGAAAUAUUAAAAAAUAUAGUUAAUAGUAACAAUAUUUUAUACAAGCACAAUGACUUAUUCAAUUCUCCAAUUUUACAAAAAGAGACCAAUAAGUGAUUAGAUGUAAUGACAGGUCACAUUGCAUUCCCAAAAGAACUGCCUAAGUUCGAACAUCAUAAGUAAUAUAAAAACUUAAACAAAGUCAUGUAACAACCCAUAUAUCAAGUAUCACCAAAUACCAUUUCAUUCUUAUUCCAUUGUUUAGUUUCUAUUUUCAAUCAACUGAAUAUCGUCCGAUGGAACUAUAGCAAAACGGGCUCAAAUACACGGGAAUAAGUUGGUCACACAAGUUGACAGUAUAUUAGGGCUGCUCAGACAAGUUGACAUUACAACAGAAUUGCUCACAUAAACUGAUAUUAUAUCAAGGUUAUUCAUCUGGGCUAAACCUUCAAUAUGUAUAACCCGAGAAUUUGAGACAAGCCCAAGAACUCAUCCUAUGUAAAAGGGGUGCCAAACCCUAGUGCAUAGUAGGGUAUGUUGCCGCCCCUUAGUGUUUUGAAUAAAGGGGAACUGUAGUAUCAUAUUAAAACAAUACUAUUUAAUUACUCAUUAUUCAAGUAAAACUUUUGUACUAUUUUCCUAAAAUAGGAUCUAUGAAAUGAUUUAAUUACACCUAUCGCUGUUAUUUUAUCAUAAAAUAGUGGUAAUUUGUUUAUAAGAAUAAAUUCUAUAUUCUGAAAAGCUCAAAGUUUUCGAUUUCUAUAUAGAGAAUUAACUUUCUCACUAAAAGUUCAUGAAAGAUUGGUUGAACUGGGCAAAAAAAUUGGUCGAAUUAGAUGCGAUUGAACUGGUUGAACUAAAAUAUUUUAAUAUAUUUUUAUUUUUUAUGAAUUUUUUAUGAUUUAUUUAAUUGAAUUAGACUAAUCAAUCAAACCAAUUGAAUCAAUUGGAUCAACAAACUAGUAACCUUAUUGGUUUGAUCAUCGAUUUAGUUUUUAAAACCUUAGAUUUCGUCAUACCGUUUCAAUUAUUAUACCUUAUAAAUAAAAUAUAAAGUAAACCAGUGGUGAAAUUAGGGGGAUUGGCAAGGGCCCUGGCCCUCCCUAAAAUGAUUUUUUUUUUCAUAUGGACCCUCUAAAAAAAUUAAAAUUUUAAAUUAAUAAAAAUAAAAUUAUACUUUGGCUCCCCUAAAAUAUAAAAAUUUGAUUUAAUCUAUUAAAAAUUAUAAAGAUGUAGUCUAUUAAAAUGGUGAAAUUGUAUUUUUCUAUCGUAAAAAUUACAAUUUAAUUUUAGCCCAUAAUUUUUUUUUUCUAAUUUCGCACCUGAAAUAAGCUAUAUUUGAUUAAAUUUAUUAUUUUACCUUACAUACAAAACACAAAAUAAACAUUUAACUAUACAAAAUUAAUUGAUGAAUUGUUUUACUCAGUUGAAAGUAGAACAAAUAAUUGAUCCAAGAGGAAAGUGAAAUUUAUCCUUUUAUACGUCGAACAUUAGCGAAAAGGACAAAAAAGAAAUUUUGGGUUAUUUGGCUUUUGUUUCCUGCUGCUCUCCUCAAUCCAUUGACGCUGUUUCACCCCCUUUCUCUCGAUUUCUCAAUGUUUCUUUUCCUGUAAUUUGUUGUGAUUUGAAGUAUAAAUCAGGGAGAAGUAAAAGCUAUCAUAAAAAUGGCGGAGGCAAUUCUUACGGUAGUCUUGCGACAGAUAACAACAAUCUUGAGUGACCAAGCGGUAAAAGAGAUGACGAUGUGGGGAGACCGCGAGGCUGCUCUCAAAAAUCUUGAAACAUAUCUGAAAUCCAUCCGAUCCGUUCUCAAAGAUGCAGAGGACCUUCAAAUUACAGACGAUGCAAUCAAACUGUUGCUAGAAGAUCUGAAAAUUGUAAUUUAUGAAAUCGAGGAUGUGUUGAAUUUAUGGAGCUGUAAAGUACGGAAGGCAGAAUCUGUUCGUGCCAAGGUAAAUUGUCUACUUGAAUUCAUUGCAUAUCGUCGUAGUUCUGAUAGAAUAAAGAAGAUUUGUGAAAAACUGAGUCCAUUUGAGCUGAAAAACAAGCUGGAUCUGGGCAAGAGUAAAAUUAUAUCUCCUCUGCGGAACAAAGAAAGUACUAGCUAUUGUGAUCUAUCAAAAAUUAUUGGUCGAAGCGGAAUAAAAACUGAGUUAGUGUUCCGUUUAGUUUNNNNNNNNNNNNNNNNNNNNNNNNNNNNNNNNNNNNNNNNNNNNNNNNNNNNNNNNNNNNNNNNNNNNNNNNNNNNNNNNNNNNNNNNNNNNNNNNNNNNNNNNNNNNNNNNNNNNNNNNNNNNNNNNNNNNNNNNNNNNNNNNNNNNNNNNNNNNNNNNNNNNNNNNNNNNNNNNNNNNNNNNNNNNNNNNNNNNNNNNNNNNNNNNNNNNNNNNNNNNNNNNNNNNNNNNNNNNNNNNNNNNNNNNNNNNNNNNNNNNNNNNNNNNNNNNNNNNNNNNNNNNNNNNNNNNNNNNNNNNNNNNNNNNNNNNNNNNNNNNNNNNNNNNNNNNNNNNNNNNNNNNNNNNNNNNNNNNNNNNNNNNNNNNNNNNNNNNNNNNNNNNNNNNNNNNNNNNNNNNNNNNNNNNNNNNNNNNNNNNNNNNNNNNNNNNNNNNNNNNNNNNNNNNNNNNNNNNNNNNNNNNNNNNNNNNNNNNNNNNNNNNNNNNNNNNNNNNNNNNGCAUCUUUCUAACACCAACAACAUUACUGCCAUCCUAAUAAACCAUAAGUACCAUUUCCACUCCAUCAUCAUCAUCAUCUUUCUGUUUUCACUUCUCUCUCAGCUAUAUGUUACUUUUUGUUAACUUCUAUAUGUAUAUAAUCUAAAGAAGCCUAAGCUUCUUAUUUAUAUACAAGCAGAACAUUUUGCAUCCCACUUAUUCAAUAUAAUAUAAAAAUAAUAUAUAAUUAAUUAAUUCCUCAAAAAUUGGAUCAAUCUAGGCUUCUUAUUUACGUAAAUUCCUUAUUGCAAAAACUCUUGGUAGAAAUUCGUUAGGAAAGGAUGAAUGGACCACAAGAAUGCUUAUCAACUCUUGACUUUGGCGUCCAAUGCUAAAUUUAUUUUAAAAUUUCUUCAUGGAGACAAGAUGGGAUGACAAGAAUGAUAAGUUUUAAGUCAUUUAAGUUUACACAAUUUUAAUCACUCAUAAAAACAAGUAUUGACAUUCUAUUAAAGAAUUUAAACAUGGCUUAACGUUGAUUUUAAAUCUAAUGUUGAUGUUAAUCUUGAAAAAAGAAUGGCCAAAAAAAAUAUGAAAAGUGAGAGGUGGACAUAAAAUAGUGUAGUUGGGGUUAUAAAAUUCUUCAUGUAGACAUAAUAUUUUUUUUAUGCCUUUUUUACACUUAUAUAGAGUUAGUCUUGACUUUGCUUUAUUAAUAGAAAUUUUAGGUCUUCAUUUUUUGUUUUAUUCAUGGACAUAAUAUUUUCUUAUUUUUAUUUUAUGGUCUAUGAUCGAGGUUUAUGACUAUCCCCUUUCAACAACGUCGUCUCAACUGUUCAAACAUACACUUGCAGGUAAAAUAAUACUUUUUAAAAUCACAAAUAUUUAAAAUAAUACAUUGCAGCUAUAUAAAUGCUUUCUUGUUUAAGAUACUAAUAAAGUAAUUAACAAAGUAAUUAUUAUACCUAUAAUAAUUCAAAAUGCCACUUGUUAUCUAAUGAAGUAUAGGGGUGUAAAUGAGACAUCCGUACCCGCAAGCUAUUCGAAUUUGGCUCAAAAAAUUUUGAAAUUGAUUCGGUAAUUAUUGAGCCGAGCUAUAGGUCGAUCCGGAUUCGAGCUUAGUAAUACUUGACUCGAGUAGUUUGAGAGCCUUAUUGAACUUUUUAUAUUUUUAUAUUAUUAGAUUACAUUAUUGCUAUUAAUAUAUAUUAUUAACCCUAAGUUUAAUUAUUGAGGCGAGCUCAAACUCGAGUACAAAAAUUGAUAAACAUAUUUAAUUUCGAGCUUAAAAAUAUAUGUUCGAUCGAGCAUCAAGCUUUGAAUUUCAAAUUAAACUUGAGUUUAACAGUAUUGAGUUCAAAUAGAUUCAAUUACACCCUACAAUAAAAUAUACCAACAAAACCUACAUUCCAUCUUUGCUAUAAAUUUUAUGUAUGUGUGUGUUUAACGUGAGUUCCAUCUAUGUCCAACUUGAUGACGAUGAAAGUUCCUAUGGUGUAAAAAGUUUUAGUUAUGUGGAAAAAUAAGGCCUUCUCUUCACACGUUUAAUAUGCUUACUUGUGUCGGUCAUUUCGAUCUUCACAUCAAUUUUCAAAAAGUUGGAAAACUUAUGUCUGCUUUUAUGAUUCUUUUAUGUGUGUGUUUAACGUGACUUCCUUGUGAGUUCCAUCUAUGUCCAACUUGAUGACAAUGAAAGUUCCUAUGGUGUAAAAAGUUUUAGUUAUGUGGAAAAUUGGUGGAAAACUUACGUCUUUUUCACUUGCUUUUAUGAUUCUUUUUACAUGAUAUUACUAUAUAAUUAAAUUGAAAUACUGAUAAAUUUGAACCCAUAUGAUGUAAGUCUAGGCAUCAUCUAAUUUAUUGAUAUUUAAUUAAUUAAUAUAUAUACUUUCAAUUAUAAGAAUUGAAACAUAACUUUCAAGUCAAUUGGAGUAUGCCCCUGUUACACGUCAAAAGAAGUAGAUUUUGAACUCAACAUGAACCUGUGAGAUUUGAUGCCUAAAAUAUAGGUAUAAGGUUUCAAUUCAUGGAAAUGUUGGAAAUCUUGGAAAUUUCUUAGUCUCCUCUCUUUGGAUGUUUUUGAACAAAAAUGUUUUAAGUCUCUUCCGAUGCUAAACUUCUGAUUGGUCGUCGGUUCACUGACCCUUUGGUACACAGCAAUAUGAAGCAUUGGCCAUUCAAGGCCAUUGCUGGUCCUGGUGAUAAGCCAAUGAUUGUACUACUAUAGAUUUGAAUAUUUGUACACAUUUGAUCGGCUCUUCGUAAAUUUAAAUCUUACAAAUUCGGAUAAUAUUUGAACUUUGAAUGUAUGUUUUGUUGGUGAGAAUAUAAAGUUGAUAAAGAUUUGGUAAAUAGAGUAAAAUAUUAUUUUUAUUAGAAAAAUUAUUUGGUACACUGCCAAUCGAGGUAAUUAAAACAUGUCAUUAUAAAUAAUAAAAUUAUGAUGACUCAAAUAUACGAACACGUCAAAAUUUAUGUACAACGAAUUAUUAACAUGUAAAUGUAUAAUACGGUACGCAAAAAUAAGAUAAUUGCUUGUUUUUUUAAUUGAAUUGUUAUAACAUAUUAUACAAAAUACAUUGUGACUUAAAGCAUAAAAUGAACUUGAUAUCAAAAUAUUAAAUUUUUUUUAAAAUUCAAUGAUACGAAUAAUUAUGUAAAAUAUAACAUGAUGCAAAAUAUCUUGAGAGGAAAAGAGGAAUAAAGAAUUGCAUUAUUUGUGAGGUUUUAAAAUAUUCCAGUUUUAGAUUCAAUUUUCUAGUAUGUUUGGUUUAAUUUUACAUUAGAUUUCCUUUUCAGUAUGCACUAGUGAACGCUUAGCAGUCAGUUUAAUUUAAUUCAAAGAGAUAUUGCAUAUACAUAAUAAUGGAUUAUGAUUUUACAUUAAAUUUCAUAGAAGAAAAAGAAAUAGAUGGUUGAAAAUGAUAAAACCAUAAGAUAAAAGAGCUUUUAUUCAAAAUGCAAAAAUCAACAAAAUAUUCAUUAUCGCUCAACUUAGCAUAAUUAAACAUUUAGGUGUGGAAACAAGUCACAAUUUGAGUAGCUAAACACAUUGCUUGAAAAUGUGAUAAGUAAGAAAAUUGCCCACAUUUGAGUAGCGACAUGUGGUGAAGCAUUUCCCAACGAGAGAAAACUAAGCUCUUCACCAGUAUGGAUUUAUGUAGAGGACAACAAAAAUUGUCAACAACACAACUACAUAAGAAACCAAAAAGCUCACAAAAAAAUCAUAAGUAUCUAUCAAACCAUCUUCUCCUUUAUCUUCUGAUACAAUUGAUAUCGCUGAUGGUGAAUCGGUUUUGGAACAACUUUUAUGCAAUAUAUCUCCACAACGAAAAGGAUUUCCCUCAUAACUGUUUUCAAUAAAGGUCCCAAAUUGAGCUUUUGGUUCGGGAAUACUACCUGACAAAUUGUUAUAUGCCACGCUGAAAACCUCCAAAGAGUUCAACUCUACCAAUUGAUUGGGGAUUUCACCACACUCAAGUUGUUGUAAGAAAGGUCCAAACUCUCAAUGUGCUGAAGUUUUGAGAAUGAUGAGGGUAUAACUCUGGUCAACUUAUUGUGUGACAAGUUUAAAGAAUGGAUUUCACUCAAGUUCCCUAAUUUUGGUGGGAUAUGACCAGUUAAGUUUUUGCAAGAUAAAUCAAUCCCAAUAAUAUAUGAAAGGAUGUUGCCCUUGUACGAAUAGAACCCACUCUUUGUUGUGAACUCUAUUACUUCUUCUAAGUAGCUGUCAGGGUUGUAAGGAUUUAUACCCCUUUCCCAUUUUCUCAUCACAAUGGAUGUUGAUUCAUCCUUUUCUAUAAAUGGAAGAUAGAACCCAGUUGCUAGACUCUCUUUCUCUUUCAGUGGAAGAGAUAAAUUUCCCAAACAAGAAGGUAUAGGACUAGAAAACAUAUUUUGAGAAAGAUCUAUGAUGCUUAAAGAAUGCAACUUGCAUAACUCAAUAGGAACUUUAUCAUGAAAAUGAUUAUCUUUCAGGAGAAGAACACUCAAAGAAGAAAGCGUGUAAAUCCAUUUUGGAAUACUACCUGUCAAAUUGUUUCCUCUAAGAUCUAAAGUCACUAUUGAAGAGUUAUUAUAAAAAAGCAAGUGAUAGUGUGCCUCUCAGUCUAUUCCCGUGGAGGUGGACAUGCUCUAUGUAUGGUGGAUUAAAACAUGACGGUAUAGAGCCAGAUAAAUUAUUUUGAGAAAGAUCCAAAAAUUCCAACCUAUUCAACUUUCAAAAUUCCAUUGGAAUAGAACCUUCAAAACCAUUGUUGGACAAAUUUAAUCUCCACAAAAAUGAUGCAUUCCCUAUCCAUCUUGGGAGCUUUCCAUGCAACUUGUUACUGAGAUCAAUUUCGCUUAGUGAAUUUGGAAACUCAAAAAGAAAUGUUCACACAAAGUUUUUUCCAACAUAUGUCUGUCAUUUGUGGGGUCUUGAAUUUAAUAUCAAUGGUUGAAUUUUCAUAGCUAAUAUGUGCGCAAAAGGCCUAGUGGGUGGAAUUUUAUGUCAGGAAAGCGUUUCUACAAUGACAUAAUUAAUUGCAUUACUUUUCAAAGAUUGACUAUUGACUUUGGUGAGCUUAUUAGGUUAAAUUCUGCUGCUGGUCACUGUUCUUUGUGAAAGUUGUAAAUUUAGUCUAUUUACUUCAAUUUGAUCAAUUUUAAUCCCUAUACAUUUUGAUUUUUAAAAUUUUAGUUGUGACCCAAACAAUAGAGUUAAAUCAAUUUAAUUAAAACCAAUUACUAGUCCUAUAUUAUGUGUACAAUUGUUGAUUUAGUCCAUACUCUCCAAUUGGAUCAUUCUAAGUACCUAUAUUUUUCAAAUUUUAAAAUUUCAGUCUUGAUGCAAAUGACAAUCCUUAGUCCGUUAACUAGAUUUUUAGUAACAUAUGAAAAUAAUAAGAUGAUAUGACAUUACAAAUAUGAUAAUAUUUUUGCGUUAAAUAUGUCAACAAUGACAUAAUUAAUUGCAUUAACUUUCAGACGUUGACCAUUGACUUUUGCUUCAACCUUGAGCUUAUAUAGCCCCUACAAUAAUUUAGGUUAUGGAAAUAAUCUUACAAUUAAUGCCUGAGAAAUUAUUAUAGAUCAAUUUAUAGUUUUAAUCCCUAUAAUUACUCAAUUGAAUUGAAGAUUCAGAUUUUCUUAUUUAAUUUGAUAUAUUUUCUUCUCUUAUUAAUGUUAAUGUUAUGGAUUAGUUUUUUUAAGACAACAUUAUUUUAUUCAAUGAAUAAUAUCAUACAAUUCGAGGAGAAAAUAACAAACACUCGUUGUACUCGUUAAAGGACAAGUUCCAUCAACACAACAAAACCUUUAACUUCAACAUUAAUAGAACAUUAUGGCAUGUUGAAAUCGGCUCUGUCACAACUCAAGCACAACAUAUCAGGAGUGAUUACAAGCACUUAAUAUGGUAAGAAAAUUAACCCCGGAUGGUCCAAAGCGGUGGGCAUAAAUCAGCAAAAGAACUGAGCAUCCACCAAACUAGAGGGGAUGCGGCGACAAAACUAACCCUAAAAUUACUCUCAAAAGCAAGACUAAAAAGCGUACUACAAGAGUAGACAAAAACUUCGAAAAGUAAAGACUUAUUAAACAAUGGAAAAAUAAACAAAAAAAACAUAUAAAACUUAAGAUAACAUGAGUCUAAACCGAGUCAUGAAAUUAUUUAUUAUUUUGAAACUCUCAAAACAUAAACAAAUUAAGAAGUCAACGAAGAGGUACCCACUUUCUAAAAGAAAGUGUUGGUGGUCGGUGGUGUUUCAAUGAUGAUAGGCAUUGUCACCUGUUCAUCACAACUUGUAAAGAUAACAAAAAUACCCACAAAAUAAAUCUGUAAAUUGAAAAGAACGAAGACUCAUGGAGUGAAUGAGAAGAAGAAAAAUAAAAAGGGUUAAUAGAGACAAAGCAGGGCGGUAACUAGUUCAGAGGCUAACACCGCUGCUAGGCUAAAAAAAGAAGAAGAAGCAAACAUGUUAUGGAUUAGUUAAAAUAACUAACAUCAUUGAAAAUUUCAUUACUUGGCUGAUUUGGAUUUUUUUUUUUAAAAAAUUGAAACUAGAAACCAUAAAUGAUCUAACAUUUAGAAACCAUAAAUUGGGUUCAAUUGCUUUGCUGUCCAACUCCAUCCAUCUAAAAUCGCAAGGAUGUACCCAUGUUCAAUAUGCAGUACAGACCCAAAAAUUGACCAUAUAAUGUGGCUCAAGAGAAUUUUCGAAUGGUUUUAAAGAAUUAUGAGAACACAAUGAAUAAAGUUAAGGCAUCAUUUAUUCAGCUUGCUAUAAUGCAGGUCAUUCCAAUAAAGAAGCAUUUUUUAACUAUAUUUUCCGUUACCCCAAUAACAAUGGCACAGAAUGUUCUCCGAUGAACAUAGAACUCACCAUUUUUAGGAACACGUGUAGUUGAGGAUGAGAAUUCGGAUCAACUGUAACUUCAAAUGGUGGAAUGAAAACAUUGUCCAGAAUAUUCUGAAAAGAUUUUUCAAUUCCCAUUUGCUUGUACACAUUAUACAAUCGUGGUGACUGCAGAAUUAAGUCAAAAUCAAGUGAAGAAGGUUACCUUUGACUUGAGAAAUAUAUCACAGAGAGAGAGAAAGAGAAAACAGUAAUCUGGAAAGAUGAUGCUUAAUAUGGACAUGAUACCCUAGAAACCGAUCGAUCUUAAAUUUUAAUUUCUAAAAUAUUAUUAGCUUGUGCAUACUUUCAAAUACUUUUCAUUAGAGUUACCAUAAGACUAAUUUUUCCAAUUUUAGAUGAUUCAAGAAACUAUUUGGGGGCAAUUCUUAAAUAAACAUGUCCAAACAGUAGUCAUUAACAAGAAAGCAUCCAAGAAAACCAGCAGUUAAUACUUAAAUUAACAUUAUCAAAUGGAGAUGUAAAGAAGAAAGAAUCCUACUGCAAAGCUAGAUAGCAGGAGAAUCACUAGAAUGAAGAGAAAUACUAUUGGCACUAUACCUGGAUUAACCAAACAGUAGUCUCACUAUAAAUUUCAUUGUUAAUAAACCAACUUGCCAAACUGGUCCCAUUCACUUUGUUUCCUUCCAUAUAUGGACACCCUGUACUCUGCCAUCUAGAAAAUAUAUAUAUUAUUCAGUGUAGUCAGAGGCGCAAGGAGCACUCUAGGUGCUAGAAUCCUUUUAUUGUACAAGGCACAUGGCGCACAAAAAAAAAAAAAAACUUGCUUAUGUUAAGGCACAUGUAUGCGUGUUUUGGUAUGUCCAUGUCUGUAUAUAUAUAAGCCGAAGAUAUAUAAUUAUAAUAAUAAACUAUAAAAGUGCUCCAGUCUGAAGUACAGAACAUGCCAAAUUUUCUUUCUUUUGUCAACCAUAUGCAUAUUUCCAUAUGAUGCCAUGCCUGGUGUUGAAUACUCAAAUAUUGAGAAGUUGAGAGUUCGAUAUUAUCCCUUUGUUACAAUUAAGAAACAAUUAAAGAGAUAGUAAAGAGAACUUCAAUUAGAAGGCCUUUUCCCCCUACAUGCACCAGGCAGGCGCUUAGCCUGAAAAGGUCAAAGGCCCUUUUACUGUCUGGUGAUAAGGCAAAAAACAUUGGACAAAGUUGGUGGGAGGAUAGAAUACUAAAAGAGCCCAAUGUUGUCACUUUUCUAAAGUAAGCUCAUAUGCCUUUUUUGUACCCAAACAAUAUCUUACCCUUUAAUUUGUACCUAAAGAAAUUAUUUCUAAUAGAAAGUUUACUUUUGUUAUGAUCAAUGCUGGAGGCCAAAACUGAUUUGGGCUAAGGAAUUGGUGGUGAGAGUUGGAAGGCAAGAAGAAAGAAAGUUCUUUUGAGUGUUAUAUUUUUCAAAAAAUACAAAUUGUUCAUUUUUUUUACCACAUCAUCAUGCCAGGUCAGCUUCCAUGUGGAUAAAGAAAAUUUUGGCGGCAUUGAAACAGAGGCUUCAUGGGCUUUUAGUAAUUUAGCCCUUGGAAGGAAUAUGACCAUCCAAAAAAAGGCAGUUGAUGCUUUAAGGUCAAUUAGCCGAAACAAUAACAACAAUUCCUAGGCUUCAAUAAAAUAAUUUAGACAACAAAUAAAGCUUGAAGGUUGAGUUUUGCACUGCAGCAGCAUUGGGCUUUACAAGGUGAAAACCCACAUUGCACAAAAAUAUCAAAGUUUCAGAUCUAUCAUAAUUUAAAAUUCUAACUAAACUAAACGCCAAGAAUGCUGAAUGCCUAAUCAAAAAACAUAAGAUUAACCCAAGGACCUAAUUGGGUAUGCUAAAAUUUGUCUUGGAAUGAAAUUAAUAAUAUCCUUACUAUUUCACUUUUUUUUUCUUCAUAUGUUUGGUGUGAGCAUGAUACAGAUUAGACUGAUUUUAAAGUAAAAGUAAAACGAUACCAAACCUAAACAUUUUGGUUUUUUUUUAAUUUUUUAUCAGAGCCCUGUUUGAUGCAUUUUUAGUUUUGUUUUCUAAUAACAAAUGGAAAGUUAAUUAAAAAAAAACCCUAAUCCAAUGAGUUCUUUUAUAGAUAUAAGAUAAGUCCUGCAAAGUUUUUGUUUUUUAGAAAUAAAAUUUUAUUUUUGUUUUUUAAUUCUUCAUACCUAUUUUAAUAUCUAAGUUCCGGAUUCCUAACUGCCCUUUCAAUUAUAUAGUAUUCAAGAUUUGAACUUAUAUUUUUCUAUAAAAAUAUAAUGUAUUUUAUUAUUGUAUCCUACAUUCAUUAAUACUUAGUAGAAAUAACCUAAUAAAAUGAUUUUUUUCAUAUAUUAAUAGAGAUAAGAUUCGUGCAAAAUUGUUGGUUGAAAAUUCAUUAGGAAAGGAUGAUUGUACGAAUGUACCAUCAUUAUAAGUGAGCUCAACGAUAAGCCUCCUAUCAAUCACCAGUGUGCAGAAAACAUUUGAAAUCGAAACACCCGUUCAUACAUCAUACAUCAUCAUAAGUGAGCUCAACGAUAAGCCUCCAAUCAAUCACCAGUCUACAGAAAACAUUUGAAAUCGAAACACCCCGGACAUCUCCAACAAAUCUGCCAUAACGUUAGCAUCUCUUCCAUUUUUUCUAAACAAAACCUCACUAAGCUCAUCAAAUGUGCCAAUAUUUCCAAGGCCUAGAUUUCUCAUUGAUACACCAAGAAAGCUCGACUAUGGAGUCGGAUUCAACCAUAAGCUUUCAGUCUAUAAUCCACUAGGAAUCCAAAAAGAAACACUCUCGAACACCUAAAGAACCUGAAACAUAGCAAUGACAUGACCCUUUGAAUUUCUAAGAACCUCACCUCACCACGUCGAGCUAAGAUUACCUAAUGUCGAACCUUCACGGUUAAACUUUUACCAGCCUUCACCUUACUCUUGAUAUGAUGAUUAUGGAUACUCCCUUCACAAUCCCACAAACACUCCCACCAAAUUGACUCAACAAAAUUUGCACCUAUAGGUUUUCUGUUUAUAUUUGAUUUUGUUCACACAUUGCCUAAAACUACUCAUGAUCCCUCUCCAACCUAUAAAUACGAGGAUAAUGCGCUUCAACGCGCUCAAACCCACGUCCUCCUACAUUAGCAACAAUACUCAUGUCAAUCGAGUUAAAACACAAUCAAUAGAUUUUUUUUAAAAAAAAUCUUUAAAUGUUAUAUUAUUAUAUAAGAAUUUGAAACAUGACUUCCGUAGGUUUUAAAUCUAAUGUUGACACUAAUCUUGAAUAAGUCAUUCCACUCCCAUCUUAACUAAUGGCCAAAGAGAUAUCAAAAGUGGGAGAUGGCCAUAAAAUUGUGUAGUUUGGGUUAUAAAAUUUUUGGGCAAACUACAUAUAUUAUCAUUUAAUUAUAUAUUUUUUUCAAUUUAAACACUUAAAGUAAAAAAUUUAUAAUUUAAGCACCCACAUUAUAUAGUUUAGUUAUUUUGAUCACUCCAGUUAAAAUAAAAAAUGGCAAACUGAAGCGACAAUUAAAAAAAUGUAUAAUAACAAAUUUAACCCUCAAAUUUUAUAUAUUAUAUCAAUUACAUAUUACAACUAAUUUUAUAAUUAUUGAUAUUGAAUAUGUCCCUCACUACGUUAGGGAUUUUUUUUAUAAUUUGUAUUUAAUUAAUAUUUAAAAUUAAUUUCAAAAUAUGUGAAAAUUUUAUAAUUAUUUGGUGUUAGUCCCUUUAUUAUACCCAAAUUUAGGAUUAAGCCCCUAUAUUUUAAUUUUGACAUAAUUUGUUUCUUUCACUUUUAUAAUCUCAUUAAUUAUUUCAAGUAACUAACACUUUUAACAAUAUUGCCAAAUAAAAUAAUGUCAUAUUUUUUUUUCUUAAAGCCAUCACUUCUAACUAAAUCAUGACUUAAUCACUUUCUAAUUAAUCAUACUAACUUAGAUUUUUCUUUUGUUGGAAUCAGUACGUUUAAGGAAAACCCACCUUAACAUUUGUAGAUGUCUUCAACAAUUUCCUAAGCACGAUACAAUAAAGCUUGGUGUGUAUAAUUUUGUUUUAUGGAAGCUCCAAAUUAUGUUGAUUCUUGAAUGAUACGGUCUGCAUGGGUUUGUUUUGGGUGCUAUUAGUGUACUAGCACAGUUUGUAGAGGAUAAAUAUGGGAGAUUAGUAGAAAAUUCUGAUUAUGUUUUACAUGUGCAACAAGAUAAGCUAUUGGCUUCUUGGUUACUUUCAACUGUUAGUGAUGAAAUCCUAGCCUAUCUUACUAGUGCUCGUACUAGUUAUUAUAUGUGGGAAACUAUUGAAAAGAAGGGUUGCGACUAAGUCCACGGUAAAAUUGUCCAGUCAUGUGUUGUAUUCACAGAAAAAGGGUCAUUUGUUUGUUAAAGAAUAUUUGUCUAAGAUCAAGUCCAUGUGUGAUAUGUUGGUUGCAACGGGUUGUUUGAUUUCAAAUCAAGAAAUGGUUAGCAUCAUUCUUGCAAGGUUGCCAGUUGAGUGUGAAUCAGUACGGGUAGUAGCUUCAGCUACUGGUGUGUCACUUGAUCUGUUGAUUGAGAUGCUGCUUGAUUGUGAAGCUCGAAAAUUGAGUUCUUGAAUAGUGUUCUCGUACAACCUAACAUAGCUAGUAAACAAGAUUGUGAUGAGGGUGAUCGGACCAAGGGUUCUGAUUAUAACAGUGGCUAUCAAGGGAACAAACAGACAUAUAUAGGUGGUUUUCAAUGCAAUAGAGGUUCCAUCGAGGUUGAGGCCGUGAGGGUUGUUUUUCUAACAAUCGGCCCCAAUGCCAGUUGUGUGGUAAAAUUGGACACAUUGUCCAAAAGUGUUAUUACCGUUUUGAUGAAAAGUUUUGCAGGUAUUGCUAGGAUGGUAAUAUGGUAUAGUGGGCUGCAUCUUGAUUGUUUGUUUCUCAUGCUGAGGCUAUAAUUUUAAUCAUACCUAUUAUUGUUUCUUGUGUCCUGCAAUUUCAUCAUUUGCAGGCUGUUUCACUAAUUGCAUCCUAUUUACAAGUUCCCUUGUGUUAUCCUCUGCGCUUGGGUGGUUCUCGCUCAUAUAUUAAUGACCAUGCGUCUUCAAUAGACCAUGCAUCUUCUGAUUUGUCAUUGGAUACAACACUUUCAGCAAAUGUAAAGCCGGUAGAAUUUCCGCUGUUUUUAGAAGGUCAAGACACGACAAGAGCAGCAUAUGCUGUGUUCUUGUUAAACAAGGUAAGCUUUUGCAUAUUAGUAAUUUUUUUUUCCAAGAUGAAUUAUUCUCCUUUGGCAUUUUAUAUUAUAUAAUUAGUCACUACAAAACAUAAAUAAAUAAUAAUACUCCAUUUUUACAAUAAAAAUUCACUAAAGAAAAUACAUUUGAAGUCUAUCAUUGCUUUUUCGAAUAAGAGUCGGUCAAGAAAGUUAUGCGCAAAUACUUAUAUCUUUAUUUCAGAUGCUUUCAAUUCUAUUGUCACUUAAAUCCAAGUACUUUAAAUUUGUCAAAUUAUUCAAUUUUGAAAUUCAAUCCCAAAUAUUGAUCAAUUAUAUAUAUUCAUGAUAUGAUAAAAGCAAAGACAUCUUUCAACAUUAACUUUCCCUUAAACAAAAAUUGGUUUUAAAGUAAAAAAGAAACAUAUAAAACCAGUCUAGCUUGAAUAUGAAUCAAUAUAUAAACACUAUACUUAUACCUUGGUUUGAGAUGCUUUCAAUAUUGUUGUCGCUUAAAUACAAGUAUUUCAAGUUUGUCAAAUUAUUCAAUCCCAAAUAUUGGUUAGUUAUAUAUGAUAUGAUAAAAUCAAACUUGAACAUACAUUGAUUUUUAAAGUUGAAAAUUACUUGUUAAUUUUUUUUCUUUCUUACCUAUAUGAAAAUUUUACUAAAGUAAAAGUUGAAUUACAACGGAUAAAAAGAAUGGAAAACUAGGUACCAAGCCUAGAAGACCAUCCUCAAACUCCACUAUACAAAUAAAAACUACUCAAACUCCACUAUACAAAUAAAAACUAACACCGGACCAAACUUAAUUUACCUCUUAGAUGACUUGAUCCUUCAAACUGGUUGUAUGAUAGAUCUAAAUACCGGAGAGAUGAAAGCUCACUCAAAGAUAACAAAAUGCUAUCAUUCAAGUAAUUGUAACUUAAGUCAAGGAUCUCCAAAUUACUCAAUGUGAAUGAUAGCUUUCCAAAGCCUGUAGAAGUGUUCUUUUAAACAUAUACAAGCAGUUAGUGACUUUUCUUCCAUAAAAUAAAAUAUAAGUAAUUGUAAAUUAACAAUGGUGAGAAUAGUGGAAUAGUAAAAGAUAUAAUUAAGGAAAAAAAAUAAAGGCACGACCUUCAUUUUCAAGGUUACCACCUAUGGCAUUUCCCGACAAAUAAAGUCUCUUCAAUUCCUCAAAAGGAAGAAACAUAGAGGCAUUGAGAUACCAGACAAUGAGAUUCCUAUUAUCCAUGCCGUAUUCCCAAUUGUCUUCCCAUUUUGUAGAAAUAAGGGAGAGUUGUAUGAGUCUCCUAGUGGUGGUGUUACACUCAAAUCCUUCCCAUUUACAACAAUCUGAACCCUUCACCUCAACCCAACUUUGCAAUGGAUUACGAUAAACGAAGAAAGGCUUGAGAUGCAAGAGAGCGAUUCUCUCAUGCUCCAAACAAGCAUCAGUAGUACACCAUCUGCAUCCUUCUAACACCAACAACAUUAUUGCCAUCCUAAUAAACUAUAACCAUUUCCACUCCAUCAUCAUCAUCUCUCUGUUUUGUAUACAUAUGGACUACAAUUCAAGUUUCAUGCUUAUAAUUAUACCAAAUCAAAGUUCAUGUAUCAAAUUGCACAUUAAAUCAAAAUUUAUGUAUACAUUUGAUAUUUAUCUCAUUUAUGGGAGAUUAACUUUCUAAUGGUAUUGUUUUGUUUACAUUAAUCCAAAUAAUAGGAAAUGAUGAAUUAGUUUAACGCAAAUUGUAAUUCUAUUAAUGUUUCUUCUCAAACUUUUGGUUGCUCUUAUUUACAUGUUUUAUUAAUUGAUAGAUUUAAAUUCUUGGAAUAUAUUCGGUUAGAAUGAAGUGCCCCGAAUCCUUAUUUAAAUAAAAUACAGUGUUAAAAUAAAAGAAAAGUAAAAUCCCUACAGAAUUAUACUUCUUUUAUUUUAUUUUAGAAUAAGGCUUUUUAAAUCUUAUUAAACUCCAUCUAUUUGAUAUUGAUUAGAAUAAAGAGUUUCACUCCUAUUAGAAUAAAGUUUUACAAGCCUAUAAAUAGACAUAGUCUACUCCUCUUGUAAUUAAUUCAAAUUCGACAUAGUGAAUUUUCUUCUCCUCUGCCCGUGGUUUUUUCCCGAAAGGGUUUCCACGUAAAAUUUGUGUGUUCUUUAUUUUUCUAUUUCUAUUUUCUUUGUGAUAUAUUAUCAUUACCGACAUUUAUUUUCACAAAUUGGUAUCCGAGCUUCUGGGUUGUUCAUCGCAAUCACUGUAAUGACGUCUUUGAAGUAUGAAAUUCUACUGUUGGAUCGCAACACCAGAUUCGCAUUUUGGCAGAUAAAGAUGCAGGCAGUUCUUGCACAGAUGGACUUAGAGAAAGCCCUGCUAAGGUUAGAUAAGAUGCCUUCAACAUUGAUGGAGGAAGAGAAGAAGCACAAGGAUUGAAAGGCGUUAACACAAUUACAUCUGCAUUUGUCUAACGAAAUUUUGCAGGAUGUGAUAAAGGAGAAUACCGCCGCUAGAUUAUGGAAGACGUUGGAACAACUAUGUAUGUCGAAAACUCUAACUAGUAAGCUGCAUAUGAAGCAGCGUCUUUAUGCUCAUUGUUUGGAGGAAGGUGCGUCUAUGCAUGAACACUUGACAGUGUUUAAAGAAAUUCUCUCAAAUUUGGAGGCCAUGGAGGUUCAGUAUGAUAAGGAAGAUUUAGGGUUGAUUCUACUUUGUUCGUUGCCCCCGUCUUAUUUAACCUUUAGAGAUACAAUUUUAUAUAAUCGCGAGUCUUUCACAGUUGAUGAGAUUUAUAAUUCUUUAACCUCGUAUGAUAAGAUGAUGCAUCUUAUGGUUAAAACUGACUCUCAAUGAGAGGGUCUCAUUAUUCGUGAGAGAUAAGAUCAGAAUAUUGAUGAUGAUCAUGGAAGGACACAAGAACGGAAUCCUCGUGGUAAAUCUAAAGGUAGAUCGAAGUUUUCAAACAGAGGUAAAACUUGUAACUUCUGCAAGAAGAAAGGGCACAUUAAAUCUAAGUGCUAUAAGCUACAGAAUAAGAUCAAAAGGGAGACUGUGAAUCAAAAUGGAAAACAACCAGAAAAUUUUGGUAAGGCUAAUGUUGUAGAAUACUACAGUGAUUGUGAACUUCUAGUCGCUUCUGUCAAUAAUUUUAAAGUGAGCGAGGAGUGGAUCCUUGAUUCGGGUUGCACCUUCCACAUGAGUCCCAAUAGUUAUUGGUUUACAACUUACGAAAUAGUGUCUGAAGGUGUUGUUUUAAUGGGAAAUAAUACUUCAUGUAGAAUUGCAGGUGUUGGAACAAUUAAAGUUAAGAUGCUUGAUGGAGUUGUCAGAACACUUAGUGACAUAUGACAUGUUCCAAAAUUGAAGAGAAAUUUAAUUUCAUUGAGUACUCUUGAUUCAAAAGGGUACAAAUACACAGCUAAAAGUGGUGUUUUGAAUAUUUCUAAAGGUUCCCUCAUUGUGAUGAAAGGAUAGAGAAAGACUACCAAGUUUUAUGUUUUGCAAGGUUCUAUUGUUACUGGUGAUGCAGCUGUCGUAUCCUCUUCCUUGUCAGAUGAUGAUAUUACUAAACUUUGGCAUAUGCGCCUAGGGCAUAUGAGUGAGAAUGGCAUGGCAGAAUUGAGCAAAAGUGGACUUCUUGAUAGGCAAUGAAUUUGCAAACUGAAGUUCUGUGAGCACUACAUUUUUGGGAAGCAAAAGAGAGUUUGAUUCACCAGAGGAAUCCAUAACACAAAGGGAACGUUUGAGUAUAUUCAUUCUGAUCUGUGGGGGCCAUCCAGAGUACUUUCGAGAGGUGGAGCUAAUUAUAUGCUAACUUUUAUUUAUGAUUUUUCCAAAAAAGUGUGGGCGUUCUUCCUGAAGCAGAAAAACGAUGUGUUUUUUGUAUUUAAGUCUUGAAAAACCAUGAUUGAAAAACAAACGGGAAAGUAAAUAAAACACCUCCGCACAGACAAUGGCUCAGAGUUCUGUUUUGAUAAGUUUAAUAAAUUGUGCAAGUCAGAAGGGUUCAUGAAACACUUGAUAGUUCAUCAUACUCCACAGGAAAACGGCGUUACAGAAUAAAUGAACAGAACGAUCAUGGAGAAGGUUCGAUGUAUGUUGUCAAAUACCAACUUACCAAAGUCAUUUUGGGCUGAAGCAGCCUCUACUGCAUGAUUUUUAAUCAACCGAUCUCUAUCCAUUGCCAUUGAGAAAAAGACUCCACAAGAGGUAUGGUCUUGUAAUCCUGCUGACUAUUCUGAUUUAAAGAUUUUUGGUUGUCAUGUGUGUGUGCAUGUUGAUAAUGGAAAAUUGGAAUUGAGAUCCAUUAAAUGUGUUUUUCUUGGUUAUAAAGCUGAUGUAAAAGGGUAUAAGUUAUGAUAUCCUAAAAAUAGAAAAGUUGUGAUUAGCAGAUAUGUUAUUUUUUAUGAAACUGCUAUGCUACCUAACUUAUCUCUUAAAGAAUCUCUCAAUAAAGAAAAUCAAAAGUAGGUGGAGCAUCAGAUUAAUACAGAAUCUACAACAGAGUCGACUACUGAAGCCAGUACAAAAAUUCAAAAUAGAGUUGCUCCUUCACCAUAAUACUCUAUCGCCAAAAAUAGAACUAGAAGAGAAAUUAGACCUCCAAAGAAGUAUGUCAAGUCUGAUCUAGUUGCUUAUGCUUUAAAUGUGGCUAAAGAUAUAGAUGUAAAAUAAGAGCCAUCUAAUUAUUCUGAGGCGAUUAGUUGUGAAGACUCAGAAAAGUGGAUGUUUGCUAUGCAAAAGGAGAUGGAAUCACUCCACAAAAAUAAAAUAUGGGAUCUUGUGAAACUUCCUAAAUGUAAAAAGAUUAUUCGUUGUAAAUGGGUGUUUAAAAAGAAAGAAUGGACUCCAAGAGUUGAAGAACCCAGAUAUAAAGCAAAGUUUGUUGCAAAUGGUUACAGUCAAAUUCCAGGAGUGGACUUCACAGAUGUGUUCUCUCCAGUUGUGAAGCAUAGUUUGAUUCAAGCUUUACUUGGUAUUGUGGCCAUACAUGAUUUGGAGCUUGAACAGUUAGAUGUAAAAAAUGCUUUUUUGCAUAGAGAAGUUAAGGAGGAUAUUUACAUGCAACAACCAGAGGGUUUUACAGUCUCAGAAAAAAGGACUAUGUUUGCUUGCUGAAAAAGUCUCUUUACAGUUUGAAACAGUCACCAAGACAGUGGUACAAGAGGUUUGAUUCAUUUAUGACUUCUCAUGAUUUUAAAAGAAGUAGCUUUGACAGUUGUGCUUACUUUAAGAAAAACAAUGAUGGUUCUUUUGUGUAUCCACUCUUUUAUGGUGAUGAAAUGUUGAUAGCAGUGAAAGAUAAAUGAGGGAUAAGAAAGGUCAAAGCCCAACUAAGUGAAGAAUUUGAGAUGAAAGAUUUGGGACCAGCAAAGAAGAUACUUGGUAUGGAGAUUCUCAAAGAUAGAAAAGUAAGUAAAUUGUACCUAAGUCAAAAGGGGUACAUUGAGAAAGUUCUUUGCAGAUUCAAUAUGCAGAAUGCUAAGCCUGUUAGUACUCCUUUAGCAGCCCAUUUUAGACUUUUAUCGGCUUUGUCUCCACAAUCAGAUGAUGAGAUUAAGUACAUGUCACAUGUUCCAUACUCUAGUACAGUGGGAUCUCUCAUGUAUACUAUGGUUUGUUCACGUCCAGAUUUAUCAUAUGUAGUUAGUGAAGUUAGCAGAUACUUGGUGAAUCCCGAUAAAGAACAUUGGAAAGUAGUUCAGUGGAUUUUAAGAUACUUACGAGGUACUACUGAUGUUUCCUUACAGUUUGGAAGAACUAGAGAUGAAGUCAUUGGGUAUGUUGAUGCUAAUUUUGCUGGAGACUUUGAUAGAAGAAGAUCUCUCACAGGUUAUGUCUUUAUAAUCGGAGGUUGUGCAAUCAGUUGGAAAGCCACUUUGCAAACUACAGUUGCUUUGUCCACCACUGAAGAUGAGUACAUGGCGAUUACUGAGGCUUGUAAAGAAGCUAUUUGGUUGAAGGGACUCUUUAGUGAACUCAAUAAAGGCUUUCAAAUCAAUACAGUAUUUUGCGACAGUCAGAGUGCUAUCUUCUUUACAAAAGAUCAAAUGUUUCAUGAGAGAACAAAACACAUUGAUAUUCGGUAUCAUUUUGUUCGUGAUAUUAUUGCUUGUGGUGAUAUUGUUAUGAGCAAAAUUAGUACUCAUGAAAAUCCUGCAGAUAUGAUGACUAAGUCACUUCCUAUAACCAAGUUUGAGCAUUGCUUAGACUUGGUUAGUGUUCAUUGUUGAAGUUAAACCCUUAAGGGGUUUUAUGGAAUAGGUGGAAAACUUGAUCGUUGAGAGUUCGCGAUGAAGAACUUGUUCAUUAAGAAUUCGUGUCAAUGUGGAGAUUGUUAGAAUUAAGUGACCCGAAUCCUUAUUUAAAUAAAAUACAGUGGUAAAAUAAAAUAAAAGUAAAAUCCCUAUAGAAUUAUACUUCUUUUAUUUUAUUUUAGAAUAAUAUUUUUUAAAUCUUAUUAAACUCCAUCUAUUUGAUAUUGAUUAGAAUAAAGAGUUUCACUCCUAUUAGAAUAAGGUUUUACAAGCCUAUAAAUAGACAUAGUCUACUCCUCUUGUAAUUAAUUCGAAUUCGACAUGGUGAAUUAUCUUCUUCUCUGCCCGUGGUUUUUUCCCGAAAGGGUUUCCACGUAAAAUCUGUGUGUUCUUUAUUUUUUCUAUUUUUAUUUUCUUUACGAUAUAUUGCUAUUAUCGACAUUUAUUUUCACAUAUUCUAAUUAAUUAGAUAUUUCCUUCCUUCCAAAAGCCUUUCAAAAUAGGUUUAGUUUGACCAAGAUACUCUUGUAGAAAAUUUUAGUUUUGUGGGAAAACGAAAAACUAGAUUUAUUUUUUAUUCUAAUUGGUUUCAUAUGCAAGGUAUAUAAACUUUUGUGUCGCUGCAAUUUUUUUCCAACAUAUGUAUGUGAUUUGUGGGGUUUCAAUUUUGAAUUUUUUUUAUAAUUUAAUUAAAUUGUGAAAGUAUUUGAAAGUUUUUAAGUUGAUACAAUGUUUAGAACUACCCCAACACCCACCCAACCCUUAAAUAGGAGGAUAAACAUGCUUCAGCACGCUCAAACUCACAUUCUCCUACAUCUAUGAUAAUACUAAUGCCAACCGAGUUAAGACUCAACUAGCCUUGAAUUUUGAAUUUUACUUCUGAUAUAUUUUGAAUUUUGAAAUUUUAAUUUUGACCCAAACAGUAGCAGUUAAUUUAAUUUGAUUAAAUUUAAUUACUAGACCUAUAUUAUGCGUACGAUUAUUGAUUAGUCUAUACUCUCAAAUUGGGCAAUUCUAAGUACCUAUACUUUCUGAAUUUUGAAAUUUCAGUCUUGAUGCAAAUGACAAUUGUUAAUCUAUUAAUUAGAUUUUUAGCGAGUAAUAUGUAAAAAUAACAAACUGGCAUAACAUUACACAUAUGAUAAUAUGUUUAUUGCACCGCAUUUGAAAAUAGCCGAAUUUAACAAAUAUCGUUAGUGAGGAUUGGAAAUUAGAGUCUAGGGAUUAAAUCCACAAGUUCAGUAAAUUACAAGAACUAAUGGUAGAAUUUAACCUUUAUAUAACCUUUAAAUUCUAACCGUGGUUUGCACACUACUCAGCCGACCAUUGGCUGUGGUGGGAACACAAACUGUUUGAAUUUGACAUCAGUGAUUGAAUUUUCAUAGCUAAUAUGUACGUUCCUUCAAUUUCUCCAUAGGAGGGAGUGGAAUACAUUAUAUAAGGUAAUAUUUGAUAUAUUCGGUAAAUGAAUAAUUGCAAGAUAUCUCAUUAUCUAGUAAAAUAAAUAAUGAAAAUUUUAUAAAUAAAUAUUAAUAAAAUAUUAUUACAUAUAUCAACAAUGACAUAGUAAGUUGCAUUAACUUUUAGAUGUUGACUAUUGACUUUUGCAUCAACCUUGAACUUACAUAGGCCCCUACAAUAAUUUAGGUUAUGGAAAUAAUCUUGCAAAUAAUGCUUGAGACAUCAUUAUACAUCAAUUUAUAGUUUUAAUUCUUGUACUUACUCAAUUGGAAUAAAGAUUUAGUUUUUUAUUUUCUUUUGAUACAAUGUCUAGAAUUAUCCAUAGCCCUUUUCCAACCCUUAAAUAAAUGAAUAAUGUGCUUCAGCGUACUCGAACUCACAUCUUCUUACAUUGACAAAUUGCUGAUGCCAAUUAGUUAAUGUUAAUGCUAUACUUUAGUUAAAAAUAACUAACAUUAUUAAAAAAUUCAUUAGUUGGCUCAUGUGGAUUUUUUUUCAAAAAAAUUGAAAUUAAGAACCAUAAAUUCUUUAAGACUUAAAAAUUAAAAUUAUGUGGUUAUUAAAAAAGAUUUAUUUUUUAUUAAAUUAUUAUUUAAAAUAAAUUUAUCUCAUCAUAAUGAUAUGAUUUUUUUCUUUAAAAAAUCCACAUUAACCAACUAAUAGAAUUGUAUAAAGCUGCCACCAAUCUCUUAGCAUGAUGGCAAAAGAUUCAGAGGCAGCCAGAAAAUCUUUUGAGGGGCGUGAAUAAAGUUAUAUAUUUUUAUAAUAGCAAAAGUGAAAUUUUAUUAUUAUAAUAGUUUAUAUCUUUAAUUUUUAAAAUAUUAAAUAAUUUUUUUCUUAUUUUUGAGGGGAUAAAGUAUAAGUUUAUCAUAUACUAAUUUUAAAAUUAUAAAAAGACUAAAUGUGAAAUUUUUCAUUUUAAGGGGUGGGGCCCUGUCAGGUCUCCUUGGCUUCACCUUGAUAAAAGUAUUAUGUAAUACGUAUAAAGUUUGAGUUUAAUCCCAAACAAUCUCAUUUCUUAUCCCUCAUUAUAAAAUAAUAAAAUAAAUAGAGCAAUUGAUAUGAGGAGACAAGUAUAAUAGGGCAAUUUUAACCUGGGCCAGAUUUCAAAACAAAACCCAAACCAAAUAAUAAAAGAGUCCAAAAUAAUUAAAACAAUCCAUCCAUUUUACAAACAAACCCAAAUUAGCAGCCCAAAUACAAAUUAAAACUCAAUAACCCAAAACUAACUAUAGCCCAAUUAGCUAAACACUUAAACGCAACAAAAAAAACCCUAUCCCCCUAAGCCUCCAACGCUGCAUGACCACCUACGCCGCACGUCGUCGCUGCCGCUCGAGGCUCGCCUAUCUUCGACCAUCCACGCAUCUGACACUUGCAAAACCAAGGCAACACGCAACAACAAAGGCCAAAUAGAGGAAACAACAAGGAAACAGACAAAAAAGGAAGAAACAAACAGUUUUGAUUCGGCUAUAAAAGCCCGAAUCUCACCCUUGUAAUUUUUUUGCGAACAUUAGAAAAUAAAAAAACAAAAACAACACUUUCAAGGUGAAUUUCUACUUUUAUUUCUGUUUUAAAUACUUAUUUGAUUCUAUAUUCAUAUUUUUAUUUUAUUUUUUAUAUAUAUACGAAAAUAAUAAAAUAAAAAAAGGAAGAAAGGGCUCACCGGAGACGCCCCGUGAUCGUGCCGUCAGAAGGCUCUUCUCCGUUGUUGCCAUCGGAUCCGAGAGGGGGUCGAGAGUCUUCCUCUUUCGCUUUUUUGGGUCGAGAGGGCUGGGCUUCCAAGGGAGCUGCGAAACGGGGGCUAAAAAUGCCCUUUUGCGCAACACCGACCACCGGCCACGACAGCACUACGACGGCGACCAUGGCCGGCCAAGGGGUGGGCUGAGAGAGAGACCAAGAGAUACUGAGAGAGUUCUCUGUUUUUUUAGAAAAAUGAAAGUUGAACCGUUUUUUUCUUCUUUUUUUUUGCUAUUUAUAUAGGGUAUAAUACGACGCCGUUUUGGACUUAAGCAUCAGUGGCCAAAACAAUGCCGUUUUGCAUCAGACCUGAAAAUCGACUCGAAUGCGGCCAGGAUCUGCGCGUUUUAGCUUUGAGGAGCUAUUUGCAUAUUCAGCCCUUCCGCUUUUGUAGUAUAGUGCAAUCUGGUCCUCGUUGUUUUUAUAUUUUGGCCGCAUAAUUUUUUGAUUGUUUUACUUUGGUCCGAGCUGAAACGCUGCGCAUAGGGGCUAGGAAUAUUGCCCAGUCGGUCCCUCAUUCCUUAAGCGCGCUCUAUUUCAGUCCCUAGCAACCCUUUUUUUUAUUUGUAAUUUAAACCCCAAAUUCUGGGUCGAUUUUAGUAUCAUCCUUAGUCCAUUUAAUUUAUUUGUUCACUAUUUUUUAUUUAAAAAACUCUUUUAUUAUUAUUUGUUUUAAGUUUUUUUAUUUAUCAUUUAUUUUAAAUUGUUUUACAUACUAUUUAUUUAAAUUUUUUAUAUAUUAGUCAUUUUAAACCAUUAUAUGUACAUUAUCUUUUAAAUUUUUAUAUACAUAUAUUUUUUUUAAAAAAAACUGUUGUAUGUUUCUUAUUUAUUUAUUUUAAACUGUUAUUAUUAUUCAUUUUAAGUUUUUAUAUACUGUUUAUUUGAAGCCGGUUAUUAUUUAUUUUUGAAUUGUUCUUAUAAAUUAUUUACUUUAAAUUAUUAUUUACUUUGAAAUUUUUUUGCAUAUUAUUUUGUUUUGUUUUUUUUAUUGUUAAUAUUAGUAUAAAAAUUAUAUACAUUGUGUGAUUAUUACCGCCAUGUGUACUAUAAUUAGUUUCUUCGUGUUUUCAUAUUAUUAUCACUCAUUAACAUAACAUUUUUUUCAUAAAUUGUUAUUUUAUGUUCUAUGUUAUCAUUCCAUUUCACUUCAUCACUUCGAAAGUUGCAUUCAAUUUGUAUUUACCCAUAAUAAACCGUUCUAUUUUGUCACAAAUAAAACAAAUGCACCUCGUUCAAGCAUUGUACUCACAAUUAUUCAAAACGGGGAAAAGUUUUAAAAUAAGACAAUAUUUCGCAUUUUGGAGAUUUGAGAAAUUGUACCCUAACUUACGGGGUUUCAAUUUUCUCGUUGAACCUAAAUAGCAAAAUAUCCUUCUAAUUUUCAAAAUUUACGAAAUUCCAAUAAAGUUAAAGGCUAGCUUAUUCUCAAGGGUUCUAAGUGUCGUGUCCUAACUUACGGGAUGUGACAUUUAUUAUCUCGAGACGAGAGGAUCUUUGACAUUCGUUUCAAUUUAUUCAAGCAAAUUCUUUUAAAUUAAAAUAGCGUUAACAAAAGGGGGAUCGUGUUUUAAAUUCUUUCGAAGUUUUUCAAUUUUUAACAUUUAGACAUUAAUUAAUCAAUUGAAUACCAAUUUUGGGCGUGACGAGGGUGCUAAUCCUUCCUCGCAUGUAACUGACUCCCGAAUCCGUUUUCUCAAAUUUCAUAGACCAAAAUCACUGUUUUGAUAAAUUAAAAUAUUUUAUUAAAACAACUAAAUUAUGAGGUGACCUAAUCACACCUCAUAAAAAAAAGAUUGGUGGCAACUCUCGUUUUAAUUUCCAUUUUCAAACCAACGUCGACCCUUUUAAAAAAAUGGUUUCAAUAUUAAGUUAUAAGUUGAAUGAAUUAAAAAUAUGUGAAAAGUGUAAAUAGAGACUCUUCAAUCUCAUUUCCUCUAAUGCUCUUUUUUUAAAUUUUUUUUUAAAUUUUUUAUGUACCUUUUAAAUAGUUAAUGAAAAUAAAAAUAUUUUGAUAAUUUUCACUUCGAAAUGCAAAAGCCAACAACAGUUUUUGACUACAAAAGCGGUGUGUUCUUCAUCACUUCUCAGUGGAAAAACACUUCUGCAAUGUAACAACACUUUUAACCCAAAACGGCUUUUUCACCACAAUAGAGAAUGCACCCUAAAAUUGUAAAUAGAAAAAAGAAGGAUCAAACAUUGUUUCUACCCUGUUUUUGUCUCCUCUUUGAAAAUACUUUCCAAAAAGUUUUAUCAUUUUUUUUUCUGUUUACAAAUUCCUUAUAGAAGUGCUUUCUUUUGAUCCACUUGCAUCAUUGUAAUAAGUUUGCAUUGCCUUCUAACUUUCUAUGUUGAUUACAGUUUAUUAAGUUUUCUGUUGGAUCUUAUAGUCAAAUUCCUUUACAUCAUGUAUGUUAAUUUGCUUAGCCCUGAUAAAUGUUAGAUAUAGGGUUAUCAGUGUCGAAACCACUUUUUUGGCGAACAAAAAUUAGUUGUUGACUUUAAAAACGAAAGUUGGAGUCGCCAUCGAUCCUUUAUUGGGGUGUGAUCGGCUCACCUUAAAAACGAUUUUGGUCUGCAAAAUUUGAGAAAACAGGUUCGGGAGUCGGUUACGCAUGAGAAAGAGUUAGCACCCUCUUAACGCCCAAAAUUGGUACCGAAUUAAUUAAUUAAGGUCUUAAUGCCGAAUAUCGAAAAUCUGUGAAGAAUUUAAAAAUACGAUCCUCCCUUUUUGUUAAUGUUAAUUUUAUAAAAGAUGCUUGGAUAAAUCGAAGCGAAUGCUAAAGACCUUUUUGUCUUGGAAUAAUAAAAUGUCACACCCAAUACGUUAGGACAUGACAUUUUAGUCCUCGAGAAUAAGCUUGUCUUUUGAUUUUCAAAGCUCGUGCGGUGAAGUUUAAAAAGGAUAUUCAAUUGCUUUAACUCAGAUGAAAAAUCGGAGCCCAAUACGUUAGGGCACAAUUUCUCAAAAUUCCGAGCAUUGAAUAUUGCCCUUAUUAUUAUUAUUUUUAAAAUCUUCAUCUCGAGAAAAUGACAUGUCAUAUCCAAUAUGUUAGGACACGACGUAUCGAAUUUUCGAGAAUGAGCUUUUUAUUUAUGCUUUAAUUAAAAAAGGAUACCCGGUUUCUUAGAUUCAACGAGGAAGAUUGGAAUCCAAUAAGUUAGGACACAAUCUUUUCGAGGAUCCUAAAUUCCGAGUGUCGCGUUAUUUUUGAAAAAAAACUUUUUGAAUAAAAAUGCUCUCGAUACUUGAAUGAUAUUAAACGUAACCUUUUAACAACGAAUAAAAUGCGACGGGACGAUAAUGUAUAACGCGGAAUGACGAUUUGUAAACAAAAUAUACUCUAACGAAUGACAAAUAAUCAAUAAAAACAAAUAAACAUUAUCAUACAUAUAAGAGCAAUAAUCACAUGUAAAUAUUAACAUCAACAUUUGAAAGCUAAUGACCUAAAAGCCUAUCGCAAAUACAACAAAUUUAAAAUAACUAAAAAAAAAGCAUGAGAGAAAAGAAAUUUGAAAUUAUCAACAUAUAUACACAAAAUACACGUAUAUAAAAAUUUAAAAGAAAUAAUUAAUAGGAAGACUUGAAAUAAUUUAAAAAUAGAAUUAAAAAUGAAUAAUAAUAUCUAAAUGAAUUUUAAAAUAAAUAUUAUAAGAAGAAAGUCAAAAUAAAUAAAACCCAAAAUAAUACACAUAUAUUAAUCUAAAUAGGUAAUAGAUAUAAAUUACGUAUUAUAAAAGAAAACUAUUUAAAAAGGGUAAAUUCUAUUGGAUUAACAUAAAAAUAUAAAAUAAUUUAUUAUGAAAUUAAAUAAUAAUAUAUGAUAAUAAUAUAAAAAAACUUAAAAUAAUAGUGCAUAAUAGAAUAAAAUAAUGAAUAUAAAAAGGUUAGAUAAAUUGAUAAAAAAUAAUACUAAUAAUAAUAAUAGUAGCAGUAAUAAUAAUAAUAAUAAUAAUAAUAAUAAUAAUAGUAAUAAUAGUAAUAAUGAUAAAUUAAUAUUAAAGUAAUUAAUUUGAUAGCAAAAAUAACAAAACAGAUUACUAAUUUGGAAUUAAAACAGAAAUUUAGGGGUAAGACGUGCAAUAAAAUGAAAUGAAAAGGACCUAAUUGAAAUUAAUUUAAAAUCAGACUGACUAGCAAAGAAAUUAAACGCACAAGUCUCACCUGGCAAUCAAGUCAGAUCAUCAGAAACGGCGUCGUUUCGAACGUUUGUCUCCUCAACUGACAGAAGGACGAAAUUGAAAGAAAUAUCGAAUUAUGUGGCAAAAUUAAAAAAGACAAAGAAGGAUUAAAAUGAAGUAAAUAAAAAACAGAAGGACCAAACAGGAGAAUAAGCCAUUGAAACAAAACACGCGGAUCCUCCCCGGGUCAAAUCGGAUCAUCGGGUCAACCAACACGGAGACGUUUUGAAGCCAUUAAAUCGGGCUUAAACGGCACCGUUUUAUUAUCGUUAAAAACCUAAAAAAAUAAAACCCUAAUAAUUUGUUUUGCCAUCCUAAAACAGAUCAAGAGCCUAGCCUUCUCCCCACCGGUCUCCACUCACGAACCCAAUCUGACUCCGAUUCAGACGGAGCAAACCAGAUUCCAAUGGCGUCUGCUCUGGUAAGACGCUUCUUCUCUCCCUCUUUUUUUUUCGUUUGGUGCCAAAGAAGAAAACAAAGAAUCAAAGAAAUAAAAGAGAAAAAAAAACGAAGAAAAUCACCUUUCGAAAAAACUUUCUGUUUUGAUUUUUUGUUUGUAUUCAAUAUGCGUAAAAAAGGAUUACAAUGGCCUUCUCCCUCUUUAUAGCCGAAUAUUCGAAAUAAAAUGAAAGAAAAUACAAAAAAUUCUCUCUGCUGCGUUGUUUUCGUCUUCUUUGCAGGUAAGGAGGCUAGCUGGCGUAAGGAGGUGGUGGACGUGGCACAGCACACUCGGGGAAGGCCCUGGUGGCUGCGGCGCUGGAAGGAGGGCUGUUGCAGCUAGGGUUUUCUGAUUUUUUUUUGGGCUAGGGUUGGGUUGAUAGUUGUAUUGGGCUAGGUAUUUGGGCUGGGUGUAGUUGGACUAGAUGUAUCUGACUUUGGGUUUGUACCGGGUCACUGUAAAUGGGUUUGGUUUUUGUUGUUAUUGGGCUGUGAACUAUUUGAGUUUUAAUUAAUUUUUAUUUAUUUGGUUUUUUAUUGUGGGCUGGGCAAAUUGGGUAUUACAAUCAGCUAAUUAGGAAAGACUGUGAUGAUAGUCACACCUUACAUCCAAAAGCAAAGCUUUUUUUACAUGUGUAUGUAAGGUUGCUAAGCAAAUCUGGUGAGCCUUCACUGCUGUUUUAAGGUUAAGUUAAUGUUCCUUUUCGGCAAAGAACAUUAUCGAGAUCACGGUAUUUUGAUCGCCUUUUGCUUCUUGUUAUUCGUUCUGAAACGAUUGCAUAAUCUUUACUGUGAUUGCAGGAUAUAGAGCAACUUUUGAAUUUCAUCGCUGUAAAGUGUUUAGGACCACGACAUGUUCUUGCAAAUUUGAAGAAGCUUCUAAGGUCUGUCCAGUCUUCAGAAUAUAUAGAUACCUGAAUUAAUUUUGAUUUUGUAGGAUCAACUAUAAUUAGCUACUUAUUAGAGUAUGAAUAGACAACCUCACCUUCUUCACACACUGACACGUGCGGAUUUUUUGCCAAUCCCAUUUCAAAGGAUCACACUUUUUUGUUGUUUACAGAAUCAUAAUUAAUGUUAAUUAAAGUGGAAUAUUUCAGAUUUCUGAUGAUGAGCAUAUUCUUGAGUAUUGCAGUAAAAAAAUGGGUGCGGAACUUAUUUGAACUUUGAAUGUAUGUUUUGUUGGUGAGAAUAUAAAGUUGAUAAAGAUUUGGUAAAUAGAAUAAAAUACUAUUUUUUAUUAGAAAAAUUAUUUGGUAGACUGCCAAUCGAUUUAUAAUUAUCAUGACGCAAUAUUAAGGGUAAUUAAAACAUGUCAUAUUACAAAUAAUAAAAUUAUAAUGACUCAAAUAUACGAACAUGUCAAAAUUUAUGUACAACGAAUUAUUAACAUGUCAAUGUAUAGUAUAAUAUGGUACGCAAAAAUAAGAUAAUUGCUUGUCUUUAAUUGAAUUGUUAUAACACAUUAUACAAAAUACAUUGUGAAUUAAAGCAUAAUAUAAUCAUGAUAUCAAUAUAUUAAAUUUUUUAAAAAUUCGAUGAUACGAAUAAUUAUGUAAAAUAUCACAUGAUACAAAAUGACUUGAGAGGAAAAGAGGAACAAAGACUUGCNNNNNNNNNNNNNNNNNNNNNNNNNNNNNNNNNNNNNNNNNNNNNNNNNNNNNNNNNNNNNNNNNNNNNNNNNNNNNNNNNNNNNNNNNNNNNNNNNNNNNNNNNNNNNNNNNNNNNNNNNNNNNNNNNNNNNNNNNNNNNNNNNNNNNNNNNNNNNNNNNNNNNNNNNNNNNNNNNNNNNNNNNNNNNNNNNNNNNNNNNNNNNNNNNNNNNNNNNNNNNNNNNNNNNNNNNNNNNNNNNNNNNNNNNNNNNNNNNNNNNNNNNNNNNNNNNNNNNNNNNNNNNNNNNNNNNNNNNNNNNNNNNNNNNNNNNNNNNNNNNNNNNNNNNNNNNNNNNNNNNNNNNNNNNNNNNNNNNNNNNNNNNNNNNNNNNNNNNNNNNNNNNNNNNNNNNNNNNNNNNNNNNNNNNNNNNNNNNNNNNNNNNNNNNNNNNNNNNNNNNNNNNNNNNNNNNNNNNNNNNNNNNNNNNNNNNNNNNNNNNNNNNNNNNNNNNNNNNNNNAUGGUCUUCUAGGCUUGGUACCUAGUUUUCCAUUCUUUUUAUCCGUUCUAAUUCCACUUUUGCUUUAGUAAAAUUUUCUUAUAGCUAAGAAAGAAAAAAAAAACUAUUAACAAGUAAUUAUAUAUAUAUAUCAGGUUUUCAAUUGCUUUCAAGACUCAAUAACUUGGAAACUCUCGAUUUAAGUCGGAAUUCUUUUAAGAAUAGCAUUUUGUUCCAUAUGAGAAAUCUUUCAUCCUUGAAGACUUUAAGAUUGAGCGGUAAUCAGUUGAAAGGAAGGCUGGAUCAUAUUCAAGGUAGACUAAUUUUACCUGUUUCUUUUUAACUUUAAAAAUCAAUGUAUGCUCAAGUUUGAUUUUAUCAUACGAUGAAUGUAUAUAACUAAUCAAUAUUUGGGAUUGAAUUUCAGGAUUGAAUAAUUUGACAAAUUUGAAGUACUUGGAUUUAAGUUGGAACGACAUUGAAAGCAUCUCAAACAAAGGUAUAAGUAUUUGUGCAAAACUUUCUUGACCGACUCUUAUUCCAAAAGGCAAUGACAGACUUCAAAUGUAUUUUCUUUAGUGAAUUUUUAUUGCAAAAAUGGAGUAUUAUUAUUUAUUUAUGUUUUGUAGUAACUAAUUAUAUAAUAUAUAAAUCAGGUUUUCAACGGCUCAUUAAAUUGGAAAUUAUUGAUAUAAGUUGGAAUUAUUUGAAGAAUAGCAUUCUUUAAAAUAAAUUCAUGUUGAAGGAAAAGUUGUUGCAAUAAGUCAUUUGAUUUUAUCAUAUCAUGAAUAUAUAUAAGUAAUCAAUAUUUGGGAUUGAAUUUCAAAAUUGAGUAAUUUAAGUAGGAAGGUAUCUCAAACAAAGUAUUUAUAUAUUGAAUCAAUUCAUGGGAAAGCUUGUAAAUUGGCUCUUCCUUCUCAAACAAUCAUUUUUCCUAACUUUUUAUAUCUUGAAUGAUAUUAACUAUACUCAUUAUUUUCUUCCAAUGAUAGAUGGAACACAAUGGAGGCUAACAAACUUAGAGGAACUUGAUUUGAGUGGUAAUCUCUUUCGGAACAACACAAUUUCCUUUCCUCAAGGGCUUUCAAGCCUAAAGUCUUUGACUUUGUACAACAACCAUUUGCAAGGCUCAUUAGAUACUAUAGGUACCAAAGCUAUAACUUUGUUUUUCUUGAUAAUUCUUUCUAGAACCUUUUAAAAUUAAUUGUUUCAAAUUUGAACAUUCACAUUUCACUUUUGAGGAUUUUCAUCUUCACUUCCAGUUUUAGAUUUACUUUUUUUUUCAUUUUUAUUUCAUUAAAAUAUUAAGUAGAAAUUAAAAUUAUUAACAUAAUGAUUUUUUAAAUUGUACGUGGAUAUGUAUAGGAUUGAGCAAUUUAACAAAUUUGAAGAAACUCGAUUUAAGUGGGAAUCAAAUUGAAAGCUUUCAAACCUUUAAAGGUAUGCAUUUAUAUUUAACUAAUUACCUAAAUUCUUACAUAUAAUUAAAUUUUAUGCCAAUUCAUUUCAGUGAUGAAAUUAUAUAAAUCUUUUGUAGAUGGUGGUAGAAAAUUGGAGUUGACCCACUUGGAAGAGCUUUAUUUAGAUGGAAAUCACUUCAAUACUAGUGUAUUUGCAUCCCUUAACAAGCUUUCAAAUUUGAAAUCUUUGAGCAUAAGUGAGAAUCAAUUGAAAGGAUCAAUAGAUAUGAAAGGUAAAAAUAUUAGUUUUUUAACAAGAAUAUAAUAAUGUUUGAAGAGAAUAUAAUGAAGUUGAUUUGUUGUUUUUGUUUUCCUAGAUUUGGAAGCAUUUAUCAAAUUAAGGGAACUAGAUAUGAGCUAUAAUGAAUUGAGAGAUUUUGUGAUCCACCAAGGUAUCAUUUAAUUAAUUUUCCUUUUUUUUUAAUUUAGAAAUUUAGUUUUGAUCUAUGAUAUUAUAAUAACAGUUAUUGUCAUAAAUAUUAAUAAAGUUAUAUCAUAUCAUACUUGAAAGUAAAAUAUGGGUUUGGUGAAACAUUUUCUAAACCCUCCAUUAUAAUGUGUUUCGACUUUGGUUUGAAACUAAAAUUCUUUAAAUUUUUCAUAAUUUUUAAAUAUUAAUGUUUAUAAUUAUUUUGUUUGUAUAACUAUGUUUUUAAAAUAAUUUAUUGAAUUUUUAUGAGAUAAAAAAUAAUUAUAACGAUAAAAAAUGAUAUUAUAAGUAAAAAUACAUAUAUUUAUGGGAAAAUAUGUAAUAUAACUAUAUUUUAAUUUCAUAUAUUUUUAAUAGUAUAAAACAUAAAAAUACAUAUUAGAGUUAAAUAAAUGGCAUUUUUUGGCCAAAAAUAAAUAAAUGUCAAUUUUGAAUAAUAUAAAAAAAAACUUCAAUUUUAUGAAAUUUAAACAUACAUUUUGAGGUGUUUAAACUUUUUUUUUUAACUUUUUAUAAAUUUCAAAAUGCACAUGUUGUUAAUUUUUUGGUUUUAAAAAAUGUGAUAGGUCUAUGUACUCUUUACAAAUUUGUAAUUUAAUUCUUGUAUUUUUAUUUUCGGGAAUUUGAUCCCUCUAUUUUUUAAAUUUUAAAAUCCAAGUUCAAUUGUUAACAUUGUUAUUUUUUUAAAAAAUAAUUUAUUGGUGUUGACAUUUUAAAAUAAAAGAACUUGGUAGCGAUGUAACUAAAAGAUGAUGUAAUGAACAUGGAUUUAAUAAAAUAAUUUCAACCGUAUAAAUAGUUAGACUUGAAUUUUGAAAAAAAAAAUUUGUAAAGAGAAAAAUAUGCACAUUAGAUUUAAAUAAAAAUAAUAUUUUUUUUAGUUUAAAAUUUUCUAUUUUAUAAUAGAACCAUUGAUUUAAAUAAAUGAGAUUUUGAAGAAUUUCCAAAAAAAAAAAACUAUGUAGGUGAAAUUUAAAUAGAGAAUUUGAUAAGCUGAAAUUCUCUUUUGGAAUUCAUAAAUUUUAAAAUUCAGAAGCAUGUAUUUUGACAAUUUUGAUUUAAUAUGGUGAAUUUAAUCAAAAAAUUAUUUAUUAGAUUGUAAAAUAUUUCUUAACAUUUAUAAUUGAGUACAAAGUAAAUUAAGUUUAAGGGAAAAUAUUGGGUACUAUUAAUGAAAUUCUUUUCUUUUAUCAAUUUUUUUUUAAAAAAAUCGGGGUGGUACUAUUAAUGAAAUUCUAAACUUCAUAAGUAGGAUUGAGAUAAUAACAAAUUUCUUAUAUGGUAUAGUAAAAUAUUAAAAAAUAAAUAUUUAAAAGAAAUAGGUUAGUGGCCAUUUUUUAACUUCACUUGUAGAGUUAAAAAACUCCAUUACCAGUACCAAAUACUAACAUUAAGGUUAAAUGCUAAUUGAUUUCAAACAUAUUUGAGUUUUUUAAAAGAAUAUUCUCAUAUAUUUAAAAGAAAACAACACAAAGUUAGAAGAUCUCAUCUUGAAGGGUAAUUCAUUUACCGGUCCUCUCACAUUACCGUCAGCUCCUAACUCUAAAGUGUCUUUAAUUGACAUAUCCCAAAACAAAUUGCAAGGUCAGAUUCCAACCAACGUGUGUUCACAUUUUCCACAUUUGAGCCACUUAUUCUUAUCCAAGAAUGCCUUCGAAGGUGAUAUCCCUCCUUGUUUGAGUGGCAUGAAGGAUUUAUCGAUUUUAGAUUUAUCAGACAAUCAAUUGUCUGGAAGAGUACCUGAAGAGUUAAUCACAAAAAACUCGUUGACCAUUUUGAGACUAUCAAACAACAACCUCAGUGGACAUGUGCUUCCUGUGAUUCUCAAUGCAAAUGGGCUGUCAAAAUUAUAUUUGGAUGGAAAUAAUUUUUCUGGGGAGAUGGCAAAUGUUGAUGUCUCUAUUUCUGAGUUUCCAACUUCACUAAGGGAAAUUAAUCUCGGAAAUAACAAGUUUUAUGGAAACCUCCCAAGAUGGAUGGGGAAUGUGUCAUUUUUGGAGAGAUUAGCUUUGUCCCAAAAUGGUUUCGAGGGUUCUAUUCCAAUGGAAUUUUGCAACUUGAAUCGCUUGGAAUUUUUGGAUCUCUCUGAAAACAAUUUAUUUGGCUCUAUACCGUCCUGCUUUAAUACCCUAAACAUAAAGCAUGUCCACCUGCACGGGAGUAGACUAAGUGGCCCACUACCAAUCGCUUUUUAUAAUAUCUCUUCACUGGUUACGUUAGAUCUUAGAGGAAACAAUUUGACUGGUAGUAUUCCAAAAUGGAUUGGCACACUUUCUUCAUUGAGUGUUCUUCUCUUGAAAGAUAAUCAUUUUCAUGGUGAAGUUCCAGUUCAGUUAUGCAAGUUGGAUUCUUUAAACAUCAUAGAUCUUUCUCAAAAUAUGUUUUCUGGUAUUAUACCUUCUUGUUUGGGAAAUUUAACCCUUUCAACGGAAACAAAUAAGAUUCUAACUGAUUCGAAAAUUAGUCCAAGGUUAACAGGGGACGGAUUAGUGAAAACAUUGGGAGCUCUCGGAAAUUAUUACUAUCCUGAAGGCUACUUAGAAGAAGUAAUAGAGUUCACAACAAAGAGUGGGUUCUUAUCGUAUGAGGGAAACAUCCUUACAUAUAUGACCGGGAUUGAUUUAUCUUGCAACAACUUAACUGGUCAUAUCCCACCAGAAUUAGGGAACUUAAGUGAAAUCUAUUCUUUAAACUUGUCGCAUAAUAAGUUGACAGGAGUUAUACCCUCAUCAUUCGCAAAACUUCAUCAAAUUGAGAGUUUGGACCUUUCUUACAACAAUUUGAGUGGUGAAAUCCCCAAUCAGUUGGUAGAGUUGAACUCUUUGGAGGUUUUCAACGUGGCAUACAACAACUUGUCAGGUAGUAUUCCCGAACCAAAAGCUCAAUUUGGGACCUUUAUUGAAAACAGUUAUGAGGGAAAUCUUUUUCUUUGUGGAGCUAUAUUGCAUAAAAGUUGUUCCAAAACCGAUUCACCAUCAACGAUAUCAACUCUAUCAGAAUAUAAAGGAGAAGAUGGUUUGAUAGGUACUUAUGAUUUUUGUGUGAGCUUUUUGGUUUCUUAUGUAGUUGUGUUGUUGACCAUUUUUGUUGUCCUCUACAUAAAUCAAUACUGGCGAAGAGUUUGGUUUUCUCUCAUUGGGAAAUGCAUCACCACCUGUCGCUACUCAAAUGUGGGCAAUUUUCUUACUUAUCACAUUUUCAAGCAAUGAGUUUAGCUACUCAAAUUGUAAUUUGAUUUUCACACCUAAAUGUUUAAUUAUGCUAAGUUGAGCGAUAAUGAAUAUUUUGUUGAUUUUUGCAUUUUAAAUAAAAGCUCUUUGAUCUUAUGAUUUUAUCAUUUUCAACCAUCUAUUUCUUUUUUCUUCUAUGAAAUUUAAUGUAAAAUCAUAAUCCAUUAUUAUGUAUAUGCAAUAUCUCUUUGAAUUAAAUUAAAUUGAAUACCAAGCGUUCACUAGUGCAUACUGAAAAGGAAAUCUAAUGUAAAAUUAAACCAAACAUACUAGAAAAAUGAAUCUGAAACUGAAAUAUUUUAAAACCUCAAAAACAAUGCAAUUCUUUAUUCCUCUUUUCCUUUCAAGUUAUUUUGUAUCAUGUUAUAUUUUACAUAAUCAUUCAUAUCAUCAAAUUUUAAAAAAUAUUUAAUAUUUUGAUAUCAUGUUCAUAUUAUGCUUUAAUUCACAAUGUAUUUUAUACAAUAUGUUAUAACAAUUCAAUUUAAAAAACAAGCAAUGAUCUUAUUUUUGCAUACCGUAUUAUACAUUUACAUGUUAAUAAUUCAUUGUACGUAAAUUUUGACAUGUUUGCAUAUUUGAGUCAUUAUAAUUUUAUUAUUUGUAAUAUGACAUGUUUUAAUUACCCUUAAUAUUGUGUCAUGAUAAUUAUAACUCGAUUGGCACCAAAUAAUUUUUCUAAUAAAAAAUAGUAUUUUAUUCUAUUUACCAAAUCUUUAUCAACUUUAUAUUCUCACCAACAAAACAUACAUUCAAAGUUCAAAUAAGUUCCACACCCAUUUCUUUACUGCAAUACUCAAGAAUAUGCUCAUCAUCAGAAAUCUGAAAUAUUCCACUCUAAUUAACAUUACGAUUCUGUAAAAACCAAAAAUGUGUGAUCCUUUUUUAAAGCUCUUUUUUUUUUCCUUUAAUGAAAUGGGAUUGGUAAAAAAUCCGCACAUGUGUCGUGUGUGAAGAAGGUGAGGUUGUCUAUUCAUUCUCUAAUAAGUAGCUAAUUAUAGUUGAUCCUACAAAAUCAAAAUUAAUUCAGGUAUCUUUAUAUUCUGAAGACUGGACAGACCUUAGAAGCUUCUUCAAAUUUGCAAGAACAUGUCGUGGUCCUAAACUCUUUACACCGAUGAAAUUCAAAAGUUGCUCUAUAUUCUGCAAUCACAGUAAAGAUUAUGCAGUCAUUUCAGAACGAAUAACAUAACAAGCAAAAGGCGAUCAAAAUACCGUGAUCUCGAUAAUGUUCUUUGCCGAAAAGGAACAUUAACUUAACCUUAAAACAUCAGUGAAGGCUCAUCAGAUUUGCUUAGCAACCUCACAUACACAUGUAAAAAGCUUUGCUUUUGGAUGUAAGGUGUGACUAUCAUUACAGUCUUUUCUAAUUAGCUGAUAACCCUGUAUCUAACAUUUAUCAGGGCUAAGCAAAUUAACAUACAUGAUGUAAAGGAAUUUGACUAUAAGAUCCAACAGAAAACUUAAUAAACGAUAAUCAACAUAGAAAGAAGGCAAUGCAAACUUAUUACAAUGAUGCAAGCGGAUCAAAAGAAAGCACUUCUAUAGGGAAUUUGCAUUUAAGGCAUCGUAAACAGAAAAAAAAAUGAUAAAACUUUUUGGAAAGUAUUUUCAAAGAGGAGACAAAAACAGGGUAGAAACAAUGUUUGGUUCUUCCUUUUUCUAUUUACAAUUUUAGGGUGCAUUCUCUACUGUUGUGAAAAAGCCUUUUUGGGUUAAAAGUGUUUUUACACUGCAGAAGUGUUUUUCCACUGCAGAAGUGAUGAACAACACAUAGCUGUUGUAGUCAAAAACUGUUUUUGGCUUUUGCAUUCAAAAGAGAAAAUUAUCAAAAUACUAUUAUUUUCAUUAACUAUUUAAAAGGUAUAUAAAAAUUAGAUUAAUUUAUAUUUUAUAUAUUAUUAUAUUAAAUUGUUUAAAUCUUAUUUAUUAUUAUAUUUAAUUUUUUCAAAAUAUUUUAUAUAUUAUCAAUUUUACAACUAAUUAACAAAAUAUUUUACUAGGGAAUACGUAUAUGUGAAUAUCUAUAAAUGGCAUGCCUGGAUAUGCAUAUCCUUUGAUAUCAAAUAUUUUGAAAAAAAUAUUAUCAAUUCCACUGAUAUAUUAUCAAUUCCACUGAUAUAAAGCUCUUUAUAUUACCAAUAUAAAUAUAAAUAUUUUGAAUAUAAAUAUCCAUUGAUAUAUUAUCAAUUCCACUGAUAUAAAGCUCUUUAUAUUAUAAAUAUUUUAUAUUUUUUUUCAAAAAUAUGGAUAUGCAUAUCCUUUGAUAUCAAAUAUAAAGGUAAUAUUUAUAGGAAUUGUUUUUUAAUUAGAUAUUUUUAUAUAUCAGUGGAAUUGUCAAAAUAUUUUCAUUAACUAUUUAAAAGGUAUAUAAAAAGAGCUUUAUAUUGCCUCAAGCGCAAGGCACAAAAUGAAGCGCUAGCCUGUGUGCAGUAAAGCGCAAUACGUAUAUGUGAGAGUUUUUGCAAGUCUGUGUGUCUAUAACAUAAAAGUUUAAGAUAUAUAGUAAACUCUAAAGUGUGGUCUGGUUUAUCCACAAAACUUGAAAUUUUUUUAUAGGUGAAUGCUCAAAUAUUGAGAAUUAUAGAGUUUGAUAUUAUCCCUUCCUUAUUAGUAAAGGUAUAUCAAAUGAAAACAGUGAAAAAUAAAAUAAAUUAUUGAGAAAUUCAACAAGGCAGGUUUUUCUAAUGCCCAUUGCCUUACAAAAAAAGUGUGCCUAGGUGCACCAGGCAUGCGCUUGAUCAAAUGGACCUCACCUGGAAGGGUCCAAGGCGUUUUGUUGUAUAAAACUAAGGCGUAGGCAUGCCUAGGCGCAUGCCUUGACGACACUGACCAUAUGUUGGCUUUAUUGCAAAGCAUUAGCAAUUCAAAACUACUAGCACAUUACCUAAUCUACUACUGCUAGAAUAGGACUCAAGUUCUUGCUCCUGUGCAGGUCCAACCAAGAUCUUUACAGGAUACAGUAAUGAAACUUGUGAUAUCAUAUAUUGUUGCCUUGCUCGAAGCUUCCUUUGCACAUUUUUAAGUUUAACACAACCCCUUUCUUCAGUGAGUAAUCUAUUUGCUUCCUGUGAUAAAAACAACAUAUAAUCAAUCAUGCCAUGCAUGCAAGACUACCAACCAUCUUAAAAAAGAGACAAAGAAGUAGGACAGCAAGAAGGGGAUAACCCUUGACUAUGCAAAGGAAUUCAUAGAAUGAGAAUCAUCUCAUCUAAGCCCCUCAACCACCUUCACAGGGGGUGGAGCUGCAAAAAGAGAUGUCUUAUUGAUCCAAGAGGAGAAUAAAUAACAUCUAAAGCUGAAUAAGAAGAAACCUUCAAAUGUAUCAUAAAUUCAGCAUUCAUGAUAAUAUCAAAAUGAAAUUCCAAAGCUAAUUUAAGCUAGAAUAAAAAUGCUUCACCUGUAAUCGCUUCCUUGCUACAGAAAGAGAGGUACCAGCAACCAACAAUGAUCUUACUUCAGUACUAAGCAUUUCCUCCUGUUUUUUAGCAUCCUCUGUUGCAACUUUGCAACGAGUUGACAUUUUGCCAUAACUACUUUCCUUGCCUCUAGUCUCUCACGCAUUUCCUCAAGCUCGUUCAGUUUAUUCAAAGACUCAUUUUUUACCUGCACAGCAUGUUCCCGCCCAUUAAUCAGUGGGCCAAUUGAUUAGGUCACAGAAGACAAAACUAAAUUACCACUCACCAGGUCCCCUUGAAGUGUCAUAUGGCUUUAACAAUUCAACGUGCAAUAUCUAGUAAAAGUAAAAUAAACAUAGAAGAAAGCAAAUGCAAUUCUUAAACGCCUUUAAAUGGACAACAUGAAACAGUUUAAGAGCCCUAUAAAACAGUAAAGUGGAAAAAAAAUCUGAAAAGGAAAAAGAAAUGAAUUGAAACAAUAAAUCCAUCAGGUACAAACAGCAACAAAACUUGAAAUAAGCUUUGGCUUUAGCCCAUUAAAGCCCGGGCAUCCAGCCAAAUAAACAGUGACUGCCAUGUCAACUUUUUGAGACGGUAGAAAAGAGAUCGAAAAUCUCAAUUUCCAAAAAUAAGGACAUAAGAAGUAAAAAAAUGCACUUAUUCUUACAGUAGAAGAGCAAAAUGAAACUAAAUGAAGCAUAAGGGAACUGAUGCGAAUUGACAUUGUCAUUUUUGGGACUAAAAAGAAUACGCAGAUUGAAUAUUUAAGAUUUGGAAGGGAAAAGUUCCAUUCACCAACACAAUUAUCGUCGCCCUUCAUCCUAGUAAAGCUUAAUUGACAAUUUUUCUGUCUCGUGUUCUUGCUAAAGCAUUUGAGCAACCCAACAGAAAUCAUUAUAUUUCAAACUGAAAUGAUUGGCUUUAUCAAUUUCACAACCUAUACCGCCCAACCUAGUAAGUAAUUUAGGUGCAGACACCAGAAAUCUAUUUCCUUUGCACUCUACAACUAAAUAGCCUACCACUUAUCAAUCAAACACAGCUGAAAACUUCAGUGAGGAAACAUUAUGAAAACUGAAAAAACUAUAACUUCAACUUGAUUCAUAGCUCGGCAAGUUCAGGGAAUUGGGACUUCUACCACCAUGAUCCAGUUCGAUGUGAAACAGUGAUCUAUAUCACGCAUAUCGGUUCCCGCAACAAGAGGUAAAACAGCAAAUUAGGUAAACGAUGAUCCUACUAUAUUUCAGAAUAGCAACAUUGAGCAUGAAAGCUAAAGUUAUAGCAUAUUAUGGGUCCUUGCUCUCUACAACUACAUAUAAAAUUACUAAACAAUAUUACUACAUUAAGGAUCCAGAAAAACUUUGUUUCAAUUGUUGAUCACUUGAUCCAACUAUUUUAGAAAGUUUAUUCUUCUUUUUCCUUUCCCUUAUUUUCUAAAUCAGGAAAAACAGUAGCACAUAAACUGGAUUACUACUCCAAGUUUCUAAAAUUUCAGCAAUAUCCCUUUAACCUUUUCACUCAAGUCACUACCCCCCCAAUUAACAAAUAUAUUCCCAGUUUCCCUUUCACUUCAAACCCCCUUUUUUUUUUCUCUACCCAAAUUCAGCUUAAGUUCAAAAACCCAAAAUUGGUUUGCUAAAAAUACAUAAUUUUCAAACACAAAGGUAACCUAAUUUUAAUCAGAAAAAAAAAGCAUUACCUGAAUUAGUGAAUGGAGUUUCUCUUGAAGACUUUGUUUUAAAACUAUCUUAUACUAUUUGCUUUAAAUCGAUUUUUAUUAGCUAUUUAAAACUCGUUUUCAUGUAUUAUUUAUUUUUUUAUCACUUAUUUAAAUUGUUUUACAUAUCUAUUUUUUAAACCCUAUUUUAUUAUAUUUUACUUAUUUUAACUUUUUUACAUAUUUCAUUAUAAAUAUUAUUAAUUAUCUAUAUUGAGUUUUUCAUUCCAUAUGUAUUACUUAUUUAGAUAAAUAUAUACUAUUUUGUGUAUUACUUAUUUUGAUUUUCUUCUUAUACAAUAUUACUUUAAAAUUCAUUUAGAUAUUAUUAUUUCACGUAGUAUUUAUUUUUAUCUUCAUUUUUUAUUUAUUUCAAACUCAUAUAUUGUUUAUUUUGAAAUUUUAUGCAUAUGAUUUAUUGUUUAUAUUGAUGAUUUUAAAUUUCCUUUCUUGCAUGUUUUUUUUAUUUAUUUUAAAACUUGUUAUACUUUAUUUGUGUUAAUUUGCUUAGUUUUUCUUUCAAAAUUAACUUAUAAUUCAUUAGCUUUUAAUGUUAGUAUUUGCACAAUAUGUGAUGUAAGAUUAUUGCUUUCCUGUAUUGCUUAUCUGUAUAUAUUGAUUAUUUGUCAUUCAUUAGUAUACAUUUUGGUUUACGAAUUGACUAAUUUACCAAAAAAAGCCAUUUUUUUAUAAAUUACCGAAAUAGGCCGGUUUUUUAAUUAUUUACCGGAAUGGGCCAUUUCCCCCGAAAUCGCGCCACGUCGAAGCGAUGUCAGGGGACGGGGCAGAAGGUCGCGUCCACGUCAGAGCGACCUACUGACGUGGAAGGAAAUCGCUCCCCUGAGGGCGCGAUUUCCUUCCACGUCAGCAGGUCGCGCUGACGUGGACGCGACCUCCUGUCACUUUGCGCGGUACCGGGAAUGCGAUUUUGACCCUGAUUUUUACGCCUAGGUUUUAUGGCUUUUAGGGUUUAGGGUGCAGGCUUUUUAGGAGUUAGGGGUCCGGGAAAAUUAUUUUUCGAGUUGACGUUUCUGGUUAAAUAGUGGGAAAUCGCUUAUACUAGGAUGCUAUUUAAGAAGAAAUUGUGAAAUAGUGGCCUCGUGGACGCGAUUUCGCUACAGUGGUCAUGUGAGAAAUAAUUUUUUUAGACGUUUUCUGAGGAAAUAGUAUAAAAUCGCUGAUACCAGGAUGCUAUAUGAGAAGAAAUUGUGAAAUCGCGCCCUCGUGGACGCGAUUUCGCUACAGUUGGUCAUGUAGGAAAUAAUUUUUUUUGACGUUUCUGAGUAAAUAGUGUCAAAUCGCGCCCUCGUGGACGCGAUUUCGCUACAGUAGCAAGUUUGGGCUGAGGUUAUAAAUUAGGCAGAGAAUUUUCUUAGAAUGCAUAACUCAGAGCAGAAACAUUUUAGGUUAGGGUUAGGGAAUUUAGAGUUUCAAAAUGAGUGAAUGUAUUAGUGCUGUUAUUUACUACGAUGGUGAGGUUUGCCACACCGAGAAUGGUGUUGUUUUUUUGUCGAAGAAUACGAUGCGACUGUCAUUUAGCCAAAACAUAGAUUUGACAGAACUCCGUAAAAGAAUUAGGCGUAAAAUCUUCGGAACCACGCCAAUGAAAGUUCAGUCAAUGACGUAUCGAUUUUGUUCUUCUGUUGAUUCGGUGACAUAUGACUCGUUCGACAUAAAAGGUGCUCGUAGCUUAGAGGCAAUGGUGCAGACUCAUCUUGCUAGCGGAGCAACUUAUAUUGAGUUAUAUGUACAAUUUACGUCACCAAAUGAUGUACUUUCGUCCGGUGUUCGAGAUGUAUACACGACCCCUGGCCGACACUCGGUUAGUGUGUUACAAAAUACGGAACAGCCCAUGUUCGGUAGCGGUGUCGAAUGCACAUCCCCCCAAGACACUCUGUCGGUGGAUGGGACAUGUACGUCGGUGGCUCGACGGUUGACGCUGGAAAUACGAGCUGGUACGUUCAUUCUCUUAUUUUAUUUUAUUUCAUAUUUUGGGAAAUUUAGAACGAUAAGCGAAAAUGAAUAUAUUCAGAUUAGCAGGGGACAUGACCCAUUUGUUUAGUGUUCUUGUUUUGCUUCUUAAGAUCCACACAAUCAAGUCUUGUGCUGGUACGUUCAUUUUCCAAAUAUUUACUUUACUUUUUGUUUCUGGGCUUAUUUCAUUUUAUGUUGUACUUUUUUCCCAGUAAUUUACUGCUUAAUAUAAAAGAAUCGAAUAUUUAGGUUAAAUUGUGGGUGGGUUUUUGCUAGUUUAUUGAAUACUCAAAUUGGAGCCAUGUAAAAUGUGGAAACUUUAGCUUGAUAGAAAAUGUGACCCCCUUUUUUUUUAAUGUAUGGAAUAAAAAUUUUUGUAUUUUGUGAAUUUUUUUUUAGUAAUUUGAAUUUGUAUGUAUGUUCAUUGGAAGUUUAGAAGCAAGGAGUUCUGAUCAUUAGGACUUUAUGUGAUUCAUUCAUUUUGAGUUAUAGUGUAGUUAGUUGUUGGAUUUAGUGUCACUGUUGGCAUCUUAUUUUAGCUGAUUUCCUUUCUAUUUGUACCGAUAAACCUCUAGAGGUUUUGAAAUUAGCAACUGAUUUUUUUUAUGUGUGAGAGUUUUUAUGGAAAUCAAUAAGCUAAUUACAUUUUGCAGGAUCAUACAGUCGGGUUAGUGGUUUUUAUGUCAUGCUGGCCUAUGGUUUUGAGAUGAACAUCAUGAAAUCUGUAUAAGAUGAGGGUAUUAAACUAUAAACAUAGCCGAGGUAGCGAUUUAUUUCGUAUCAUGCUAUUGGAAGUUUUUUUGGGGCGGCAAUGUCAACUAAAUUUAUAUUCUUUUGAUCAAGUCGAUUAUUUCCAGUUGCACAACUAGCUUGUUGGAAAUAUUUUCUUUCUUUGCUCCUGUCCUUUUCACUUUCAUAUUUUAUGGGUGGUGUGAUGAUGGGAAGAUUCAUGGGUGGCUAAAGCCAUCUUACUCACUAGAAGUGAGGCUGUUAUUUUUAGAAGUUAGAGAUGCUAUAUCAAUUGAGGAUGCCGUGAGCAAAAGCUUGCUAAUAAUAAGUGACUGUUCAUAUGCGUGGGUUCUAUCACAUGUUGAUGGAGUAUUUGGUGCUCUUUCUUCACUAAUUUCAUAUGUAUAGAUAUAAUUGUAUAACAUCUCGACGUUGAUUACUGUUACGAGGGGAAAAAAACACAGCAUGUAAUGAAACUCAAAAAGUAGGAAUCCUAGAUCCUUGUAUUCAUUCAUAGGCAUUUUACAACAUUUGAUUUAACUUGAGCAAGAUUCCGUUUUGGGCCUGGUCUUUUCCUGUUCGUUCCCUUGUUUAUAUAUGAUGAAGUUGGUUCAGCAUGCAGGAAACUCGACAGCAUGCAGGCCAUGAAGACCAAGUCGUGCAGGAGCUGCUGGAACGAGCUGAACUUUUCCUAUUUUGUUCAUCUAGUAAUCUUAAGUUAAUGUAAUGUACUUUAGUUCAUUUAGAACUAUGUUAGGUUUAUGAUUGAUGUAAUUUUGAUGACAAUUGAGCUGUUAAGUCAGCUUUGUUUAAGUGUGUAAGCUUAGUUUUUCAAGUUUCAAUGUAUUAGUGGUAGUAGGUGAUGAUUAGGUAUCAUUAUGCAGAUUUUGACAAGCAAAUUGCUUGGUUUAUGUAUUGGCAUUAUGCCAUUGUUCAACAUAUGAAUGAAAUCAACUUUGUUCAUCAAUAUUCUCUCAAAUUUCCUCAGCUUAUUUUCUUUUUUCUUCAACUCGAAAUUGUUUGUUUGCUCAGCAAGAUUCGAGGCUUGCUCGACAAGAAACUUGCUGAGUCUGUUUGAUUCUGCUGUUGCACCAACAAUUGGUAUCAGAGCUUAUUUCUUAAGGGACCUGUUAUACAAAUCCAUGGCUUCAUCAAGUUUUUCACCAGCUGCACCUCAAGUCUUCAAUGGAGAAGGCUAUCACAUAUGGGUGGUCAAAAUGAAGACCUACCUGCAGGCAUUUGAUCUGUGGGAGGUGGUCAACUCUGAUGUUGAACCAGAGCCACUUAGAGCUAAUCCAACAGUGGCUCAGAUCAGGCAGCAUGCUGAUGAAAGGACCAAGAGGCACAAUGCUAUGUCUUGCAUCCAAAACUCAGUGUCUGAUGUGAUUUUCACAAGGAUUAUGGCCUGUGAAUCACCAAAACAGGCCUGGGACAAGUUGCAGGAAGAGUUUCAAGGGACUGAGAGGACAAGGCAACAACAGUUGUUAAACUUGAGGAGAGAUUUCGAGAAUUUGAAGAUGAAGGAAGAAGAAACUGUCAAGCAAUAUUCUGACAGGAUUAUGGCUGUGGUUAACAGCAUCAGGCUCCUUGGAGAGCAGUUCAAUGAAGCUAGGAUAGUGGAGAAGGUUAUAGCAACUCUGCCUGAGAGGUAUGAGGCAAAAAUCUCAUCUCUCGAGGACUCAAGGGACCUGUCCACCAUCUCCCUGACAGAGUUGAUCAAUGCUCUAUAUGCUCAAGAGCAGAGGAGAGCAAGCAGACUGGAGGAGCACCAAGAAGGUGCCUUUCAGGCAAGAACAAAUACUUCCUACAAAGGCAAGAAGGCUUGGAGAGACAAGCCAAAGGAUGAUGCUGCAAGGAGAGAAGGUCAAACUUGCAAGCACUGCAGAAAGGCUGGUCAUUCAGAAGAAAAAUGCUGGUUUAAUCCAGAUGCUGUGUGUCAGCAUUGUAAGAAAAAGGGCCAUGUUGAGAGAGUUUGUAAGAGCAAUGCCAAAACAAGGCGCAAUCAGGCUCAACAGAUGAAAGCUGAGGCUCGAGUAGCUAAGGAGGACAGUGACCAAGAGGAGCAAGUCUUUACUGUGUCAUGCUCAGCUGCUCAGGAAAGGUCCUCAUCUGGUUGGCUCCUAGACAGUGGAUGCACCAACCACAUGACACCUGAUGCUGCAAUCUUCAAGUCUUUAGACAGAAGCUGCAGAACUAAAGUCAAGAUAGGAAAUGGUCAUUUUAUUCAAGCUGAAGGCAAGGGUGAUGUUCUGAUAUGCACUCUUACAGGUACCAAAGUGAUUUCAAAUGUGCUGUUGGUGCCUGAAAUUGACAGAAACCUGCUCAGCAUAGCUCAGUUGCUGGAAAAAGGUUACUUAGUUGUGUUUAAAGACCACCAAUGCCAAAUCAGUGAUCCAAGUGGAUCCAAACUGAUGGCAGUCCCUAUGGCUGAUAAGAGCUUUGUGGUUGACUGGACAAAAAAGUCAGACAUUGCCUACACAGCCACUUCAGAUGAAUCCAAGCUGUGGCAUCAAAGACUGGGACAUGCCAACUUCAGAUCGAUGGCCCGAAUGAUCAGAGAAGACCUGGCUGAAAACUUCAUCAACUCAGUAGACCAUGAUGAUGUAUGUGAAGUAUGUCAGCUAGGAAAGCAGGCCAGACUCCCAUUUCCCUCGAAUCAAGCCUAGAGAGCCUCUGAAAAACUCCAACUGGUGCAUACUGAUGUGUGUGGACCUAUGAAGACUGAGUCAUUAAGUGGAAACAGGUAUUUCAUACUGUUCAUUGAUGAUUUCUCGAGAUAUUGCUGGAUUUACUUCUUAAAACAGAAAUCAGAGGUGGCCACUGUGUUUUGGAAGUUCAAAACUGCUGCUGAGACUGAAACAGGCUGCAAGGUGAAGACCAUAAGGUCUGAUAAUGGGACUGAGUACACCUCAGCUCAGUUCCAAGCCUUCUGUGAUAAGGCAGGCAUCAAACAUCAACUUGCCAACACAUAUACACCUCAGCAGAAUGGGGUAAGUGAAAGGAAGAAUAGGAGUUUGAUGGAUAUGGCCAGGUGCUUGAUGAUUCAGAAGAAUCUGCCUAAAGCACUAUGGGCAGAAGCAGUUAACACUGCAACAUACAUUCAAAAUAGACUUCCAACCAGGGCUUUGGAUCAAAAGACCCCAUUCGAGGCCUGGUUUAGCUUCAAGCCAUCACUGGCUCAUCUGAAGGUCUUUGGAUGCAUCUGUUAUGCACAUGUACCUGCUGUUAAAAGGGACAAAUUGUCUGAAAGGGCUCGACCUGGUGUUUUGGUGGGCUAUAGCACUGUUAAGAAGGGCUAUAGGAUUUUAGAUCCUUCAACAAACAAAGUGUCAGUAAGCAGGGAUGUGGUAUUUGAUGAGAGGUCAUGUUGGAACUAGGAAAGACAUGAACCUGAAGAAGUUUUUGAAGAACUUGCAGCAGACCAAGCUGAGCCAGACCAAGAUGUCCCUGAAAUGGAUAUUGAUGAUGAACCAGUCAGAGGAACAAGGCCAUUGGCUGAAAUUUAUGAAAGGGCUCAUGUAGCCAUAGUUGAACCAAGCAACUUUGAAGAGGCUGAGGCUCAGCAAGGGUGGAAGCAGGCAAUGGCUGAGGAGAUCAGCAUGAUUGAGAAGAACCACACCUGGAAAUUGGUUGAAAGGCCAGUCAAAAGGAAAGUGAUUGGGGUGAAAUGGGUGUACAAAGCCAAGCAGAAUGCUGAUGGUACCUUGAACAAGCUGAAAGCAAGGCUAGUUGUCAAGGGGUUCAGUCAGAGGUAUGGCUUGGACUACCUGGAGACCUUUGCACCAGUGGCCAGGCUCGACACCAUCAGACUGCUGAUUGCCUUAGCAGCACAGCUUGAAUGGAAGAUCCAUCAACUUGAUGUGAAAUCAGCUUUUCUGAAUGGUUUCUUAGAUGAAGACAUCUAUGUUGAACAACCACAAAGGUUUGAAAUAGCUGGCAGAGAGCAUAUGGUCUACAAACUGAAAAAGGCCCUAUAUGGAUUAAAGCAGGCUCCAAGGGCCUGGUAUAGCAGAAUUGAUGGCUACUUGACUGAUCUAGGAUUCGAUCGAAGCAAGAGUGAGCCAACACUGUAUGUCAAGAAACAAGGGACACAAAUACAACUCAUUGUGUCCCUGUAUGUUGAUGAUCUUCUGGUGACAGGAGGAGAUCGAGUAGUGCUGGCUGAUUUUAAGACCAAGAUGCAGGAAGUGUUUGAAAUGUCUGAUCUUGGGGAGAUGUCAUACUUUCUUGGAAUGGAGGUGUCUCAAGUAUAGAAUGAGAUAUUUCUAAGCCAGAGAAGCUUUGCCACAAAGAUUCUGACCAAGUUCUCCAUGCAAAACAGCAAGGCAACUAAAACACCUAUUGCUGUUGGAGAAAAACUAUCGAGCCAAGGUGAUUUUAAGAAAGUUUGUGAAACAACCUACAGGAGUCUAGUUGGUUGCUUGCUAUACUUGACUGCCACUAGACCAGACAUUAUGUAUGCUGUAGGAUUGCUCUCAAGGUUCUUGCAUUGCUGCAAUGAGAAGCAUUUCCAAGCUGCAAAGAGAGUGCUGAGAUAUGUCAAAGGCACUUUAAACUAUGGUUUGAAGUACAGUAAAGAAGGAAAUCUGAAGCUGAUUGGCUACACUGAUAGUGACUGGGCUGGCUCGAUAGAUGACAUGAAAAGCACCUCAGGGUAUGCUUUUAACCUUGGUUCAGCCAUGUUUUGUUGGAGCUCAAAGAAGCAAAGUCUAGUAGCUCAAUCUACUGCUGAAGCAGAGUAUGUGGCAACAGCAAGUGCUAUCAACCAAGCCAUAUGGCUAAGAAAAAUAUUGGCUGACUUGAAUGUGCAUCAAGAGCAAGCUACUGAGAUCUUCUGUGACAACCAAUCUGCAGUAGCAAUUGCUAAAAAUCCAGUGUUCCAUGGAAGAACAAAACAUUUCAGCAUAAAGUUGCAUGUUGUUCGAGAAAUGGAGCAAGCUCAGGAAGUAAAGCUGGUCCACUGUAAUUCAGAAGAUCAACUUGCUGACAUUUUAACCAAAGCUCUUAGUGUCACAAGGUUUGAAUAUCUAAGAAAGAAGCUAGGUGUUUGCUCCAUGCAAACCAAGGAGGAGUGAUGAAGUUGGUUCAGCAUGCAGCAAACUCGACAGCAUGCAGGCCAUGAAGACCAAGUCGUGCAGGAGCUGCUGGAACGAGCUGAACUUUUCCUAUUUUGUUCAUCUAGUAAUCUUAAGUUAAUGUAAUGUACUUUAGUUCAUUUAGAACUAUGUUAGGUUUAUGAUUGAUGUAAUUUUGAUGACAAUUGAGCUGUUAAGUCAGCUUUGUUUAAGUGUGUAAGCUUAGUUUUUCAAGUUUCAAUGUAUUAGUGGUAGUAGGUGAUGAUUAGGUAUCAUUAUGCAGAUUUUGACAAGCAAAUUGCUUGGUUUAUGUAUUGGCAUUAUGCCAUUGUUCAACAUAUGAAUGAAAUCAACUUUGUUCAUCAAUAUUCUCUCAAAUUUCCUCAGCUUAUUUUCUUUUUUCUUCAACUCGAAAUUGUUUGUUUGCUCAGCAAGAUUCGAGGCUUGCUCGACAAGAAACUUGCUGAGUCUGUUUGAUUCUGCUGUUGCACCAACAAUAUACCUCCACUGUGCCAUUGUGUAUUUGUGUUCGAUUUUCAGUUCUGUCUCACAAUCCCUGUCAUGUCUUAUGAGUGAUUUUCUGGCUCUAAAUAUCUAUGAUAUAUUUGUGCAGGCAUUUCACUGAAGACUCAGGAACUCUAUGCUAUUGUCUUUGCUACUCGUUACUUGGACAUAUUCACUAAUCAUAUCUCGCCUUAUAACACAAUCAUGAAGCUAAUAUUCCUGGGCAGCUCUUUCUCAAUUGUAUGGUACAUGCGGUAUCACAAAAUAGUUCGUAGAUCUUAUGAUAAGGACCAGGAUACAUUUCGACAUUACAUCCUUAUACUCCCUUGCCUGAUUCUUGCCCUUCUUAUAAACGAGAAGUUCACCUUCAAAGAGGUAUCGACAUCCUUUUGUUUGUUGGAAUAUGAUAACAGUAUGUUCAUAUUAAUUACUGGUUAACUUAGAAGCUCCCUAAACUGUUUAUCUGUUUUAUAUUAAUUAUUCAUUAUUAUCCUUCUGGUUAUAUUUUUAUAUAUUGAUUAUUGUCUUAAAAAAAAUUGUUGAGCAGGUCAUGUGGACAUUUUCCUUGUAUUUGGAAGCUGUUGCGAUACUUCCUCAGCUUGUAUUGUUGCAAAGGACUAGAAAUAUUGACAACUUGACUGGACAAUAUGUGUUUCUCCUUGGGUAACCACUGUAUUCUUUAAAAAUCCUAAUCAGUUGCAAGUUUUCUAUUUUAUUACCUUGCAAUUUGCAUGAAGGACCCUUAUUUCCUGGCUCAGUUCCCUAAAAUGUUGCCUCCUUCCUGAGGAAACAAAAGAGAGAAAGUCUCUAAAUAGAGUUGCCAUCAUAUUGCCGCUUGGUUGCCACUGAUUUCUUUUUGAUGAAAAGUUGAUAUGAUUAUAUGUUGGACCAAAGUUAUCUAUUUUCAGAUGUGAUUAACUGCAGUUGAAUUUUGCGAGUAUGACUGUUCUUGUGUAACUUUUGUUAUGUGCUUUCAUGUCGUUUUUAGUCUUUUACACUGUGUUCUGUCUAUCUUUGUUUGCUAUUAUCCUAAGUUAGGAGACAAGGUGCCAUUAGGAGCAAUGUGACGUCAAAAUUCAUUUCCCUUUAGCCUUCAGUUCUACCUUUUCUUCCCUUUCUUUAUGUAGUUUUUGGGAGUUGGGGAUCACAGCGAUGAUAGUCGGUACAUGUGACUUGAAAGAUGCCUAAAAACUUCAAGAGCAUAGUGUUGUAUAAAUCUUUUGGAGAAAUUUUUUUGGUACAUUGAUGCCAACUUACAAUAACCCUUGCCACUACAACCGUGGCUUUGUUGGCUUAUGUAUGCACUCUCUUUGUCUUUAUAGGUCACCAAAUUCCUAAUGUCUAAUUCUUGGUUAUGGACUAAUAUAGUUGCUUGUUAUUGCAGUGCAUACAGAGCAUUGUACAUAGUGAACUGGAUUUAUCGGUACUUUACUGAAGACCACUUUGUCCACUGGAUAAGUAUGUACUCUUCUCUGUCUCCCUUCAUCUUUUACUCCAAGUCGGUAGCCAUGGGUGUAUGACGAGUGUGUCAAUAUAUCUACCCCAACACAUUUGUGAUAUACUAUGCUAUAUGUGUUAUUUCUAACACCUUGUUUACAUGAUUGCUGCCUUUCAGCUUGGAUUUGCGGUCUUGUCCAGACAUUGCUUUAUGCUGAUUUCUUCUACUAUUACUUCCAGAGGUAACCCCCUUUCUGACACUCUGGAAAGCACUUCAUACCUAUGUGAAUGAUUGCAACUUAUUUGAUUAUUAUGCCUGCAGCUUGAAGAACAACAUGAAGCUCCAAUUACCAGCUUGAGAUUUUAAUGGUGCAAGUUUUGUAGUAGCAUACAUAAACUUACAUCAUAUGGGUUCAAAUUUAUGAGUAUUUCAAUUAAUUUUAAUUUCACUAUGUUAUAUUGUAAUAUCAUGUAAAAAGUAUCAUAAAAGCAGGCAUAAGUUUUCCACCAAUUAGAACAUUUUGAAAAUUGAUGUCAAGCCCGAAAUGACCGUCACAAGUAAGCAUAUUAAACGUGUGAAGAGAAGACCUUAUUUUUCCACAUAACUAAAACUUUUUACACCAUAGGAACUUUCAUCGUCAUCAAGUUGGACAUGGAUGGAGCUCACGUAAAAAUAAUUUUUCAUAUAAAAACUAAAAACUAGAAAUUGACUUGUAAUAAUUCUCAAGGUUAAGGUUGACGUGGUCAAUAGUAAUGAACUUAUGUUUAAGGUUUGGGUUAUUUUUCUCAAUUAUAGAUUAGUAUUUUGUUCAUUGUAAACUUUGCUAACAAAAUUUAAUAUAUGACACAUAUCUGAUUUAAUUUAUUUUUAUUUUAUAAAACUUUCAUUAUUUGUUUUACUCAUUAAUGAAAUUUGGUGUGAAUACAUUAAAUAUUACCUUUUAUAUAUUUCACUCCCUCUUACUAUAUCUCAAUGGAGAAAUUGAAGGUCAUUCAAGGAAAUGGUAAUGUCCAUUUUCCACAAAACUAAAAUUUUCCACACGACAGAAACUUUCUUGGUCAAACAAGUUGGAUUUGGCUUCACCAAUAACUUAAUAAUCUGUACUAAAAUUUUCCACGCAAUAGAAUACGAACUCGUUCUCGUAAAUAUUUUAAAAAAUAAAAAAUUUAAUAUUAUGAGUUAACGAAUUAUCAAUUUAAUUAAAAAAAGUUGAAAGAUACAUUUUUUAAAAUUUUAUGAAAUUAUAUAUUAAUAUAAUUAUAAAAUUAUAGUUUUAACUUUAUAAAAUUUAUUAUUUAUCUUUGAUCUUGAAGAGAGACAAAGUAAAAUACCUAUUCUUGGAGCCAUAACGACAACUAGGAUUAUGAUUGCACAUUUUCUAAGUCUUCAUUUUUGUUAAUUAGGAAAGCUGAUGGGCAUCUCCACUAAGUUUCCACCCACAAGAAUAUACGUAUUAAUUUGUUUUUCUCAAUUUCCAUGAGGGGGGAUAUAAGCUUAAAGUUGACGUAGAAGUCAAUACUCAACAUUUGAAAGUUAAUGCAGUGAACUAUGUGCUUGUUGAUAUAUGAAAUGAUAUUUUCUUAACAAUUUCCUCCAACUAGUUCGUAGAUGGUGCUAUAUUACAUCACAAUGGGUAACCAAAUGUAUAUAAUUGAGAUUUUUAAGCAAAUAUUAUAUUUUAUCUUUAUCCAUGAAUAGUCUAAUAAUAAGGAUUAAUAUUUGGUACAUUGUCAGUGGAGUUUUUAAAUUCCAUAAGUAGGGUUAGAGGAUUGACACAUGCCAAUUUUUUAAUGUUGCUUGUGGGAUGCACUUGAAUUGUGGUUCAUAGAAGGAAAUUAUUAUAUAAAGGUUUAAUUCUACCAUAGUUCUUGUACUUUACUGAAGUUGUAGAUUUAAUUCCCAGACUUUAAUUUGAUAUUUUAGAUAUUUGUUAAAUUCAUAAAGUCCUACUAUUUCCAAAUUUGGUGUGGCAAACAUAUUAUCAUAGGUGUAAUAUCACUAAAAUUCAAAAGAAUGAGAAAUUUGUACAUAUUAUCAGAUGUCAAUAUCAAGUUGAGCAUUUCAAAAUCUAAAGUAAUAGUUCAAGUAUUUAUUUUUCCAUAAAACCAAAAUUUUCUACAUGAUGGCUUUUUUUUUGGCUAUUAGUUAAGAGGAAUUUUUUUAAUAACCCAAUUUAAUUAACUAAUUUAAAAAAUGGUUCAAGUAAAACUCAAGUCAUAUUAAAAAUAAUUAUUUAUAAAUUUUAUGUUUCAAAAACUAAUGAAUGUUCAAAGAAUAGUGAAUUAUUAAAGAGAAGUUAUAUGAUAAUGGAUUGUUUUAAAGUAGUGGUCUAGUAGAAAUAAAUAGUUUUUUAUAAAAAAAUAUUAUAUAAAUAAUUAAAUUUUAUAGUUACUCCUAUUUUUUUUAAAAAUAGUGAAUGUAAUAUUUUUUAAAAUGUUAAAUUAACUCAUGAUAUUAAUUAAAUCAAGAAAUUUUAUAAUAAUAGAGAUGAAAAAAACUAAAUUUUCAAAAUCAAAACCUAAAACGUGCAAGAAUAAAAGCAAUCUGAAGACUUAAAAUUUCCAUUAAUAAAACCAAAAUCAAAGAAGUAAAAUUUCCAUGAAUAAAACCAAAAAUGAAGACCUAAAUUUUCCAUUAAUAAAGCCAAAUCAAGACUAAGUUUGUAUAAGUGUAAGAAGGGUAUAAAGGAAACUCACAAGAAAGCCACAUGAAGAAUUUUAUAACUCCAACUACACGAUUUUAUGUCCACCUCUCACUUUUCAUAUUUUUUUUUGGCCAUUCAUUUUUCAAGAUUAACAUUAGCAUUCUUGUGGUCCGUUCAUCCUUUCCUAACCAAUUUCCACCAAGAGUUUUUGCAAUAAGGAAUUUACCUAAAUAAGAAACCUAGAUUGAUCCAAUUUUUGAGGAAUUAAUUAAUUAUAUAUUAUUUUUAUAUUAUAAUGAAUUAGUGGGAUGCAGUAUGUUCUGCUUGUAUAUAAAUAAGAAGCUUAGGCUUCUUUAGAUUAUAUACAUAUAGAAGUUAACAAAAAGUAACAUAUAGCUGAGAGAGAAGUGAAAAUAGAGAGAUGAUGAUGAUGGAGUGGAAAUGGUUAAGGUUUAUUAGGAUGGCAGUAAUGUUGUUGGUGUUAGAAGGAUGCAGAUGGUGUACUACUGAUGCUUGUUUGGAGCAUGAGAGAAUCGCUCUCUUGCAUCUCAAGCCUUUCUUCAAUUAUCAAAAUCAAUUGCAAAGUUGGGUUGAGGUGAAGGGUUCAGAUUGUUGUAAAUGGGAAAGAGUUGAGUGUAACACCACCACUAGGAGACUCAUACAACUCUCCCUUAAUUCUACAAGAUGGUUUGACAGUAUGGGAUACAAAACGGAUAAUAGGAAUCUCAAUGCCUGGUAUCUCAAUACCUCUAUGUUUCUUCCCUUUGAGGAAUUGAAGAGUCUUUAUUUGCGGGGGAAUGCCAUAAGUGGUAACCUUGAAAAUGAAGGUCGUGCCUCUAGUUUUUCCUUAAUUACAUCUUUUAUUAUCCCACUACUCUUACCAUCGUUAUUUUGCAAUUACUUAUAUUUUAUUUUAUUUUAUGGAAGAAAAGUCACUAACUUGUAUAUAUUUAAAAGAAUAUUUCUAUAGGCUUUGGAAAACUAUCAUCCACAUUGAGUAAUUUGGAGAUCCUUGACUUAAGUGAAAACUACUUGAAUGACAGCAUUUUGUUAUCUUUGAGUGAGCUUUCAUCUCUCUGGUAUUUAGAUCUAUCAGGCAACAAAUUUGAAGGAUCAAGCCAUCUAAGAGGUAAAUUAAGUUUGGUCUGGUAUUAGUUUUUAUUUGUAAAGUGGAGUUUGAGGAUGGUCUUCUAGUAAUUCCACUUUUGCUUUAGUAAAAUUUUCAUACAGCUAAGAAAGAAAAAACAAUUAACAAGUAAUUUUUAACUUUAAAAAUCAAUGUAUGUUCAUAUUCAAGGUAGACUGGUUUUAUAUGUUUCUUUUUUACUUUAAAACCAUUUUUUUUGUUUAAGGGACAGUUAAUGUUGCAAUAUGUCUUUGCUUUUAUCAUAUCAUGAAUAUAUAUAAUUGAUCAAUAUUUGGGAUUGAAUUUCAGGAUUGAAUAAUUUGACAAACUUGAAGUACUUGGAUUUAAGUUCGAACAGAAUUGAAAGCAUCUCAAACAAAGGUAUAAGUACAGUAUUUAUAUGUCAAUUCAUAUUAAAGGUAGACUGGUUUUAUAUGUUUCUUUUUUACUUUAAAACCAAUUUUUGUUUAAGGGACAGUUAAUGUUGCAAUAUGUCUUUGCUUUUAUCAUAUCAUGAAUAUAUAUAUAUAUAUAACUGAUCAAUAUUUGGGAUUGAAUUUCACGAUUGAAUAAUUUGUCAAACUUGAAAUACUUGGAUUUAAGUCGCAACAACGUUGAAAGCAUCUCAAACCAAGGUAUAAGUAUUUGUGCGUAGUAACUUUCUUGACUGACUAUUAUUCCAAAAGGCAAUGACAGACUUCAAAUGUAUUUUCUUUAGUGAAUUUUUAUUGCAAAAAUGGAGUAUUAUUAUUUAUUUAAGUUUUGUAGUAACUAAUUAUAUAAUAUAUAAAUGAGGUUUUCAAUGGCUCAUUAAAUUGGAAAUUAUUGAUAUAAGUUGGAAUUAUUUGAAGAAUAGCAUUCUUUAAAAUAAAUUCAUGUUGAAGGAAAAGUUGUUGCAAUAUGUUAUAUCAUGAAUAUAUAUAAGUAAUCAAUAUUUGGGAUUGAAUUUCAAAAUUGAGUAAUUUAAGUAGGAAGGUAUCUCAAACAAAGUAUUUAUAUAUUGAAUCAAUUCAUGGGAAAGCUUGUAAAUUGGCUCUUCCUUCUCAAACAAACAUUUUUCCUAACUAUUUAUAUAUUGAAUGAUGUUAACUAUACUAAUUACUUUCUUCCAAUGAUAGAUGGAACACAAUUGAGGCUAACAAAUUUAGAGGAACUUGAUUUGAGUGGUAAUCUCUUUCGGAACAACACAAUUUCCUUUCCUCAAGGGCUUUCAAGCCUAAAGUCUUUGACUUUGUUCAACAACCGUUUGCAAGGCUCAUUAGAUACUAAAGGUACUAAAGCUAUAACUUUGUUUUUCUUGAUAAUUCUUUCUAGAGCCUUUUAAAAUUAAUUGUUUCAAAUUUGAACAUUCACAUUUCACGUUUGAGGAUUUUUAUCUUCAAUUCAAGUUUUAGAUUUACUUUUUUUUUUCAUUUUUAUUUCAUUAAAAUAUUAAGUAGAAAUUAAAAUUAUUAACAUAAUGAUUUUUUGAAUUGGACGUGGAUAUGUAUAGGAUUGAGCAAUUUAACAAAUUUGAAGAAACUCGAUUUAAGAUGGAAUCAAAUUGAAAGCUUUCAAUCCUUUAAAGGUAUGCAUUUAUAUUUAACCAAUUACCUAAAUUCUUACAUAUAAUUAAAUUUUAUGCCAAUUCAUUUCAGUGAUGAAAUUAUAUAAAUCUUUUGUAGAUGGUGGUAGAAAAUUGGAGUUGACCCACUUGGAAGAGCUUAAUUUAGAUGGAAAUCACUUCAAUACUAGUGUAUUUGCAUCCCUUAACAAGCUUUCAAAUUUGAAAUCUUUGAGCAUAAGUGGGAACCAAUUGAAAGGAUCAAUAGAUAUGAAAGGUAAAUAUAUUAGUCUUUUUAACAAGAAUAUAAUAAUGUUUGAAGAGAAUAUAAUGAAGUUGAUUUGUUGUUUUUGUUUUCCUAGAUUUGGAAGCAUUUAUCAACUUAAGGGAACUAGAUAUGAGCGGCAAUGAAUUGAAAGAUUUGGUGAUCCACCAAGGUAUCAUUUAAUUAAACUUCCUUUUUUUUUUAAAUUUAGAAAUUUAGUUUUGAUGUCAAAUAUUAUAAUAACGGUUAUUGUCAUAAAUAUUAAUAAAGUAAUAUCAUAUCAUACUUGAAAGUAAAAUAUGGGUUUGGUGAAACAUUUUCUAAAUCAUCCAUUAUAAUGUGUUUGGACUUUGGUUUGAAACUAAAAUUCUUUAAAAUUUUCAUCAUUUUAAAAUAUUAAUGUUUAUAAUUAUUUUGUUUGUAUAAAUAUAUUUUUUAAAAUAAUUUAUUGAAUUUUUAUGAGAUAAAAAAUAAUUAUAACAAUAAAAAAUGAUAUUAUAAAUAAAUAAAAACAUAUAUUUAUGAGAAAAUAUGUAAUAUAACUAUAUUUUAAUUUCAUAUAUUUUUAAUAGUAUAAAACAUAAAAAUACAUAUUAGCGUUAAAUAAAUGGCAUUUUUUGGCAAAAAUAAAUAAAUGUCAAUUUUGAAUAAUUUAAAAAAAAUCUUUAAUUUUGUGAAAUUUAAGCAUACAUCGAGAGGUGCUUAAACUUCCAUUGCAAUCUUUUUAUAAAUUUCAAAGUGCAUAUGUUUUUAACUUUUUGGUUUAAAAAAAUAUGAUAGGUCUACGUACUCUUUACUAAUUUGUAAUUUAAUUCUUAUACUUUUAUUUUCAAGAAUUUAAUCCCUGUUUUUUUAUAAAAAAAAUCAAAAUCCUAGUUCAAUUGUUAAAAUUGUUAAAAUUUUAAAAUAGUUUGUUGGUGUGACAUUUUGAAAUAAAAAAAAAAACUUAGUAGUAAUGUAACUAAAAAAAUGACGUAAUGAACAUGGAUUUAAUAAAAUAAUUUUAACAAUAUUAAUAAAAUAAUUUUGAAUUUUGAAUUUUAACUUAACUCUAUUUUUGGGCCAAGAUUUAAUGCUUUAAAAUUUUCAUUUAAUCCGCUGAGUUUACUUAUAAUUCUUUUGAGUUUUAUUUAUUGGUGAGUAAAAUACCUAUUUGAUUUUUUUAUAUACUAUUGGCAUCUUUAAAGGUAAUAUAAUAAUUUUAGUGUAGACGUGUUUUAUUUUAUAAAUAUUAUUUAUAGUGUAGACAUGUGAAUUUUGAAUAAUUUAAAAAUAUCUUCAAUUUUAUGAAAUUUAAACAUACAUUUAGUGUAGACAUGUUUUAUUUUAUAAAUAUUAUUUAUAGUGUUGUUGAUUGGAGUUUGAAAAUUAUACAACUUAGCUAUAUCAGUUAAUUACUUAUAUUAAAAAAUAAUAUAAGAAAAUACUAAAAAGAAAAAAAAUAGUAUAAUUAAUAAAAUGGAUGAAGAGUUAUAUUAAAGUUUCAACAUCUUCUCUCUAUCAAAAUUUAUCUCAGAUAAAUCAUGAAUAAUCUAACUCAUAAAAAAUAUAUAUAUAUUUAUAUACUUCAUUUCAUUCACAGAAAAUAAAGCAUUCUACUUAGUAGAGGCUUUCUAUAAUACCGUUAUCUAAUACCUCUUGACAUUGCUUAGAUUCAAAUGUGUCGAGCAGUUUGGAGGAAAUAUAUCUUGACUAUUCUACUCUCAACACCAACAUUUUGCAAAGCAUUGGAGUAUUCGCUUCUCUUAAAACAUUGUCUUUAUAUCAUUGUGGACUUAUUGGUCCCUUACCUAAUCAAGGUAAAUAAUUUUAUGGCUCAAUUUGAUUUCUUUAUGAACUUUCUGUAAUAUAUUAUCUCCUAUUCUGUUUUAUAAAGCAAAAUUUAAUUGAAACUUCUUCCAUGAAUUUAUUUAUAAAAUUUUCAGGAUGGUGUGAUCUAAGGAACCUUGAAGUGUUGGAUGUGAGUGGGAAUGCACUUGAGGGGAUGCUUCCUCAUUGUUUUAGUAACUUGACAUCUCUUCGUGAGUUAUAUAUUUCAAGAAACCAUUUUCAAAUUCCGCUGUCAUUUGCACCAUUUGCAAACCUUUCAAACCUCAAAUCCCUUUGGAUUAAUGAAAACAAGAUGGUAAUGGAACCUUCCUUUUAUACCUCAAUCCCAAAGUUCCAAUUGGAAGUCAUCAGUUUGCUAAAGUGCAUAACAUCUCAACAACUCAGUCGUAAAGUUCCUACCUUCCUUUACUACCAAUAUGACUUGAGAUAUGUGGAUCUUUCGCAUAACAAUUUCAGCGGAACAGUCCCAACUUGGUUGUUAGAAAACAACACAAAAUUAAAAGUUCUUAUCUUGAAGGGUAAUUCUUUUACUGGUCCUCUCUCACUUUCGUCGGCUCUUAUUUCUAAUGUAUCUUCAAUUGACUUAUCUGAAAACAAAUUACAAGGUCAAAUUCCGAUUGGUAUAUGUUCAACUUUUCCACAUUUGAGUCAAUUAUUCUUAUCCAAGAAUGCUUUUGAAGGUAAUAUCCCACUUUGUUUAAGUGGCAUGAAGGACUUAUCAACUUUAGAUCUAUCAAACAAUCUAUUGUAUGGAAAAGUUCCAGAAGAGUUGAUCGCGAAAGGCUCACUGACCAUUUUGAGACUAUCAACUAACAACCUCAGUGGAAAUGUAGUUCCUGUGAUUCUCAGCGCAAAUGGGCUGGAGAAUUUAUAUUUGGAUGGAAAUAAUUUUUCAGGAGAGAUGACAAAUGUUGAUGUGUCUACUUUUGAGUUUCCAAAUUCACUACGGGAAAUUGAUCUCAGUAACAACAAGUUGCAUGGAAAGCUCCCAAGAUGGAUAGGGAAUGCAUCGUUUUUGGGGAGAUUAGCUAUGUCCAACAAUAGUUUUGAGGGUUCUAUUCCAAUGGAAUUUUGCAAGUUGAAUAGCUUGGAAUUUUUGGAUCUUUCUCAAAAUAAUUUAUCUGGCUCUAUACCGUCAUGUUUUAAUCCACCAUACAUAGAGUAUGUCCACCUCCACGGGAAUAGACUGAGAGGCCCACUAUCACUUGCUUUUUAUAAUAGCUCUUCAAUAGUGACUUUAGAUCUUAGAGGAAACAAUUUGACAGGUAGUAUUCCAAAAUGGAUUUACACGCUUUCUUCUUUGAGUGUUCUUCUCUUGAAAGAUAAUCAUUUUCAUGGUAAAGUUCCUAUUGAGUUAUGCAAGUUGCAUUCUUUAAGCAUCAUAGAUCUUUCUCAAAAUAUGUUUUCUGGUCCUAUACCUUCUUGUUUGGGAAAUUUAUCUCUUCCAAUGCAAACGAACAAGACUCUAGAAAUUGAGUUCUAUGGGCCAUCUAUAGAAGAGGAUGAAACAACACGCAGUAUGAUACUAAAUUUGGGAAUGGAUUCUUACUAUCCUGGUAGCUACUUAGAAGAAGUAAUAGAGUUCACAACAAAGAGUGGGUUCUAUUCAUACAAGGGCGACAUCCUUUCAUAUAUGACUGGGAUUGAUUUAUCUUGCAACAACUUAACUGGUCAUAUCCCACCAGAAUUAGGGAACUUGAGUGAAAUCCAUUCUUUAAACCUUUCACACAAUAAGUUGACCGGAGUUAUACCCUCGUCACUCUCGAAACUACAUCAAAUUGAGAGUUUGGACCUUUCUUACAACAACUUAAGUGGUGAAAUCCCCAAUCAAUUGGUAGAGUUAAACUCUUUGGAGGUUUUCAGCGUGGCAUUUAACAACUUGUCAGGUAGUAUUCCCGAACCAAAAGCUCAAUUUGGGACCUUUAUUGAAAAUAGUUAUCAGGGAAAUCCGUUUCUUUGUGGAGUUAUAUUGCAUAAAAGUUGUUCCAAAACCGAUUCACCAUCAACGAUAUCAACUGUAUCAGAAGAUAAAGGAGAAGAUGGUUUGAUAGAUACUUAUGAUUUUUGUGUGAGCUUUUUGGUUUCUUAUGUAGUUGUGUUGUUGACAAUUUUUGUUGUCCUCUACAUAAAUCCACACUGGCGAAGAACUUGGUUUUCUCUUGUUGGGAAAUGCAUUACCACCUGUCGCUACUCAAAUGUGGGCAAUUUUCUUACUUAUCACAUUUUCAAGCAAUGUGUUUAGCUACUCAAAUUGUGAUUUGAUUUCCACACCUAAAUGUUUAAUUAUGCUAAGUUGAGCGAUAAUGAAUAUUUUGUUGAUUUUUGCAUUUUGAAUAAAGGCUCUUUUAUCUUAUGGUUUUAUCAUUUCCAACCAUCUAUUUCUUUUUUCUUCUACGAAAUUUAUUAUGUAUAUGCAAUAUCUCUUUGAAUUAAAUUAAAUUGACUGCCAAGAGUUCACUAAUGCAUACCGAAAAGGAAAUCUAAUGUAAAAUUAAACCAAACAUACUAAAAAAUUGAAUCUAAAAUUGGAAUAUUUUAAAACCUCACAAACAAUGCAAGUCUUUGUUCCUCUUUUCCUCUCAAGUCAUUUUGUAUCAUGUGAUAUUUUACAUAAUUAUUCGUAUCAUCGAAUUUUUAAAAAAUUUAAUAUAUUGAUAUCAUGUUCAUAUUAUGCUUUAAUUCACAAUGUAUUUUGUAUAAUGUGUUAUAACAAUUCAAUUAAAAAACAAGCAAUUAUCUUAUUUUUGCGUACCAUAUUAUACAUUGACAUGUUAAUAAUUCGUUGUACAUAAAUUUUGACAUGUUCGUAUAUUUGAGUCAUUAUAAUUUUAUUAUUUGUAAUAUGACAUGUUUUAAUUACCCUUAAUAUUGCGUCAUGAUAAUUAUAAAUCGAUUGGCAGUCUACCAAAUAAUUUUUCUAAUAAAAAAUAGUAUUUUAUUCUAUUUACCAAAUCUUUAUCAACUUUAUAUUCUCACCAACAAAACAUACAUUCAAAGUUCAAAUAAGUUCCGCACCCAUUUUUUUACUGCAAUACUCAAGAAUAUGCUCAUCAUCAGAAAUCUGAAAUAUUCCACUUUAAUUAACAUUAAUUAUGAUUCUGUAAACAACAAAAAAGUGUGAUCCUUUGAAAUGGGAUUGGCAAAAAAUCCGCACGUGUCGUGUGUGAAGAAGGUGAGGUUGUCUAUUCAUACUCUAAUAAGUAGCUAAUUAUAGUUGAUCCUACAAAAUCAAAAUUAAUUCAGGUAUCUAUAUAUUCUGAAGACUGGACAGACCUUAGAAGCUUCUUCAAAUUUGCAAGAACAUGUCGUGGUCCUAAACACUUUACAGCGAUGAAAUUCAAAAGUUGCUCUAUAUCCUGCAAUCACAGUAAAGAUUAUGCAAUCGUUUCAGAACGAAUAACAAGAAGCAAAAGGCGAUCAAAAUACCGUGAUCUCGAUAAUGUUCUUUGCCGAAAAGGAACAUUAACUUAACCUUAAAACAGCAGUGAAGGCUCACCAGAUUUGCUUAGCAACCUUACAUACACAUGUAAAAAAAGCUUUGCUUUUGGAUGUAAGGUGUGACUAUCAUCACAGUCUUUCCUAAUUAGCUGAUUGUAAUACCCAAUUUGCCCAGCCCACAAUAAAAAACCAAAUAAAUAAAAAUUAAUUAAAACUCAAAUAGUUCACAGCCCAAUAACAACAAAAACCAAACCCAUUUACAGUGACCCGGUACAAACCCAAAGUCAGAUACAUCUAGUCCAACUACACCCAGCCCAAAUACCAAGCCCAAUACAACUAUCAACCCAACCCUAGCCCAAAAAAAAAUCAGAAAACCCUAGCUGCAACAGCCCUCCUUCCAGCGCCGCAGCCACCAGGGCCUUCCCCGAGUGUGCUGUGCCACGUCCACCACCUCCUUACGCCAGCUAGCCUCCUUACCUGCAAAGAAGACGAAAACAACGCAGCAGAGAGAAUUUUUUGUAUUUUCUUUCAUUUUAUUUCGAAUAUUCGGCUAUAAAGAGGGAGAAGGCCAUUGUAAUCCUUUUUUACGCAUAUUGAAUACAAACAAAAAAUCAAAACAGAAAGUUUUUUCGAAAGGUGAUUUUCUUCGUUUUUUUUUCUCUUUUAUUUCUUUGAUUCUUUGUUUUCUUCUUUGGCACCAAACGAAAAUAAAAAGAGGGAGAGAAGAAGCGUCUUACCAGAGCAGACGCCAUUGGAACCUGGUUUGCUCCGUCUGAAUCGGAGUCAGAUUGGGUUCGUGACUGGAGACCGGUGGGGAGAAAGGCUAGGCUCUUGAUCUGUUUUAGGAUGGCAAUACAACUUAUUAGGGUUUUAUUUUUUUAAAUGGCUUCAAAACGUCUCCGUGUUGGUUGACCCGAUGAUCCGACUUGACCCGGGGAGGAUCCGCGUGUUUUGUUUCAAUGGCUUAUUUUAGUGUUUGAUGCUUCUUUUUUUGAUUUACUUCAUUUUAAUCCUUCUUUGUCUUUUUUAAUUUUGCCACAUAAUUCGUUCUUUAUUUCAAUUUCAUCCUUCUGUCAGUUGAGGAGACAAACGUUCGAAACGACGCCGUUUCCGAUGAUCUGACUUGAUUGCCAGGUGAGACUUGUGCGUUUAAUUUCUGUUCUAGUCACUCUAUUUUAAAUUAAUUUCAAUUAGGUCCUUUUCAUUUCAUUUUAUUGCAUGUCUUACCCCUAACUUUCUGUUUUAAUUCCAAAUUAGUAAUCUGUUUUGUUAUUUUUGCUAUCAAAUUAAUUACUUUAAUAUUAAUUUAUCAUUAUUACUAUUAUUACUAUUAUUAUUAUUACUAUUAUUAUUACUACUACUAUUAUUAUUAGUAUUAUUUUUUUAAUCAAUUUAUCUAACCUUUUUAUAUUCAUUAUUUUAUUCUAUUAUGCACUAUUAUUUUAAGUUUUUUUUAUAUUAUUAUCAUAUAUUAUUUAAUUUCAUAAUGAAUUAUUUUAUAUUUUUAUGUUAAUCCAAUAGAAUUUACCUUUUUUAAAUAGUUUUCUUAUAAUACGUAAUUUAUAUCUAUUACCUAUUUAGAUUAAUAUAUGUGUAUUAUUUUGGGUUUUAUUUAUUUUGACUUUCUUCUUAUAAUAUUUAUUUUAAAAUUCAUUUAGAUAUUAUUAUUCAUUUUUAAUUCUAUUUUUAAAUUAUUUCAAGUCUUCCUAUUAAUUACUUCUUUUAAACUUUUAUAUAUGUGUAUUUUGUGUAUAUAUGUUGAUAAUUUCAAAUUUCUUUUCUCUCAUGCUUUUUUUUUAGUUAUUUUAAAUUUGUUAUAUUUGUGAUAGGCUUUUAGGUCAUUAGCUUUCAAAUGUUGAUGUUAAUAUUUACAUGUGAUUAUUGCUCUUAUAUGUAUGAUAAUGUUUAUUUGUUUUUAUUGAUUAUUUGUCAUUCGUUAGAGUAUAUUUUGUUUACAAAUCGUCAUUCCGCGUUAUACAUUAUCGUCCCGUCGCAUUUUAUUCGUUGUUAAAAGGUUACGUUUAAUAUCAUUCAAGUAUCGAGAGCAUUUUUAUUCAAAAAGUUUUUUUCAAAAAUAACGCGACACUCGGAAUUUAGGAUCCUCGAAAAGAUUGUGUCCUAACUUAUUGGAUUCCAAUCUUCCUCGUUGAAUCUAAGAAACCGGGUAUCCUUUUUUAAUUAAAGCAUAAAUAAAAAGCUCAUUCUCGAAAAUUCGAUACGUCGNNNNNNNNNNNNNNNNNNNNNNNNNNNNNNNNNNNNNNNNNNNNNNNNNNNNNNNNNNNNNNNNNNNNNNNNNNNNNNNNNNNNNNNNNNNNNNNNNNNNNNNNNNNNNNNNNNNNNNNNNNNNNNNNNNNNNNNNNNNNNNNNNNNNNNNNNNNNNNNNNNNNNNNNNNNNNNNNNNNNNNNNNNNNNNNNNNNNNNNNNNNNNNNNNNNNNNNNNNNNNNNNNNNNNNNNNNNNNNNNNNNNNNNNNNNNNNNNNNNNNNNNNNNNNNNNNNNNNNNNNNNNNNNNNNNNNNNNNNNNNNNNNNNNNNNNNNNNNNNNNNNNNNNNNNNNNNNNNNNNNNNNNNNNNNNNNNNNNNNNNNNNNNNNNNNNNNNNNNNNNNNNNNNNNNNNNNNNNNNNNNNNNNNNNNNNNNNNNNNNNNNNNNNNNNNNNNNNNNNNNNNNNNNNNNNNNNNNNNNNNNNNNNNNNNNNNNNNNNNNNNNNNNNNNNNNNNNNNNNNAAACUAAAUUUACUUUGUACUCAAUUACAAAUGUUAAGAAAUAUUUUACAAUCUAAUAAAUAAAUUUUUUAAUUAAAUUCACCAUAUUAAAUAAAAAUUUUAAAGCACCUAAAAUUGUCAAAUACAUUCUUUUGAAUUUUAGAAUUUAUGAAUUCCGAAACAGACUUUCAGCAUCUCAAAUUCUCUAUUUAAAUUUCACCUACAUAGUUUUUCUAGAAAUUCUUCAAAACUUCAUUUAUUUAAAUCAAUGGUUCUAUUAUAAAAUAGAGAAUUUAAAACUAAAAAGAUAUUAUUUUUAUUUAAAUCUAAUAUGCAUAUUUUUCUCUUUACAAAAAAUAAAUUUUCAAAAUCCAGGUCUACUAUUAAUACUGUUGAAAUUAUUUUAUUAAAUCCAUAUUCAUUUCGUCAUCUUUUAAUUACAUUGUUAUCAAGUUCUUUUAUUUUAAAAAAAGAUCACACUUUUUAGUUGUUUACAGAAUCAUAAUGUUAAUUAGAGUGGAAUAUUUCAGAUUUCUGAUGAUGAGCAUAUUCUUGAGUAUUGCAGUAAAAAAAUGGGUGUGGAACUUAUUUGAACUUUGAAUAUAAACGAACGUGUCAAAAAUUUAAGUACAACGAAUUAUUAACAUGUAAAUGUAUAAUACGGUAUGCAAAAAUAAGAUAAUUGCUUGUUUUUUUAAUUGAAUUGUUAUAACACUACACAAUACAUUGUGAAUUAAAGCAUAACAUAAAGAAUUGCAUUGUUUGUGAGGUUUUAAAAUAUUCCAGUUUUAGAUUCAAUUUUCUAGUAUGUUUGGUUUAAUUUUACAUUAGAUUUCAUUUUCAGUAUGCACUAGUGAAUACUUGGCAGUCAAUUUAAUUUAAUUUAAAGAGAUAUUGCAUAUACAUAGAAAGAAAUAGAUGGUUGAAAAUGAUUAAACCAUAAGAUAAAAGAGCUUUUAUUCAAAAUGCAAAAAUCAACAAAAUAUUAAUUAUCGCUCAACUUAGCAUAAUUAAACAUUUAGGUGUGAAAAUCAAAUCACAAUUUGAGUAGCUAAACAUAUCGCUUGAAAAUGUGAUAAGUAAGAAACUUGCCCACAUUUGAGUAGCGACAGGUGGUGAUGCAUUUCCCAACGAGAGAAAACCAAGCUCUUUGCCAGUAUGGAUUUAUGUAGAGGACAACAAAAAUUGUCAACAACACAACUACAUAAGAAACCAAAAAGCUCACACAAAAAUCACCUAUCAAACCAUCUUCUCCUUUAUCUUCUGAUACAGUUAAUAUCGUUGAUGGCGAAUCGAUUUUGGAACAACUUUUAUGCAAUAUAGCUCCACAAAGAAAAGGAUUUCCCUCAUAACUGUUUUCAAUAAAGGUCCCAAAUUGAGCUUUUUCGGGAAUACUACCUGACAAGUUGUUGUAUGCCACGCUGAAAACCUCCAAAGAGUUCAACUCUACCAACUGAUUGGGGAUUUCACCACUCAAAUUGUUGUAAGAAAGGUCCAAACUCUCAAUUUGAUGUAGUUUUGCGAAUGACGAGGGUAUAACUCCUGUCAACUUAUUGUGCGACAAGUUUAAAGAAUGGAUUUCACUUAAGUUCCCUAAUUCUGGUGGGAUAUGACCAGUUAAGUUGUUGCAAGAUAAAUCAAUCCCGGUCAUAUAUGAAAGGAUGUUGUCCUCGUACAAAAAGAACCCACUCUUUGUUGUGAACUCUAUUACUUCUUCUAAGUAGCUGUCAGGAUAGUAAGAAUCCAUUCCCAAAUUUAGUAUCAUACUGCGUGUUGUUUCAUCCUCUUCUAUAGGCCCAUAGAACUCAGUGUCUAGAAUCUUCUUCGUUUGCAUUAGAAGAGAUAAAUUUCCCAAGCAAGAAGGUAUAGGACCAGAAAACAUAUUUUGAGAAAGAUCUAUGAUGCUUAAAGAAUGCAACUUGCAUAACUCAACAGGAACUUUACCAUGAAAAUGAUUAUCUUUCAAGAGAAGAACACUCAAAGAAGAAAGCGUGUAAAUCCAUUUUGGAAUACUACCUGUCAAAUUGUUUCCUCUAAGAUCUAAAGUCACUAUUGAAGAGCUAUUAUAAAAAGCAAGCGACAGUGGGCCUCUCAGUCUAUUCCCGUGGAUGUGGACAUGCUCUAUGUAUGGUGGAUUAAAACAUGACGGUAUAGAGCCAGAUAAAUUAUUCUGAGAAAGAUCCAAAAAUUCCAACCUAUUCAACUUGCAAAAUUCCAUUGGAAUAGAACCUUCAAAACCAUUAUUAGACAAAUCUAAUCUCCACAAAAAUGAUGCAUUCCCUAUCCAUCUUGGGAGCUUUCCAUGCAACUUGUUGUUACUGAGAUCAAUUUCCCAUAGUGAAUUUGGAAACUCAAAAGUAGACGCAUUAACAUUUGUCAUCUCUCCUGAAAAAUUGUUUCCAUCCAAAUAUAAAUUCUCCACCCCAUUCACGCUGAGAAUCACAGGAACUACAUUUCCA
This 102689-nucleotide long non-coding RNA is filed under the name Gossypium barbadense (sea-island cotton). Its description in RNAcentral is "long non-coding RNA (GBAR_LNC013892)". The stretch from base 77762 to 77848 matches the Rfam family "MIR7486 microRNA precursor family". Lineage: Eukaryota; Viridiplantae; Streptophyta; Magnoliopsida; Malvales; Malvaceae. The record is from RNAcentral.